RNAcentral lists this long non-coding RNA (120891 nucleotides) under Malus domestica (apple). RNAcentral's name for it is "long non-coding RNA (MDOM_LNC007588)". The record is from RNAcentral. Lineage: Eukaryota; Viridiplantae; Streptophyta; Magnoliopsida; Rosales; Rosaceae.
AAAAUAAAAAAAAAAAAAAAAAAAAAAAAAAAACUCCCUCAAAAUUCCAAUUGAAUACACUUAGGGCUAGUUUGGGAUUGAUGUGUUUUUUUAAUAAAUUGCUUAUGCUAUGCAUUAAGAGUAAUCAGAUGCAAAAAAAUAAUGAUCAACUGCAAAAUAAAGCAGUUGAGCGUUUGAUAAACUGUAUUUUUAAAAGUGUUAUGAGUAUGAAAAACAAUGUAAAAGUAGUGUCUAGAAGGAUAAAUAAUGUCAUUGUUUAAAACUAAUGAGCUUAUUAUAGGAAUUGAAAUUAUUCUAAAGGCUCAACUUCACUUUUUAUUAAAGCAGCUUUUAAAAGCAAACUAAAAACUGCUUUUAAAAGUUGUUGUUUGGAGGCCAUUAUUUUUAAAAUAAGCAGUAUAUUUUAUUUCUACCAAACACAUUUUUACUGCUUAACUUUAAAGUGAAGCAAUUUUUGGCAAAAAAAAGCAAUACCAAACUGGACCUUAGUCUCACAAAAACAUGUUCCAAAUAAUUUGUGGCAUUUUCUGAAGAGAUGGACAUUUGAUUAGUACUGACUACUAAAUCUAAGAAAAUAAGUCAAUUAGUAUGUAUGUCUUCGGUUUGACUGACUGUUUGGUUCUUUCUUUAAUUGAUGACAUGGUGAGCAUGAGACUCGUAUAUAGAUUGAUGUGUAGGAAAUAUUGGCACAAUAUUAACAAAAAAAUCAAUUUAAUGCAGGAUUAGAUGUUCAAACAAACAAAAGAUAGAAACUGAUACAAGUUCAAAACCUCAAGGUGCAAUGUGAAAAAGUUGAAACUUCAUAGCCCAUUUGAAAACCAUCUUAAUCCAAGGUGUAAAACGUAAUUAGACCAUUUUUAUCAGAACCAAUCCUUAGUUAAAAUACAAGUGAAUUCUACAAAAGUACUUAAAGUGCUUCCUGCAAGAAGCACAUAAUUGAUGCUUCUUCCAAAAUGCACGUCAAUCGUUUUUGGAACUCAAAAAAACUUUUACUAAUAGCACUUUCAAUCACUUUAAAAGUAUUUCCAAAGGAGUCCAAAUGUUCAUUUUCGAUUGAAGUGUUUGUUUAUAGUUUUUACUAAAUUUUUGCACUCUACUUUCACUCAUGCACUCCUUUAUCUUUGUCUAGCCUUAUGAUUGAGUAAAUUUCCUUCCCAACACAAAUAAAAGGACAAAAAUAAAAGUUUAAGUGCUAAAUGAAAAGGUGAAAGUGUGUAAUCUCUUUCCCAACUUAUAAACCAAUAUCUACAUAUUAGUAGUUUUUAUAUGUGCGUGAAUGAUUGUGAGUUGCUAAUGAAUGUGAAUCUUUCUCUUGAUGCACUAUGAGACUGACUCACAUUCAUUUAUAGCUCAAAGUCACAAAUCCUUGUGUGAGAGACAGAACAUUGCAUUCUUCAGGCUGGAACCCACUUCUCAGCCCUUGUAGAAGUUCAUCGAGCCAUGCUUUGCAAGUAAGGCCAUCUGCAAUGGAGGGUUAUAGGUCCAAAAGCCAAAAUAUUGCAUGAUUUGCCCAAAAAAUCAUCUCCAACCGAUAGCUAGACUAUACUUCUAUGGAGCCCACCUGGCCAUUAUUUGGCCAAAGGGGCAUCAAGUUGGCCAAAUGUAGCCCUCCUCUUAGCCCUUUUUUUGGCACUCAACUCCUCAAUUGCGAUAAUUGAUUCAAAUUUAAUGGCUAGAUUUGAAAACAUUCAAUGGUAGUUCAAUUAUAUUAACCAAUAAAUUUAAAGUAUAAAAUUUAAAACUAACAAAUUAUUGAGGGAUUAUGUUUAGCCCCUUCGAUUGGAGAUGAUAUAUGAGUAUUGUUUGUCACUGUUCAUUUAAAAAUAUUUUUUUGCAGAACUAUGUUUAGCCUUUUCGGUUGGAGAUGGUCUAAAGUUGUGGAUAAAGAGUAGGAAUUGGACACUUUUCGUCCAGCCCUAGGCUAACCCCAAUUGUUUUAGGGACAAUCCUCUUUCUCAAUCAUAACAUUUUACACACGAGCCUCACGCGAAUGCAGAAAAUAUUUUUUGAAUCACGGCGUGCUACGCGCGACUUACAUGUUUUAAAUGUAUUUAUAUGCGUGAAUUGACAAAAGAAAAGUCAAAUAUUUGAAGUAAAUGAAUAAUCUUAGAUUAUGCUAGAAAAAACCCCUCACAAACCAAUCAAAGUAGCUGAACUCACAUAAUAAAAUCGGUCUUUCAAUUUCCAUCGAAAUUCUAUUGAAUUUACAUUAAGAAUAGAGAAAAUAAUAUUUAAUAAACAACUGAUUGAAUCACAUUAUUGUUAGCCCAUUGUGAGGCUAAGCCCAUCCCCUCCUUCUUGGUGUAGAUGUUAUUGUUUGUUAAAAAAAAAAUCAUUUGACAACUAAUUUAAUUACAUUAUUAUGUGCGUGCGAAAGACUUUUUUUAUAACUAGCAUUACAUGCCACUUAAGAUGUUUUAAACGUGUUUACAAAUAGAGAAAAUAAUAUUUAAUGAACAAUUGUUUGAAUCACAUUAUUGCUAGCCUAUUGUAAUGUACUAAUUAAAAAAAAAACUAUACUAAAAGAAUUAAUUAUUAAAAAAAGUACUGUUAAAAUGACAAAAAUACCCUUGUAUUAUUUAAUGCAUUAUUUUGGAUUGCUUUUGAAUUUUUUUUGUUUUGGGGAUAUUUUUGUUCAAAAACUUUUGGUGAAGCUUGUGACCCUAAAAAAAUUUGUUGGCUUUAUAUAUAAAGAUUAUUAAUCUUUACCAUUUCAUUUUCAAACGUUAUCAGAUAAAUCCUGGUAAUAUUUUUAAUCAUAUAUCAUUUAAUCUUAUUAUCAUGGGGCUUUAUUUGUUAAAUUGUUUUGUUUUUAAUCCAUUUCGUGUCCUUCGUUUGUUGUUUUCUUCUUUAAUAAUUAUUAAUAAUGUCACGUCAUGUCCCACUAUAGAUAGUUGCAUUUGGGUGGAUAUGGACACCUUUACUUCCUCAGCAAGAUUGAUACAACAAAGAAAAUGUUACUUUCAUGUGGAAGUAAUAACUUUCUACUACUUUAAAAUACCUUUUUCAGUUUUUUUUAAUAUGGAAUUAGCCGUUGGAUCAAAUUUCAAUAGUUCGAAUCUUCUGAUUUGAUGGAUUAUGAGGAAGGGAUCCGGAGAGAAUCCCUUUCCCUUAUUACCUUUCAGGCAUUACAUCUUUGUGCAAGCUUAAUUCAUCUCAAUUGUUGAUAGUGAUUUGCCAUCUAUCCAUAGUUGGUAGGGUCCCUUUAUAUGACCUUCAAGGCUUUGGACUUGGCUUAGUCUCAUCAUACAACCAAUUAACUUAAGGCUCUACUUAGUUACAAGUCCAUGCUUGACGUCAUAAAAGAACAUUAAACACAAGCAAAAUUUAAGGAGUGAGACAAAAUUUAAUAACAAAGGUAAUACAAUUAUUAGAAGGAUAAUAAAAAGGUUUAAUAUAUAAAAUUUUAGAUUUUAGAGUUUUUUUAUAAAAUAUAACUUGUUUAGAAGUGCUUUUAAAAUUACUAAAAGAGCUUUUAGAGAAAGUGUUUUUGGGUUUCAAAAACACUUGAAGUGAAUUUUGCAAGAAUCACCAGUUAUGUGCUUUAAGUGCUUUUUCAGAAUUUACUUGUAUUUUUACUAAAAAUUAGUUUUAAAAAUAUUCUCACAAAAAAUGAUUUCAGAUAUUUUAAAAGCAUUUUUAUACAGAUGGCUUUUAGGUCAAUAUUCCUUUAAUAUUCUAUGAAAAAUAUAAACAGUGUUCGAUAUAGAAAGAAAGAAAUCGACGAGACGACGUAUUUGGAAGUUUGUGUAUGAACUAGUAUCUGAGGACCGCGUCAACAAACAACUCAUCACUCAACAAGCAACACACAAUGUCAAUGGGUUCUCUGAGACUCUCAGACUCAGUCUGACUGAGAGAGACAGCCUCCAAAACCUCAAACCCUGCUGGUACUGCUGCUGGCGGAGCUCUAGAGAGAGAGAGAGAUAGAGAGACAGAAAGCUCAAAGCUCAAAACAUGGCCGAUUCCAAAGUGGAGACAAUCUCCCGAUUAGCCCAAUGGAGGAUCGAGAACUUCGGACCUUGCUCUUACAAAAAGUCCGACCCUUUCCGGCUCGGAAUCUGGAAUUGGUACUGCCCGCAACACGCAUUUUUUUUACUUUGAUUCAUCUGUUUAUGCGGGUUAUGAAAUUUGAUGAUCUUUUUUGGUUGGGAAAUUAGGCAUUUUUCGAUAGAGAAGAAUCGGUACCUCUACAUUCGUCUGUUUCCAGAGCCGUCGCGGGUGUCGAAAGAACAGCCUCCCCUUGCUCGCUUUGUUCUCAGAGUCUCUAGCCCCGGCCCCGGCCCCGGCCGUAAGCCUUACAUCUCUCCUGGUAUUUCUCUUUCUCUUGCACUUUCAAUUAAAAUUCUUGAACUUUUUGGGGAUGGUUUGUGAUUGAUUGGUGACGAUGAUUGCUGUGGAUUUGUCACCUUUGGGAAUGUGGUUAUAUUGAUUUUAUUAGGGUUGCAUCAGCUCAAAAUUGUGUAAAAUGCAACUUCAAAUGCUAAAGGGUGUUUCUCUUUCAAUCGAAGGGGUAAUUCUUAGUCGAAUAUAGAUCAAUCUCUUCCAUUGUUCAUAUGGGUUUGAUAUGGUUUCUAUACUUUUUUGGAAGUUAGUAUAUGAGUGAUUGAAAUGUUCGUAAGUUGCCAAUAGCUAAGUCGAGUUAUUGGAAGUAGUACAUAAUUAGACUACAGAGGAAAAGAAAACAAAAUCGAUACUGUAGUAGUGCUUAGCGAAAUGGGAGCUGCCUACACAACGAAAAUGGGGUUGUGGGAGAGCAUUACCAACUUAGUAGAGUUAUUAAAAGUAGUACAGAGUCAUGGUAUCAUAUCUGAAGAGUGAAGGCCGAUGAAUUCUUUUCGUUCCAUAUUGAUGGAUUUCGUUUUUGUUGUUUUCUUAGAUAUGUUUUGUAUGAAUUCUCCAGUGAUAUUUUGAGGCAGAACUGAUAGAGGAUCUUCACAUGUCCCUUGUCAAAUAUAUCAUAUACCUGUGUUUCAGCAUGCUCGUCAGAACAUGGUAUAAAUUAAUAUGUAACUAGACACAACAAAUUCAGACAGCAAAAUUCCCCUCGCUCACUGGAACUCUGGAAAAUUUAAACGUCAUCAGAAAUAUUUACCUCACAUAUAUUUGUUUUAGAAAUCUCCUUUUUUAUGGCCUUUUCUUUUCCUUUUAAUCCAGAAUGCAUUAUGCAGUAAUUCUGCUCCUGUGAUGUUGUUCUGCCUCUUGUUACAGUUCAUGAAAGACUGCUUCGUACAAGUGAAGACUUUGUCUGGCCUGUUGAUUCCACCUUCCUUGGUCGCUUCAUCAUUGAUGUUGAGUUUCUCGACUUGAAGAUAUGCCAUUCAAAUGUAAGUUCCAUAACAUAAUUAUCUGUGUGUUAGUUUCUUUAUAAAAUUUGUUGUAUCACACCAAAUGGAUUUCCAUUAUUGUUGGUUAUCUCCUCACUGGUGGACCAUGGGCGGCAAACCAUCAUUUAACCGUGGAAACAAUUAUUCUGUUUUUAGCUUGUUUUACCUAGAUUAACUAACAUGUAGCUCAGUACCAGUGUCUGGAGGACAUGAUUUCUUGCAAUUGUAUUUUAGUUCAACCAUGUAUGUAUACAUCCUUUAAGAGUGGUAAGUUAUUUUAUGAAAUCAGGGCGGGGAAGCUAGUCCUGUAUGGCCUGCUGAUGGAUUGAUGCAAUCUGUGUCAACCCAAAGCACUCUCCGGUGCCUCUCUCGCAUGCUUGAUGAGGGCAUCCAUGCUGAUGUUACUAUCAACACUGCUGAUGGCAGUUUAAGAGCUCACAAAGCAAUUCUUUCUGCAACUUCUCCCGUGUUCCAAAGCAUGUUCAGUCACGACCUUAAGGAAAAAGAGUCCUCCAUAAUCCACAUAGUAGACAUGUCCCUGGAAUCUUGCAUGGCACUUCUAAGUUACCUCUAUGGAACCAUUAAACAAGAAGAUUUCUGGAAGCACCGGUUGGCACUUCUAGGGGCAGCAAACAAGUACGACAUUGCAGACUUAAAAGAUGCUUGUGAGGAAAGCCUUUUGGAAGAUAUUAACUCAACGAAUGUCCUUGAGAGGCUGCAAGACGCCUGGUUGUACCAGCUGAAUAAGCUUAAGAAAGGAUGCUUGAUGUACUUGUUUGAUUUUGGAAAAAUAUAUGACGUGAGAGAAGAAGUAAGUAACUUUUUCAGGCAUGCAGACCGAGAAUUGAUGACGGAAAUGUUUCAGGAGGUGCUUACUGUUUGGAAGCCUGUGUAGGUUACCAUGGUAUUCUUAGUGUCAUAUGCAAUCAGGUGAAAGAUACAUGUAUGUACAUUUGUGAGUCCUUUGGUUAUAUGCAUAUAUGAGGAUGUUGUGAGCUCAUAAGAGAGUUGUUAGUCUGAAGUUUAGUUUUGGCUCUCAAGUGUUGUUUGAGUGAGAUAAUGCAUGUUGUUUGAGUGAGAUAAUGCAUGUUGUUGUAGCCAAUCUUAAAUCUUGUAAUGAAUUUGCGUAUUUCGGUUUUGAAAUUGUUAAAAGCUAAGGGUUGUUUGAUAACUAUUUUAUUUCUGCUUGAUUGUGGUCACGAGGAGGGUGAAAUUUCCCAUGGCCUCUCAAGACCAAAAUGGGUGGAUAAUUGUGGUUUGCUAUAGUUGUCUCCUUUUUUUUUUUAUACUUUUUUUUUUCCAAGAAGGAAAAAAAAAUUAUAUUAUGAUGAAAUUGAGGUCUAUUAUCAAAAUAAUCUAUCCUUUAGGUUUUCAUUCUAUUGUAUCGCUCCUCAAACAUUCACUCAAAUUAUAUUUUGUCAUUAUCAUUUUAUAUUUAUAUGAUGUAUUGUUCAUGUAUGAACAUGUUAAUGAUAUUUUAUAUUUAUAUGAUGUAUUGUGCCUGUAUGAACAUUUUUAAUGAUCAAACAAUUUUCGAAACUCCGCCUAUGUAAGUUUAUCUUACAUUGCCGGUCCCAAGCCCGGAUAAAGGAGGAGGGGGAGGGCGUCAGGUAGUCGACAGCCGGCACUCCACAGUUACGUCGAAUCCUUAUGACAAUGAAUCCAGAACGAAAUCGCGCUAAAGCUAGGACGUCACCCGUAAGUGGCGCGCUGUGUGGCCCGAGCACAGUGAUAAGUGAGCAAGGGUCGUUGUAUCUCCAUCGGCACCCGGAUGCAGUGUUAAAUGAGCAAGGGGGCCAUAGAAACUUCUUUUCGAACGACUCCACUCAAAGUUGUUUGGGAGCAUAUGCUCCUAUCAACUUUACACAGGACACACAAAAGAAGUACUUUGAUCCUAUUAGACGGGGGAUGGUGAAGAAGCUAGGACAGAAGGGUAGAGUUCAAGAGAGUAGAAUGCGUUUAGGAACGUGGAAUAUAGGAACCUUAACAGGAAAAUCUAUGGAAGUAGUGGAAGUUAUGGUGAGGAGAAGGAUAAAUAUUAUGUGCCUACAAGAAACUAAGUGGGUUGGUCUUAAGGCAAAGGAUCUAGAAAACUCAGGGUUUAAGCUUUGGUAUUCGGGCACAAAUAGAACGAGAAACGGUGUUGGCAUCAUUGUGGACAAGACCUUGACACAAGAUGUGUAGAUGUCAAGAGGGUAGGAGAUAGAAUCAUGACAAUCAAGAUUGUAAUAGGACAAGAACUCAUCAAUGUGAUUAGUGCGUACGCACCUCAAGUAGGGUUGGAUACGAGUUCGAAGGAGAAAUUUUGGGAAGACCUUGGAGACUUGGUGCAAGGAAUUGCUCAGACGGAGAAGUUAUUUAUAGGAGGAGAUUUAAAUGGACACGUGGGCAGGGAGACAGGCAACUAUGAAGGUUUUCAUGGUGGCCAUGGUUUUGGGGAAAGAAAUGAGGAUGGGGAAGCUAUCUUGGAUUUUGCAAUGGCAUAUGAUCUCUUCUUAGCCAACACCUUCUUUAAGAAGAGAGAAGAACAUGUGAUCACCUACAAGAGUGGGUCGUCAAAAAACACAAAUAGAUUUUCUUCUAAUGAGGAAAGGGGACCGUAUAACUUGUAAGGAUUGCAAAGUUAUACCGGGGGAGAGCUUGGUUAAUCAACAUCGCUUGUUCGUGAUGGAUGUACAUAUCAAAAGAGUGAGGAAAAAGAACAAGACUUGGAAGUGCCCAAAGACUAGAUGGUGGAAUCUAAAAGGAGAAAAACAAGUCAUUUUCAAAGAGCAAGUAAUCACCCAGUGUGUGUGGGAUAGAGAGGGGAAAGCUAGCCAAAUGUGGGAUUCCAUGGCUAGCUGUAUCCGAAAAGUAGCAAAAGAGGUAUUAGGAGAGUCCAAGGGCUUUGCUCCACACCAAAAGGAAUCUUGGUGGUGGAAUGAGGAGGUACAAACAAAGGUGAAGGCUAAGAAGGAAUGUUGUAAAGCCUUAUACAAGGAUAGGACCGAUGAAAAUGGUGAAAGGUAUAGAAGAGCGAAGCAAGAGGCGAAGAAAGCUGUGAGAGAAGCUAAGUUAGCUGCUUAUGACGAUAUGUAUAAGCGACUAGAUACCAAAGAAGGAGAGUUGGAUAUCUAUAAACUAGCUAGAGCAAGGGAAAAGAAGACAAGGGACCUAAACCAAGUGAGGUGCAUCAAGGAUGAGGAUGGAAAGGUUCUUGCUACAGAGAACGCGGUCAAAGACAGAUGGAGAGGUUAUUUUCAUAAUCUUUUUAAUGAAGGACAUGAAAGGAGUACUCCUUUAGGGGAGUUGAGUAACUCAGAAGAUGUAGAAACUACUCCUUUUAUCGUCGAAUCAGGAAGGAAGAAGUGGUUGUAGCUUUGAAGAAGAUGAAGCAUAGAAAAGCAGUGGGCCCAGACGAUAUACCGAUUGAAGUGUGGAAAGCCUUGGGAGAGACAGGUAUAGCAUGGCUCACUGACCUUUUCAAUAGGGUUUUGAAAACGAAGAAGAUGCCAAACGAGUGGCGAAAGAGCACCUUGGUGCCUAUUUACAAGAAUAAGGGCGACGUACAAAAUUGCAUGAACUAUAUGGGUAUUAAGCUAAUGAGUCAUACAAUGAAGCUCUGGGAGAGAGUCAUUGAGCAUAGAUUGAGGCAAGAGACACGGGUUUCGGACAACCAAUUCGGGUUCAUGCCAGGGCGCUCAACCAUGGAGGCAAUCUAUCUCUUACGAACAUUGAUGGAAAGAUAUAGAGAUGGGAAAGAGGAUUUACACAUGGUCUUUAUAGAUUUGGAAAAAGCGUAUGAUAGGGUCCCAAGAGACAUUCUUUGGAGGAUUUUAGAGAAGAAAGGAGUACGAGUAGCAUAUAUCCAAACUAUAAAGGAUAUGUAUGAAGGAGCAAAGACUGCCGUAAGAACUCAUGAAGGACAAACCGAAAGCUUCCCCAUAACUGUAGGAUUACAUCAAGGCUCAUCCUUAAGUCCUUACCUUUUUGUGUUGGUAAUGGAUGAGUUAACAAGACAUAUUCAAGAUGAUAUUCCUUGGUGUAUGCUUUUCGCAAACGAUAUAGUGUUGAUAGAUGAAACUCAGGAAGGGGUAAAUGCGAAGCUUAACCUUUGGAGAGAAGUGUUGGAAUCUAAAGGUCUUCGCCUAAGCCGAUCAAAGACAGAAUAUAUGGAGUGCAAGUUCAGUGCAAAUGGAGGCCAAAAUGAGUUAGGGGUGAGGAUCGGAGAUCAGGAAAUACCAAAGAGCGACCGUUUUCGCUACCUAGGAUCUAUCUUGCAAAAGAACAGAGAGUUAGAUGGAGAUCUCAACCAUAGAAUACAAGCUGGAUGGAUGAAGUGGAAGAGUGCAUUCGGCGUGUUGUGUGAUCGUCGUAUGCCAUUGAAGCUUAAGGGAAAAUUUUAUAGGACGGCGAUAAGGCCGGUGAUGCUGUAUGGCACAAAAUGUUGGGCGGUGAAGCACCAACACGUACACAAAAUGGGUGUAGCGGAGAUGAGGAUGCUUCGUUGGAUGUGUGGGCACACGAGAAAGGAUAAGAUUAGGAAUGAGGAUAUCCGAGGUAAAGUAGGAGUAGCUGAAAUUGAAGGAAAACUGAGAGAAAAUCGGUUACGGUGGUUUGGACAUGUGCAAAGAAGGCCUACUGACGCUCCGGUUAGAAUAUGCGACUACGGGACAGAGGUUCAGGGCCGAAGGGGUAGAGGAAGACCUAGGAAAACUUUGGAAGAGACUCUAAGAAAAGACUUAGAGUACUUGGAUCUAACGGAGGACAUGCCACAGGAUCGAGCACAAUGGCGUUCUAAGAUUCAUAUAGCCGACCCAACUCAGUGACUGGGAUUUUUCAAGUCUCCAAUCGAGAAGUUUUCCCCACUCGGGAAAUUAAGGGAACACUACCUCAACCUACAUGCUCCACUCACAAAGCUUCAACAUACAAGCUUCAACAAAAGAAAAAUUCAAAGAACUUAGUGAAGAAGGCUUUGGUGUAUUUAACACAAUACGUUGAAAUGAAACAAAGCUUAUUUAUUGAUAUCUCUAAGAAGUUACAAAUAUGUACAUAUACACGAGUCAAAAUAAACAAACAAGAUGGAGCCUUCACAAAGGUUGCUUAGGAGAAGUCUCAGCAGUCGGCAGAGCCUCAGAAGGAGAAGGCACCGGAGGGGGAUCAUUCGGAGCCUCAGUACUGGACAACACCCUAGAAGGAGGAGGCAUCGGAGGUUGAUCAUUUGGAGCUUCAUUACGCGGUACAGCCCCAGAAGACGAAGGCAAUAAAUGUCUUUGGAACAAACCCACAAACUUCUGAUGAUCAUGUAAAAUCUGACAAUCAGAUUCUUUCAUCUGGUCAAGUUUCCUCUUCAUGUUUGUAGCAUAGUCAUGAGCGAGCCGGUGCAAUUGUUUAUUCUCAUGCUUGAGCCCUCUAAUCUCCUGUUUGAGACUCAUCACUUCAGCCGCCAAUGAUUCAACUUGGCGGGUUCGAGCAAAUAGGCGUUGGGCCAUAUUAGACACAGAACCUGCACACUGAACACUGAGAGCCAGAGAAUCCUUAACAGCCAACUCAUCAGACCGUUUGGAAAGUAGUCUGUUAUCUUUGGGAGUGAGAAGGUUUCUGGCCACCACCGCAGCGGUCAUAUCAUUCUUCAUAACGGAAUCCCUAACGGUAAGAGGACCAGUAGGGGAUAAGAAGGAUGGGCGCCAUAUGUUGUCUGGAGAAGGCGUGGCUGCCUCUUCAACAAGGUUCAAGUCAAAACGACGGUCGGAGGGGCCAGACAUUUUCAAAGGUGUUGAAGAGAAAAGAGGUCGGACAAAUCAAAAUCUUAGAAAUGCAAAAAGGGAGCUUCUACUGGUGGAGAUUCAAGUGUGCUUUGGAACUUAAUACCAGCCUCUAUAAAAAUCCGCACUCGAUGGAGCUUCAGAAAUCGAAGAGGCGCCUGCUCAGAAAUCGAAAAGGCGUUUGCUUUCUCAAAAGCUGGGCUGCUCAGAGACCACGAGGGCCGAUCUCAGGAAUCGAAGAGGCGUUUGCUUUCUCAAAAGCUGGGCUGCUCAAAGACCACGAAGGUCGAUCGCAGAAAUCAAAGAGGCGCUUGCUUUCUCAAAAGCUGGGCUGCUCAGAGACCACGAGAGCCGAUCUCAGAAAUCGAAGAGGCACUUGCUUUUUCAGCCUUGUCAGCACCUGUCACAUGCACACUCAACUUUGCGGAAAUUACGGGCAUCCUGUCGAAGAUUUCUAGUGAAGUAGAAAGCACGUGAAUGUUACUGUUCAAUCAUUCACUUUCCACACGCAACAUCAGCCAACGGGUACCACAUAUAACUUUGCCAAAAAUCUCUGACAAAGUUUAGACACGUGAAGCUUGCAGCUCCCAUUACAUCGCUAUGACCAAGAUAGGUAAAAGAAUAGCAAAGCAACAACACUAACAAAGUUUAGACACAUAAAUUUUGAAGGUCUAGCUACCAUAUUAUUACCCACAAGGGUAAAGGAACAGGACCAUUGUUGGAUAAUUGGAAAGUCCCUGUGGGUCAACCUCUGUGCUCUGUGGCAAGGUAGACUAGCAAACAGGCCUAACCUUUACUCACAUUCGAGAAAACACUCCCAACAAGAUUGCUUGCUUCAAGAUCGAAGAGGCACCGUCCUCCGAAUCUCGAGAGCCAGACUUCCAACAUAAUUACUUUCUCAAAAAACGACGAGACACCGCUCUCAGAAUCUCGAGAGCCAGACUCCUAGCAGGAUUGCUUUCUCAAAAAUCGAAGAGGCACCGUUCUCCGAAUCUCGAGACAGAUCCCCAACAUGAUUGCUUGUUCGAAAACCGAAGAGGCACCGCUUUCUCAACUUCGAAAGCCUCUUAGAUAAAGCUUGUCUGUAAUCCUCACACCGCUUUCUCAACUUCGAGAGCCAGAUCUCCUUGGAUAAAGCUUGUCUGUAAUCUUCACACGUAACAUCAGCUUUCCAGAUAGCACAGACCACUUUUUCAAAGUGCUAUGACAGAGUUAAAACACGUGAAGCUGGCAGCUCCCACUACCGUGCUAUGACCAAGCAGGGUAAAAGAAUAGUAUUACUCCUUGUUAGGGAGACUCCUAUAUAUGUCGACCUCCAUCCUCAACUGACAGGCAGACCUGCAAAAAUGCUCAACCCUUCUUCAUAUCUGAGAGGGCACUCCCAACGAAGCCUCUCGAAAUACUCAGCUUUCUUUCCCCCCGAGAAUACCUCUGCAAACAAGCUACACUAGAGCAAGAAUAUCUCAUAUCAUCAGGGUUAAAAGUAAGAGUAUCCCAUAUCAUGAUUUUUCCCUGUCUUUUCCUUUGGCCUUGUUCUUACCUGCAAGACAAGGAGAAAGAGAGCAAUCAGUCAGCACUUGGAAUCAAGCUUCCAGUCCGGAACUGACUGCCUGGAACCCCAUUGCUCUCGAGUACUCAUCUUCAACAUCUUAUGCUUCCUGAGAAGAUACCACAUCUGCCUGAGGAACAAAUAGGGCAAGUGAGAAGGAUACAAGGAAGCAUGUGGAGACAAGCGCAACAGAACACGUGCCGAUACAUCCACUACUUUGUCAACAGCAAAAGUAUCCCAUAUCAGCAGGGUCGAACGUACUCUAGAUUUGAUGGACUUGUUUUGACCCUCAAAUUCUUCAGUCGGCCUUAUACUCUGGCGGAAACAAGAAAACCCUCCAGCCCAGUUCAAGAAUAAGUCUGUGGAAAGUUACUUCUUCAAAAGCAAAAGUAUCUCAUAUCACCUUUUCUCCUUUUCUUCUCUUUAUCCUUCAUGCUACCUGCAAGAUAAGGAGAAGGAUAACAAUCAGCCGGAACUCGAAAUCAAACUUCCGAUCUGGGACUGAUUGCUUGGAGCUCUGAUUGCUUACCUUGUCUGUCACCUCUUUCAGCAGAUCCCCUAACUCGGCGACUUGAGGGACUCCUACUACAUGGUUUGUAUCGCGCUUGACCAAGCCUGAAACUACAAGUAAGCGUUAAGUGAAAUUGAUACAUUACCUUGUGCAUCUUCACCAGUUAAAGAUACCACCCCUGGAGGGAGGAAGAGUAAUUCCAAAGAAGAUGCCACAUCUACCUAUGAGACAGAUAAGGCAAGUGAAGACGAUACCACACUUCGGUACUUAAAAGUUUCGUGAUUACGAGAUCAUUCUUCCACAAUAUUUCCUAAUGUCAUUUGUACUAAAUCAUUCACUUGUACUCACUAAAGGAGAGCUCGAACCUAUAUACUGUGUAAACCCUUCACAAUUAAUGAGAACUCCUUUACUCUGUAGACGUAGCCAAUCUGGGUGAACCACGUACAUCUUGUGUUUGCUUCCUGUCUCUAUCCAUUUACAUACUUAUCCACACUAAUGACCGGAGCAAUCUAGCGAAGAUCACAAACUUAAUAUUUAAGAUGAUAUUCUUUGGUGUAUGCUUUUCGCAAACGAUAUAGUGUUGAUAGAUGAAACGCAGGAAGGGGUAAACGCGAAACUUAACCUUUGGAGAGAAGUGUUGGAAUCUAAAGGUCCUCGCCUAAGCCGAUCAAAGACAGAAUAUAUGGAGUGCAAGUUCAGUGCAAACGGAGGCCAAAAUGAGUUAAGGGUGAGGAUCGAAGAUCAGGAAAUACCAAAGAGCGACCGUUUUCGCUACCUAGGAUCUAUCUUGCAAAAGAACGGAGAAUUUGAUGGAGAUCUCACCCAUAGAAUACAAGCUGGAUGGAUGAAGUGGAAGAGUGCAUCCGGCGUGUUGUGUGACCGUCGUAGGCCAUUGAAGCUCAAGGGAAAAUUUUAUAGGACGGCAAUAAGGCCGGCAAUGCUGUAUGGCAUAGAAUGUUGGGCGGUGAAGCAUCAACACGUAGGUGUAGUGGAGAUGAGGAUGCUUCGUUGGAUGUGUGGGCACACGAGAAAGGAUAAGAUUAGGAAUGAGGAUAUCCGAGGUAAAGUAGGAGUAGCCGAAAUUGAAGGAAAGAGGAGAGAAAAUCGGUUACGGUGGUUUGGACAUGUGCAAAGAAGGCCUACUGACGCUCUGGUUCGAAGAUGUGACCACGGGACAGAGGUUCAGGGCCGAAGGGGUAGAGGAAGACUUAGGAAAACUUUGGAAGUGACCCUAAGAAAAGACUUAGAGUACUUGGAUCUAACGGAGGACAUGACACAAACCCGAGCGCAAUGGCGUUCUAGGAUUCAUAUAUUUAGCCGACCCCACUUAGUGGGAAAAGGCUUUGUUGUUGUUGUUGUUGUUGUUGUUGUUGUUGUUGUUGAAACAAUUUUCGACAUCUGAUUAUUUUUUCAAGAACAAUUAUUCACAAGGUACAUGAACGAUUUCAAUGGAUGAACCACAUUAUAGAAUGGCGAAGAAGGGAGUAUAUGGGGACUUGGUAUGUGUACGAUGAAGAGUGAAAAAAUUUCGAUGUUGAUCUUGUAACUAUAUCCAGAAUGUGCCGCCCAAAUGCUGUCUGACGGUUAAGUUAAUGAAUGAUUUGAGUCAAACAGUGGGCAAGAGAAUUCAAGUGGGUAGAUUGUUUUACCGUACAUGAAUCCUAGAUGAGUGUAUUUAUACCGUGAGAGAGAUUUUUUUUAAGGAUAAAAUUCUCGUUCUAAGCCACGAGAAUCUUAGAGGAUAUCUAGUAAGUAGAUAUUGCGUUCUCUUAGAAGUUGUGAUUACUUGCGUCGCAUGCUUAUCCCUAGAUUGUAGGGACUCCAAGACUUAUAGAAUCUGAUUCUGCCCAUAUCCGGAUCAGAUCGUGUGUUCUGCGAAACAAGCAUGGUCAUCCAGCAGAGUCACUAGGACUCCGCUUGUUGCCUCGGAGUAGAGUGAUGGUGGCACCCUGCUCCGUCUGAUACAAUUUCAUCUGAAGUUGGUGAGUUCAUGAUCGAACCUAUGAGGUAAUUGUAUUCGAAUCAGCCUUAUUUUGGUCUUGAAAAAUUAUAGUCCCACAAUGAUCCAAACUCAAUUAUUACAAAGUGUUGUUACUCAAAAGUGUGAACCCAAUUGCACACAAUUGAAGCAUGAGAAAUGUUAAGGAGACUCUCAAGGUGGAACUUUUUAUGAACUCUGAGUUUAACUUUAUUUCCCGUGCUAAUAUUAUAAAACAUUGUGCAAAAAGUAUGAGCCUUAACAUUUCUCUUAGAAGCAAUGAAUAAGAUGUCCUAAGAAUAAAAACAAACUUUGCUAAAAAUUCCUAAGUUAUUUUUCGGCUACAAGCCUAAAUAUCUUAUCUUUUUUUUAUCUACUAAACUUUUAUUUUGUUUUUUUUUUCUAACAAAAGAUAUUAAACUACAGAGAUAAGAUUCGAACACUAGACCUCAAAAGAUUUUUCUUAUUUGAUUAAACUGUCGAUUUUCCCUUUGAACUUUCACCAAACUUUUGAUUUACCCAUGAACUUUUAAAUUGGAAAAUCAAGGACUUAAACUAAUUGUUUAGGCCCAUUUCUCCCUUACCGUUAGUUUUCCAUAAAUUUCAGCCAAAUUAACGUUAACUCUUAUCUUGUGCACACCACAUGACUCUCAUUUGAGAAUGAAAAUGUUACUUCGCUAGACCUUCAGACGCAAACACUAUAGAUUCACACAUAUUUGCACAAGUCAACGCUUUAAAAAUCUAAGGUUUUCAAUUAUUUUAAAGAACGAAGCGACCAAACUAUUCUCACAUAUUGUGCACAUAUUUUCAUUUAACAGAAAUUUGGAUAGAAUAAAUAAAAAACUAACAGUUGGAAAAAUUGGUCAGAAUAAUUAGUUCAAGUCCUUGAUUUUUCAAUUUUUCAAUUUUUCAAUUUAAAGAUAAAUAAAAAAUUAAGUGAAACUUUAUAGGGAAAAUCGGCAGUUUACACUUUUUUCUUUGCCAAUUGGAAUUGGUAAUGUUACUUGGAACCUGGGUAGCCCAGCAAACCGACUGGACUAAGUAAGUAACACAUAAAUUCACACAAUUCGAUACUUUUUCCACAAUCUCGAUCAAAUUACAGACCAAAAGAAUUUUCCCAAAACUUUAAGAACGAACCCCUUUGCUACUUUCUCUUCCUCACAGUUUGUUUCUCUGAGCUCUCCAAUGGCUUCCACCCUCUACCAAUACUCAAUCACUCAGCAAAACCAAGCCCUACCAAACACCCACCACCUCCAAUCCUGCGACUGUUUCAUCUUCCACUUCAACUUCACCCACCAACUCCAACUUUUCUUCCCCCAGGACUUGAUUGUCCCACUCAAUUCAAUCCAACAAUCGUUCCUUGUCCCCUUUCAUGUGUUUUUCUCACAGACCCGAGAAACAAUCGAGACCAUUCUAUCCGGGACUGGAGUUUCCAUGGACUUUGUGGAGACUCUGGUGCCGGAAGUUUAUGCUUUGGCCGUGGAGAUUACCCGGAACUCUGAAAAUGCUGAGCCGAUAGUAGUCCCGCUGGAUUUGGAUGUCCUUGCUGUGACCCCUUUUGAUGACCGGGAACAGAUUGAGAGGGCUAUUGUGGAAUCUGGGCUGGUUUAUAAUCCUGUCCCGGCCGCCAAGUCAUUGGGUGCCGGACUAAAGACUGUAAAUAUUGAGAAUUUGGGUGUGAGCAAGGAAUGUAGCAUCUGUUUGGAGGAGCUUUCGACCGGAUUGGAGGUUGUGCUCAUGCCCUGCAAUCAUCUGUAUCAUAAAGAUUGCAUUGUUGAAUGGCUGAAGAGAAGUCACAUGUGCCCCUAUUGCCGCUUCAAGAUGCCCACUUGAUUGCAUUGGAUUGGAUUGGAUUGCGAAAGGUAAAUUCUUGAACUUGAAUUUGGGAUAUCUUGUAUUGGAUUGGAUUAGUGAUUGACGUGAUUAUAUUAACCAGUUGGUGUUUCUCAGUUGCCACACCUGCUCGCUUGAUCACAUUGGCCUAACGGGAUUAUGAUCGAAAUCGCGGUGUUUGAUAGCUGGUGGCAAGGUUCUUGUCCUGGUAUGGCCGCUUCUCUAUAAAUUUUGUGUGUUUGCGUAUUGAUAUGUGAUCAUUCAUAUAAAUCCAUAGCAAUUAUUGAUUUGUAUAUCACUUUUAACUAAAGGUCAAUCCAAGUUUCUAACCAACACGAAGGAACUAAUGAUUUAAUUGAUUGCAUUGAGCCAUUCAGCUUUCUGCUAUGUUACCGACGACGGAGGGAGUCUUAUGGAAAGUUUCCGGUGUUGUGCUUGGAACUGAAGUGCAGGGGACUUGAUGCAUUAGCAAGCUGCUAUGAGUAUCUGAGCCAAGUGCACGAAGGCUAGAUAGAAAAAAUUCGGCGUUCAUAGUUUAAGGUAAAUAGAAAAUGCAGCACAAGUUUAUAUGUAAUGUGUAAUGUAAGAGUGGUUUCUUGAGUCUUGGCAAAGACGAAUGUCAUUGUAUUCGUUAUCGACAAUGCUAAAAGAUUUUUGUCCUCUUUACUAUGAACGAACGCUUUGCUUACGUUACAAAUCAAAGGCAUUCAAGGAGAAAAAAAGGAAAAAGAUAUUAACACUGUACACAAAAAAGAAAGCCAAAAAAAAAAAAAAAAAAAAGAGUAGUGCACAGCUUCUUCUCUUCAAUUGUACAAGGGUGUUUCUAUGCAGAUACUAUUUUCUUCUUUGCCUCAGAUCAGUUAAAAGUUCCCGCCGCGUCGCUCUUGGAUUGGUUUAUUUGAGCCAAGGAGUAGUACCAAACUGCCAGGGCUUGUCAGCCAGUUAGUGGAUGAUCAUGUUAUUUGCGAGUUUGUGCAGGAGCAGACCAUUCAAGCAAGCAGGUUGGUUCCAGAGUUUUUCAUCGCAAAGAGGGAUUUGUUGUUUUGGAUUCGGGAUUCGGGUUUAAGUUGAUUUGGUGAAGGGUAGUUGUUUAUCUCCUCGUUCCAAGGCGUCUCUCCAUUGUCUGUACCUCACUCCUAGCUUGUCAUAUGUCACCGGCCAAUUCCAGACAUUUGCCCCGUUGUUCAUUCGCUCUUGUUGACCUAGCACGAGCCUUAGAUCCUCGUUCAAAACCUGUGGAUUGAACACAAGAAAUUUUGUAAGCAGGAAUGCGAGAAAAAAAGGUUAUGUGAAAAGUAACGUAUGUCACAAACAAUUUUGUUUACCUGUUGGGCAAAAUGCCUCCACAUAAAGUUCAUGAAUGGAACGUGCUUCAGCACGGGCGCAAAAUCCAGUGACAUUCUGUAUAAUAACCUUGUUUUACCUCUCGAAGAAGGUAAGCAUACGUGGAGUUGAUGAAGAUGUGUGGAACACUGUCUAGUACUCUGCCCUUCCAGUUUUCCCGGUUUUGAGAUCCCGAUGGUUGAAUUUACCAUACAAGGUGGUCGAAAUUCCAUAUCUAUAGGAUAAGGGUCCCAAUAUCCUUGGAGGCCAGACGUAGGCGUCAAGAAUUUCACGAAGCUGAAAAUUCAGAUCAUUCACCACAUUAAGUCCUGAUGGAAAGGAUUUGUUGUGAAACAACGGGCUACAACAGAAGCAACUCCACACUGAUGGAUAGAUAUUCGAUUCUACAAAAAAGAAACAAGAAACAAACCUAGGAACACUCCAUCCCUUCGCAAAGGUGGACGUGUGAGUGAAAGGAGCAUGAGCGAGAUCUAAAAGGUUAUCAAGAAGCAGCCCAUGUUCCACUGGGAGUUCUAUGACGAGCUGCCAACAACAGUAGAAAAAUGUUACAACACUCGUCCACGUAUAGAAACAAUCACUAAACCUUGUUUUAGAAGAGGUAAAAGGAUAAGAAUUUUAUCUGUAGCAUACCUCGGCGUGGAUUUGAAAUCCUGCAGGAGGUUGUAAAGAAGGAAGGGUGGCUGACGGAGGAUCAGCACCGGGCCAAAUCCACAACAUUCCAUCUUUCUCGAAACAUGGCAAUGACUUAAUCUUCACUUUGUGUAAUCGCGUAGAUGGCAUUUUUUCACAUGUUCCAUCGGUUGAAUACUCCCACCCUGAAAUUUAUCCAUCACAAUGUUGUCAAACUGUUGAGUCCUAUAAUCAUAAAAUGUCCCUUGUCGUACUUUAUGACCUAAAUAUAGCGCAAAUGGCAAUGCCCCUUAAACAUGUCACUAACCAUGGUAAGGGCACGUGAUACGGCCCUCAUUUACUGAGCCGAGGUCAAGAGGGCAAGCUCUGUGCGCACAAGUAUUCUGCACACAUCCAGGUUUCCCAUCUUUUCCACGAAAGAGAACCCAUGGUUCCUCAAAACAAUCAAGUGGCACCUGAAAAAGGAAAAUCGAUGAGACUCUUGUUAGAAGACAUACUAGAAAACAAGUUCUCCAAAAGAUUAACUCCGCAGAAGAAGUGUAAUCCGAUAGAUAAUAUCAAACUCCAUAAUGUUCAAACUAUAAUAUAGCAACGAAAACCUAUGCCACUGAACUAACUAUGUUUUUUGUUGUUGUUGUUAAGGCUAAUGUAGCUAAUGCACAAAUAAUGAAUGCCAAAUUCGAAGAACUAGCCUACCAUGGUAUCAUCUUUCAGGUCAGUGGUGAAGGCAACAGGAUACCAAAAAUUCUUCAAUCGGGGAUGGUAGGAUUGAACUGGACCUGAAACGUUCAAGCUUUUUCGAGGAGGCUUCCUUUUUACAGAAUCUAGAGAUUGCGUAGAAGUGCUGGGAGAAGGGGAUGCUUCCUCGGAAGAUGUAGUUGCUCUAUCCUGUAACAGCUUAUCAUUCACUAAUUCUUCCAUGUAAGCCAAUUUAUCCAACGCUGUGGAAACCCUUGCUUCCGAUAUAUGAACCUGUUGUAAAUCAAUUUCAAUAGUAAGUCUCUGAUCAGCUGAAUAGUCUAGAACUAAUUAAUCUUCGUAAGUACUCAAUUUUCAAGGCGGAUAAAUGGAAGGCAAUUUCAAGUUAUUUGCAAGUUACAAGGUUUUAUAUCUUCAGGUGUUAAAAAAUUAUGUACCUGUCUAUGAGCCUCCCCUAGUUCUUCUUGCAACUCUGCGAGCUCCUUUUUGACAGUACCUAUAGACUUAUAUUCUCGGGCUAGAGGAUUUAGAACGUCCACAACCUGAGCAGCCAUACUCGAGUGUAAGAAUCCCAACGGAAAAUUUCAAAAGCUAAUAAGAUAAUUACUAACUAAACAAUAGUUUCCUCCCAUGAAUCAAUGCUCAAUGCGCAUCACUAGCAUUUUUCAAGAUUUUGAGAUUCGAACUUGAUAUAUCGUCUAGAAUCCAGAUAGAAGUUACUCAUAUUAGCACUCUGACCUUUUCAUGGAGGAGCAUGAUUGCGAGCACAUCUUGCCGAGCUCGCCAAUCACAAUACUGUAUAUCAAAUCUAGCAACUUCCAAGGCCUGGUUUGCAUCCAGAAACUUGCCCUUAGAUUGUGGAAAUUUCGACCUUGGAUCCUCCACAUCAAAGAGUGUGCUCCAAGCAUUCUUCUUCUCUAUAUCUGACUGCUCUCCGAAUACAGCAAAUACUCGAAAUCCUCCUUUCACACCCUGAAAUUUAACACACCCAACCACCUAAGCCACCACAUGAUAAUUUGGUCUACAUUCAUUAGAUAAAGAUCAUAAGCACUAGUUUCAAUCGACAACUCAAUUAACCAACAAACCAACUAAAUUCCCCUUCAAAAUUAGCUUGUGCCCACUUAAAUAAAGGUGAAACCUAUCCAAAUUUGUAUACUUUUCCACUAAGCACUUAUCAAACACACUAGAUAUGGGCUUGUUUGGAAAUGCUUAUCCAGAAAACACUUAUCCACAUAAGCAGUUUGAACUUUGAAGAACGACCGAAACUUGAAAUAAAAACCCUAAAAGUCGCUUUUGCAAUACAUGAACACUUAUAAUAUGUCAUACCACACAUUAUCAUAAGCACUUUCGAUUAUCUAAACCGCUUUCGAAAAAAGGCCCCUAACAUGCAUUAUUCCACAUUUCAAUGUACAAGUCUCUCAGAAUUGAUAAGUGAAGUCUGAAUUCGUACCUUCCUGGUGCUAAGCUUGGUCGUUCUGCAAAAAGAUAUUGGCAGAGAUAGAGCUGCAGCUGUGGCUACAAUGGUCAUGGCGUUUGAAGCUGACAGACUCAUGGCAUAGAGAGAGAGAGAGAGAGAGAGAGAAAACGUAAGAGAUAUUGGUGUCACAAAUUUAUUGUUGGAAAGUUUUGUUGAUAAGUGGCUACUGUAGCCCGCGAUCUCAGUUCUCCUCCCACGACACGCCACGUGGAUGCAGUUGGAUAACACGUGGCAAGCUCUAGUUCCACAUGCUAUUUGCUUGUGUUGAGGAGUAUCUGGCAGAAGUGGGGCCCAUAUAUGGUGCCAGCUCGGAUGACCAAGAUAUCCUGAUCUAUCCACCCCGUUUAGUGUAUUUUGUCUUUGCACUUCGAUUUUUCAAGUGGAUUGGGUUUCGAAGUGGGUGGGGGCUACACCUCUAAUUUUAUUUUAUUUUUCAAUUAAAUGAUAAAUUUGUUAUAUUAGUUACCGAUGAAGUUCGAAUUUACGUCAUCAUGCAAGAGCACAAGUCUUUUUCACUACUGUGGUAAAAGGCCACAUGCUAAUUUUUUAAAUGUGGAAGGUUCCAGGUUCAAUGCUUCGAGCUGGUGAGUCUACUUAACUGUAGCCACGGCUUACAGACUUGACUGUGGCUACGGUUCACGGGCAGAGUGAAAUUCCCCAUAACUGUACCUAAAAGGAGUAAAUAAUCGAAACUUACCAUCAAUUGUCCUCUUUUUCUUGUUUUUUUUUCACUUUUUUAUUUAAAAAAAAAAGAGAUAAAUUGUUUGGAAAAGGGUGAUUGUUUGUGAUCAAAGAUGUUGAUGGUUGUGAAUUGUGAUUAGUGCUUAAGUGUGUAGCAUCUUAUUUUCAAGUCAAUUAAAAUUUUGAAAAGAGAGAGUAUACGCUUUGACAUGCUUAAUGGGUUGGGCUCAAUUUCGCUGUCGGGCCGGUACAACGUCAACUUUGGCCUGGGCAUUUGCUCACUGCUAGACCUGUAAACAAGUCGGGUUUAUUGAGUUUGGGUCGGGUUGAACCCGACCCGUUAAGUUAAUAGGUCACCCGAACCUGACCCGUUAAACUAACGGGUCACCCGUUUCACCCGUUAACAUUCGUUAACAAUUAUUUUUAUUUUAUUUUUGCAUAGAGUUUAUAUUUUGUUGUUAAGACUUUAUUGAAAUUACUAAAACAUCUUCAACUAAAGGGUGUUAACGGGUCUAACGGGUUGACCCAAAGUGAUCCGUUAUUUAACGGGUUGACCCGUUAGCGAUCCGACCCGUUAAGCAUCCACCCAAAUACUAAUAUUAACGGGUCGGGUCGGGUCCAAAAUGCCAGGUCUACUCAUUGCAAUGGUUUGAUCGUUGUUAUGCCUCGCGGGAUGGGAUGAAAAAGGAUAAUAUCUGUCUCUUUUAUGGGGAGACUUAGGCCAUCUCCAACCGAAGGGUCCAGAAGGAUAAUAUCUGUCUCUUUGCAUAGAGUUUAUAUUUUGUUGUUAAGACUAUUGAAAUUACUAAAACAUCCUCAACUAAAGGGUGUUAACGGGUCUAACGGGUUGACCCAAAGUGAUCCGUUAUUUAACGAGUUGUUAACGGGUUAACCCGCUAGCGACCCGACCCAUUAAGCAUCCACCCAAAUACUAAUAUUAACGGGUCGGGUCGGGUCCAAAAUGCCAGGUCUACUCAUUGCAAUGGUUUGAUCGUUGUUAUGCCUCGCGGGAUGGGAUGAAAAAGGAUAAUAUCUGUCUCUUUUAUGGGGAGACUUAGGCCAUCUCCAACCGAAGGGUCCAGAAGGAUAAUAUCUGUCUCUUUGUAUAGAGUUUAUAUUUUGUUGUUAAGACUAUUGAAAUUACUAAAACAUCCUCAACUAAAGGGUGUUAACGGGUCUAACGGGUUGACCCAAAGUGAUCCGUUAUUUAACGAGUUGUUAACGGGUUAACCCGCUAGCGACCCGACCCAUUAAGCAUCCACCCAAAUACUAAUAUUAACGGGUCGGGUCGGGUCCAAAAUGCCAGGUCUACUCACUGCAAUGGUUUGAUCGUUGUUAUGCCUCGCGGGAUGGGAUGAAAAAGGAUAAUGUUUGUCUCUUUUAUGGGGAGACUUAGGCCAUCUCCAACCGAAGGGUCCAGAAGGCCAAAUGGCCGAAAAUAGUCCGAAAACCGUCUCUAACCGAGGGCCAGACCAAAGGGCUAUGGAAUCUGGGAGGGCCCCACAGAAUCGGGAAGGGCUGGAGGGUUGGCCACUUCCAGCCAGCCAGCCAGCCCCAAGCUGGCCAUUUUUUUUUUGAAGUGUUGGAUUUCCUGUCGGUUAAAACCGACAGGAAUAGUAUAUAAUAUAAUGAAUUAAAGCUAACGGCUACUGGGAUAUUUAUUAAUUAGUAUUAGUGUCGGUUAUAACCGACACAAAUACUAAUUUGAAUUAAAGCUAACUGCAGCUAGCUGUUGUAUUCAAAUAUUUUUUUUUUGAAUUUAAACCUUUUUUAACUUCUAUAAAUAUGGUGAAGCUCUUUCAAUUCUUCACUUCAUUUGCAAUAUUUCCUUCAAUAUAUUUUUCAACAUUUCCUUCAAUAUAUUUUUCAAUAUUUCCUUCAUCUGCAAUAUUUCUUUCAAUUUUUCAAUAAUUUCCUUCAAUAUUUUUUCAAUAAUUUAAAUAAUAAAUUAUGUUUGGCCCUAUGGCCCUCGGUUGGAAACGGUUUUUUGUGACAUGGCUAAAACAAGCCCUCUGGCCCUCGGUUGGAGACGGAGGCAAAUAUGGCCCUAUACUGUUCAUUAAAAUAUUAAUAUCUUGGAGAAUCUUGGAGGGCCAGAGGGCUAAAACGAGCCAUCUGGCUAGCCAUCGGUUGGAGAUGGCCUUACUUGUCUUCUCACUUGCGACUAACAAACUUUUGCUGUUCCAUCAUUAUAAUCGAAACUGUUCAUUCACCUUAUUAUUAUUUAAAGAUCAGACAUUCAAAAAAUUAUCUAAUUUCGAGAUCAUCCAACCAUUCAUAUGCAUAAAACAAAUAGACAGUCAAGAGGUGGUACAUGCUACGAAAAUUGUUGAUUGGUUUUACACGUAUGGAUAACUAAAUGAUCUCCAUUAAAUGAUUUUUUUUACAAAUAUAAUCUUUAGAUGAUGAUAAAGAGAAUGAACAGUUCAGAUUAUAAUAUUCAUACAAUAAACGUUCGUUAAUCAUAAGUAAAGGGCAAGGUAAGUCUGGCCAUGGGGGAACAAGCAUUAUCCAACGAGAAAAGUGUUACAAUUCGUGUUGUUUGUUCUUUUGGAUACUAAACGUUCUUAAGAGAAAAUUUGGUAGAAAUUUUUUUAGUGCUUUUUACCUAAGCACAUUCUAUGUGCAUUUUUUUUCUAAAUUACUUCUAGGAAGUCUAUGAAUUUAGUUUGGUUUUGGCUAAAGUCCGGUCAAUUUUGUUUGGUUUGGAGAAUAGAGGAGAAGAUAAGAAGAUUGCAAGAGAAGCAAAGGCGAAGACAAAAAAGAGAGGAAGAGGUGAAGAGAGAAGGUGGUGAACGGAGAGAGGAGGAUGAGAUAGAGUAAGUAGGCAACUCAAAGUGAAGGACAAAUUUGCAUCCACCUUACGGGUGUGCUCACUCAUGAGUGAAUAACAUACUUUAAUUGUAUAAAUUUCAAAAUUCAGACUUAUCUACUUAAAUAAUUAAUAGGAACUUGAUAAGUUAUCUUUACGCAUACAACAAAUUGAUAAGUAUAGUAACCAUUUACAUUCUUAUGAUAGAGUAUCAUUAGUUUGACACAUAUGGAUGAUAAUCAUCAAAGUGAUUGAUAUUCUACAAAGACAUUCCUUAAAUGAUGAAUAAGAAAUAGAAAACCUCUUAUAUUGACAAUGGUACGAUUAUCAGAGUUAAUUGGACAAGAAAGUGCAUACUGUGCAACUAUGGUUGAAUCUAGUAUUGCCACAAAAUAAAAAUAAUGUUAGAAUAGUGUUAUUUACACAUCAUUUUUAUUUCUCGCACUCUUUCUCAAUUCGAUCCUUAGAUUAAAUAAAUUAAAAAAAAAAUAACGUAAACACGAAUAUUCCUGCAAUGAAUGAGACAAGAACACAUGUACAAAAUAAUAUUUAUAUUAAUAAUUUAAGGGUUACAAUCUCUUCUAAAAAUUUAGCCUCUGAUUUGAUCUUCGUAAUGUGUAGAUUUGUGGAUUGUGCUGUUGAUCCAAGGGCAUUCGAGGCUUGAUCUUAGGAUAAACAGGUGAUGAACGAUGAACGCUUUCUUCAAGGGGGCCGUCGGGGCUUGAUCUUGAAUUGUGGAAGUUCUUCAAGGGUCGUCGGGGUUUGAUCUUGAAGGAGGAAGUUCUUCAAGGGCCGUUGGGGCUUGAUCUUGAAGGAGGAUUUGACGAAGAACGAAGAAAGCUUUCUUGAUCCUUAGGGAUUUGCUUAGGAGCUUUAGAGUUUCAAAGCUUCAAGGUUUUGGUGUUUUCUCCUUUUUUUUUGAUCCUUUGAUGGAAGAGCCUAUUUAUAGGCUUUGAGAAUGAAUCACCACCAUCCUUUUUUUUGGUGAAGUAAGUGGAUGUUGUACAUGAAGUGAGUGGAUGUUGUAGGUGAAGUAAUUGGAUGAUGUAGGUGAAAUGAAUGGAGGUUGUAGGUGAAGUAAGUGGAUGUUGUAGGUGAAGUAAGUGGAUGAUGUAGGUGAAAUGAAUGGAGGUUGUAAUUUUAAUGCAUUGGUCAACAUUUAUUUCACCGAAAUUUCGAUGUCUACAAAUGCCCCCACUUCAAGGCGUGUUGUAUACAUGUGAUUGUCACGUGUAGAAGAUGCGUUUUGAAGUCCCCUGAUGUAGAUGUCGAUCCUAGGGCCUUCAAGGCUUGAUCUUGAAACGGACUGGAAAUUUCUUUAAAGGCCGCUGAGGCUUGAUCUUGAAUUGAGCUUGAAAAUUUCUUCAAGGGCUGUCGAGGCUUGAUCUUGAAUGAAAUUGGACCACAAGAAGCUUCAUGUGGUAAAUGAUCUUUGGCUUUGGUAAUGGAUGAAUCGACACAUAUUUUGUUGCGAUUGUUGACUUUCCAUAACUUCGAUCUUGAACUAGGUUGGAAGGUUUUCUGGUUUCCUCCAAUUGUUGAUUUUCCACAAGCUUAAUCUUGAACUUGAUUGGGGGGGGGUUUCUUCUGCCAGACUUGCGCCGAAUGUCUAAAUUUACUCCUUUUAUCUGGAGGUGAAUUUGGUUCAAAGAUGGCGAACACUUGAUCUUGAAUCGAACUUGUGAUUUCUUCUAGGGUCAUUGGGGCUUGAUCUUGAAUUUCAAUAGGACCGCGAGCAGUUUCAGGAUUUAGACACAUGGCAGGUAGGCAUGAGAUGGAGGUGACAGUCUGUUUCUUUGUUCAAUCUUUCCAAUUCAUAUUGAAAAGGUUCAGGGGAUGAGGUUAGAGGCUGCAAAAAAUUUGCUCUGAAAGAUCAAGGAAGUUCGCGGCAUUUUCAUAUGAACCCCGAGCAAUUUGGUUAACGGUAUGAUCUUUAAGGGUUGUCGAGACUUUGCUUUUCGACGACAGUGCCAUCGAAAGGCUGUUGAAGCUUAUCGAGCUCUUUGAUUAUAGCAACGAUGGCAGGCUUGAAUCUGACUUAGACUCCUCCGUCCGGAUUAUGCAGUUCUGCCAAGAAGGGUGUCCUGCUAUAAUGAUUUGUUUCAGCUUAUUGUGUUGCAUUCUUCUUUGCUUGUUUUUUUCGCAUAGCAUAAGUGGUGCACAACCUUUUGCAUUUAAAUAGUCCUUAAGAGCAUCACUUCACAGCGACUCAUCCAUGCUUGGCAGCUUCAGUGUAAAGAGCCAACAUCUUAUCAACUGUCCUGAAGUAUUUGAUGAGGAAAUUCGAGACCUAUCAACAAUUGAAGAUGAGCACUCGAGAGCAGUGCUAGGUAAGCAACCAGGCAAAGGUUCUGGGUAAUCAGUUCCCGAUUGGAAGUUUGAUUUCGGGUUCCGACUGAUUGAUUUCUUUCUCCUUAUCCUGCAGGCAAGAGCAAGGGCAAAGGAAAGGACAUGGGAAAACCAUGAUAUAAGAUACCUUUGUUAUCGACCCUAAUGAUAUGAGAUACUUUUUCUUUUGAAGAAGUAGCGGAUGAUCAACACAUGUAUUUGUUACGCUCGUCUCCACAUGCUUCGAUGCAUCACUUUCACUUGCUUCAUCUGUUCUUCAGGCAUCUGGUAUCUUCUUUGGCAGUGCAUCAAUGAUUGAAGAUAAGUACUUAAGAGUAGUGCUAGGUAAGCAAUCAGGGAAGGGAUUCCAGGCAGUCGGUUCCAAAUCGGAAAGUUGAUUCCAAGUGCCGGCUGAUUCUCUCUUUCUCCUUGUCCUGUAGGGAAGAACAAGAACAAAGAAAAUGACAGGGGAAAACAUGCUAUGAGAUACUCUUGCUUUCGACUCUGAUGAUAUGAGAUACUUUUGCUCUAGUGUGACUUGGUUGAAGAGGUAUUUUCAGGGAGGAAGAAAACUGAGUAUGUUGAGAGGUUUAGUUGCAGAUGUAUUCUUGGCAAGGAAGAAGAGUCAGGCGUUUAUAUUUUCAGGGAGGAAGAAAAGUGAGUAUGUUGAGAGGUUUGGUCACAGAUGUAUUCUUGGCAUGGAAGAGGAGUCAAGCAUUUUGGAUAUGUGCCUUGCCAUAGAGGAUGAAGAUCGACCUAUAUAGGGAGUUCCCGAUAGCUGGUAGUGCGGAUACGGCAUUAUCACCCACGCUUGUUGGCAAAAGUGUGGUGGUUGAAAUAGUGAACUUCACGCGUUUUCAACUCUGUCAGAGAUCUUUGAAAAAGUUGCAUGUGCUAUCUGACAAGUUGAGGUUGCGUCUGAAAAGUGUUGACGAACUUUAUGCAGGAAAAUCCGGCUUUUGAAAUUCAGAGAGCGGUGUCUCUUCGAUUUUUGAAUUGGUGGUUGUGUUACCUCUCCUUUUAUAGAGGUAUUGAUCACAUCCCACAUGCAUACUUUGAAGAUUGCUCACUCGUGAAAAUCGUCUCCGGUGUAUUUCUGAGAUUUUACUCCAUCCAACCUUUUUCUUUUACCGUUUCUGAAAAUGGCUUACCUGUAUAACAUUUGCUUAAAUUUGAGUCUCAUGAGUGAUAUAAGUGCGCCGCGUUAGGGUAAUAUAUGGCACCCAUUCUUCUUAUCUUCUAAUGGCCCUCUUACUAUUGAAGACUCCGUGAUGAGGGAUGCAACAACGGCUAUGGUUGUAGCUAGGAACCUCAUCACUCUUAGAGAUGACAUGCUACUUUCAAGACGGUCCGAUGAGUUGGCUGUUCAAGACUCCUGGGCUCUCAGUGUUCAGUGCACGGGCUCUUUGUCCAACAUGGGCCAACGCCUACUGGCUCGAACUUGCCAAGUUGAAUCAUUGACAGCCAAGGCGGCCAAUCUUAGACAAGAGAUUAGAUGACUCAAGCGCAAGAAUAAAGAGUUGCGCAUGCUUGCAAAUAAUUAUUCAACGAGCAUGAAGAGAAAGCUUGAUCAGCUGCAGGAAUCUGAAGGUCGGAUUCAAAGUGACCAUCAGAGGUUUGUGGCUGUACUCCAGAGGCAUUUUCUGCAUUUGUCAUCUAGAGUUCGACUAAGUAUUGAGGCUCUGAAUAAUCAACCUCUGGUGCCUCUUCUUCAUGGAGUUCCACCAAGUAUUGUGGCGUCACGUGAGCAACCUUUAUGAAGGCUCCCUUUUUUUUCCUUUUUUUGUUGUUGUAUAUAUUUGUAAUUUCUUGAAGAUAUCAAUAGACAUGCUUUAUUUCAUUUAGUGUAUUGUGCCAAACAUAAAUAAAACGUAUAUCUUACCAGGACGUGUUACUUCCCUAUUUUUCUUUUUGUAUUUUAUUUUAUUUUUUUAUAAAUCAUAUUAUCCAAGAUGGUGCAGUGCACCAUCCCAUCACCCUUUAUUUUUUUUUUCAAACGGUGCCUGAUGCACCAUUUUCCCUUAUUCUCUACUUUUCAAUCAUUCUGUUGCCACCACCUUUGUUUUUUUUUUUUUUUUUUGACUUGCUAAUAGUAGCAUGCACUUGUGAGUAGUGGCUUGAAGAUGGCACGGCUGGGUUCCUCAGUGGGCUUCCUUGCUGUACUGUACUCUCUGCAUGCAGACCAUUUUCAUUUGCUUCUCUGGAGACCAUCAUUUGCACAGUCAUUGUGCUAACAGUUUUUAUUUUAUUUUUAUUUUUAUUUUAUUUUUAUUUUUAUUUUUAUUUUUAUGAUAUAUAUAUAUAUAUAUAUAUAUAUAUGAGUGUGUGUGUGCUGCAUGGGAUGAAAUGAGACAAUCUGCAAUAGGAGAGUUAUGGCUGUGUGUCGUAGAGACAAUGGAGUACCGAUUAUGGUGAAGCAGGGGAAUCGAACGACAAGCUGAAGCUCCACUACUUGAUGCUAUGAAUCUCUGUGCUUCCUGAUUCGACCUGGAAAACCCAACGUAUACGAAAUUGCUUACGUACAUGCCUAGAUCAAGAGAGGAUGAUAAGAAUGGGUCUUUGGGUUUCCGAUUAGAGUAUGAAACCGAGACAUUGAUGACCCUACUAGACCCAUCGUACUCGAUCCAUGAGCUUACCAGAUCGCUGCUCUUGAGAUUGAUGUCAACGGAGCCUAAAUCGCUGACAUGCGUUGACACCAUGGAGUUCAGAUCCAAUCCGAAGUGGUUCCUGUUGAUGUCUUUGAAUCUGGAGGGUGUCAAAGAGCGUUGGGUCAAGCUUAGAACUGGCAUAGUUGGAGAUGCAACCCAAUAAUAUCCCAGCAUCGAUGAACACCUCUGGGAAGGACGUGAGGAAACCCAUAUGAUGACGAGGGAGAGACCUCGACAGUGUACACCGGAGCAAUCAUAAAGGCGUAGUUGAUGGCGAAUUCUGUGAGGAGAGCUUCGACAAGGAAGAUGAGUCUGCCCUAUGCACUCGCAAGUUCUGACGUAUGGUAGAUUAGAGUAGCCAUCAUGGCUUUCCCAAGUACGUCACUUCGAACCUUGUGAAGACAAGCUUCUGUUCGGGGACGAUCUUGUAGUCGGGAUGAUAAUGGUCAUGAUCUCGUGUUUGAACUACCCUCUGGGAGCGGUGAUGAAGGCUUGGAAGAGCAGAAGGUACUCCUUGUCGACGGAGGCAGAGGGCAUAGCACGCCCAAUGGGAGUGUGAGUCUGGGUUAUGGUUUUUGAAGGGUUGAGGAUGAAUGAGGAGAAUGGAGAUUGAAGCCAAAACGAGUAGGCCGACGAGUGCUCAGUCAAGCCCAAGGCCCAUUGAGGGAAUCACACGCGGCUUGAGUAUAUGGGCCUUCGUUUUUUUGGGUAUAUGGGCCUUCGUCCUCAACACAACAAUCCAGCCCACCAUUUUGGGCUUGCCGACAUUUUGCUUCUACUUUUUUUUUUUUUGGAAGAAACUAUAAUUUAAUUUUUUUUAUACAAAGAAAAUUGCAAUUUUUUUAAUUCUAUAGGUGCUCACUGCAUUCAUGGAUUUCCUUGCUUGUUUUGACGGAUUACCCAUGUUCACAAUUGGGGCAGCUCCUUAUGAAUUUGCAAUGGGUGACGGAGUGAGCCGGAUGUGAGUGCAACUGUGCUAUUUGUCUGGUGCUUGUUGCAGUGCAUCACUUUUUACCGUGUGGUGCCGUGCAAAAGACUGCAGUUGGAUUUUGCUGUGUAGUGCCUUUUGGUCACGGUUUUCCCUCAGUGGUGAUGUUGUUGUGCACAUUGACCUUGCUGUUUACCGUGGGCUCUUUGCCGCUGCUACUUGGAGCUUGUUCCAGUGCGUCACUUUUACCGUGUGGGGUUGUGCAAAAGACUGCAACGAGUUUAUGCUAUGUAGUGCCUUUUGGUUACAACUUUCCUCGGUGGUGAUGUUGCCGUGCACAUUGACCUUGUUGCUUGCCGUGGGCUCUUUGCCGCUGCUACUUGGAACUUGUUCUAGUGCGUCACUUUUACCAUGUGGGGUUGUGCAAAAGAUUGCAGCGAGUUUAUGCUGUGUAGUGCCUUUUGGUCACAACUUUCCUCGGUGGUGACGUUGCCAUGCAUAUUGACCUUGCUGCUUGCCGUGGGCUCUUUGCCACUGCUGCUUGGAGCUUGUUCCAGUGCGUCACUUUUACCGUGUGGGGUUAUGCAAAAGAUUGCAGCGAGUUUAUGCUGUGUAGUGCCUUUUGGUCACAACUUUCCUUGGUGUGACGUUGGUGUGAUGCUCACCUUUGUAAUACGGCUUUGUAACCAAAUCAUUCCUUUAAAGGAAUAAAGUAUUAAUAUUUUGAAUUUGCUUUUUAUUCUUCAAAGUGUUUGUGUUUUUGUUGGUGAUGUGACUGUACUCGAAGUUUUUGAAGUUUCAAGUUGCCUACGUGUAAUAUCCCUCGUUUAAUUAAGGGUGAAGUGUGAUUAUAAUUGUUUUUAUACAAAAUUUUAAUCUACUUAGUUUUUAUUUGUUUAAUAUCUUUUAAUACUAUACUUUUUAUUUAUUAGAGAUUUCUAAUUAUUGUUAUAUAUAUAUAUAUAUAUAUUAUAAAAGAAAGGAAAAGAACAUUCUUUCAUGUUCUUCCUUUCUGUGCGAUGGAAACAAGGAAGUUGGGAGAAGGUGGCCUUCCAUAGCUUUAGGAAAAAAAAAAAAUCUUCUUUCUUCUUACCCAAAAAUCGGAUAGAGAUUAAGAAAUCUUGUGAUAGGUCGACCUUCGAUUGAUCAAAGGAGUGUGUCAUAGAGAGUUGUUCAUCUCCUAUUUCACCAAGGAGUGUGUUCGACAGAGGAUGAACUAAGAAGAGACACAGAGGUCUAUAAGCAGGAGGUGGAUGGCCUAGGAAGCUAGGUUUUUAUCAUGACUCUGAUAGGAGUGAGUAGGAUUAGAGAAACUAUAAAAGGGGUUGCAGAGAAGUGGGAAAGCAUCAGAAAUCGAAAAGGGGUAGAGAAAUUGAGAGUUAGAGAAUGUGAUUGUGAAGGAAUGAUUCAAAGAUUUGAAGGGUAAACUUCUUGUUACUUGAUUAUUUAGAUUUUUCGAAUUUAAUUUCCUUAGUUGAAUUGAAAUUGCCAUGAGAUAUAUUUGGAGUUCUUAGUUUUAUUUAGGGUUUUCUACUCUUCAAUGAACCAAUCUGAACUUGAAUUAGAGUUGGGUAAUUCGGAUUGGGUGUGUAGAUCAAAUUUCUUGAUCAAGGGUUUGGUUCAAAAGGUCAAUUUCUUGUUAAUUUUGAGUCAUGUUAUAUUUAGGUGUUGUAUACAUGAUUUUUGGAUUACUUGGAAAUAUUUUGGGUUUUGUUAUAUGAAUUGGAAGUAUAUUGUUAUGUAAGUGCAGAAAAUUGAUUUCUUUGCAGAGGAAACUCAAGUUUCUAGUGGUCUUAUUUUGCUCUUAAUUCAUAGGUCUUUAUGUGCUCCUUUGGAGAAAACUUUUAUUGUGUUGAAAAUACAUAUGUCCAUGAUUGUAACCCAAUUGUUUUCACUCAAUUUCGUUGAGUUUUGGUUGAUCAAAACCUUAUUUAAACUUGGGUCGCGAGCUGCCAAACAGCAGCAGAAGACUGGGUUUCCAAUUUCAAGACUCCAUUUUUCUUUUGGCAUAACUUCCAAUUUAGAGCUCCAUUUUCUACAAACUUUAUAUGCUUUUAAAGUACAUAACACGAACUUCAAAACCAAUGUAAUAUUACACGAUUUGGUUUAGUUUUGAAUGUUCGAAAAUGAGUCUAAACUUGGUUCAAUAGUGCUGUUUUUCUGCAGAUUUUGUGAAGAUGCAAAGUUCUGUUUUUAGCACACCUAAUUUCUUUUCCAGAUUCCUUUCUAGUCCUCUUUACUUGAUUUGAGUGAUAUUAUUUGAGUUAUAAGAUUCCAUAAUUUAUGUACUUUCUUUAGAUAAUAUCAAUUUUGUGGUUGAACACUUAGUUUGGUUUCUAAUAUAUGUUACUUGUGUUUAUAUUUUUGGUUGUAUUUUUGUGUUCCGAUUAGGUUCUUCAGAGGAACAAAAUUAAUCGAAUUCAAGGUAGGGGGUUCUGGGAAACCUUCUAUAUAGAUAUUAAUUUAAUUAUUUCUUACUUAAGUACAUAUACAAGUUUGAGAUACAUGUUUUUAUUGGAUAUUUGAGUAUGAUGAAUGUUCAAAAUGAAAUUUGGGUCCAUGAUGUGGGAGUAAAGUGGGAUUGUCGGAAACAACUUUGGGAAUCUAAGGUGGUGACUAUUAGUUUUGUGUAGUUGGGCCAAACUCUUAGUAGGUACCAGGUCUCAGGCGAGCCCACAGUGCACAGAUUCUUUAAGGGUAAUUCGGGACUGGAGACGAAGAGUUUAGGCAAGAUGACUAACAAAAGGGGAGUUCAGGGAUGUUUAGGGAUGGGGGUUAGUUCAUAUAUUUAAACACUCGGGAUCAAGUGCUAUAAGUACGGAAUGGGACGUACAAGGUCUGGGUGUUUAGUUAUGUGGAUUAACGGGUAUAGUUAAGGCAUUUGCAUUGCAUUCUUACGCAUCAUUCUAAUUUUGGUUUUAAUUCUGCUAUCUUAAUUAUACUUUAUUAUUUUAGUAAUGAAGGUAUAUGUCCCUAUUGAACCUUUUAAGCUCACCUUAACGAAAUUUUGCUGGUAUAGAACCAAAAACCUAAAAGUCUGCUUGUUGUCUGUUUUGUAAUUAUGUAUAAGAAAUAAAAAGAUGAGCUUGUUGGCUUUUGCUCUCUUGUUUGAAUAAAGAACUACUUUUGUGUGAACUUUGAGUAGUUCAUAAGUUGUAAUUGGCUGAAACUUUCAAUAAUGAAUAUGUUGUUUAGUUAAUUUUGUUCCAAGCGAGUUAUACAUGCUUUUAUUUCAUGUCACAUUCUCAAUUAUAUUAUUUAAGCUUAUAAUUAAGGUGUGAUUCACGUUCUGAACCAAGGUUUAUGUUAAUCCUUGGGUUGGGGCGUGACACUACGUACCCUCGAUUGAUGAGGGAUCAAGUCAUGACGUAGUUCAAAUGGGUGAUGUUUUUUUUUUUUUGUUUUUUUUUCCAUACACAGUUUAUGCUCUUGCGGGCUAGGAGCAUAGUGCGUUUGUUUUAAGGGUAGUAGCACUUUAAGAAUCUUCUAUUGAUGGGGCUGAUCUUCAAGCCGUCUUCUGCCAUGAUUAAGUAGGCACCGUUGGUGUAAACCUCUUGUAUUACAUAUGGUCCAUCCCACUUUGAUGUGAACUUACUUUUUGUCUAGUGAGUUGUGAUGAUAGGCCUACACAAUACAAGGGUGAGGUCUCCAGUUUGGAAAGACCUUGGGUGAACCUUCUUGUUGAAUACCUUGGAUAGUCGUGUUUGGUAGCAUUCCAAGUGUUGUUGAGUUUCGAGCCUUCUCUCAUUCAGCGCUUCCAGCUCUUGAAGACGCAACUUUGCAUUCUCUUCAUCAAUCAAGCCUUCUUGUAUAGCCAUCCUUAGUGAGGAGAUUUGACUUUCAAGCAGUAGAACAGCUUCCACGCCAUAUACGAGAGAAUAAGGCAUAGCUUGGGUAAGAGUCCUAUGUGUCGUCCUAUAUGCCCAAAGUGCUUCGCUUAUUCUUUCGUGCCAGUCUCUCUUUGUUAGGCCAAUCACCUUCUUCAGGAGGUUGCACAGUGUUUUGUUAAAUGCUUCUGCAAGACCGUUGGCCAGAGCAUGAUACAUGGAUGACUUGUGCUGUUUGAACUUGUAUUUCUCGCAGAGCUCGUCCACGAGUUGGUUAGAAAACUGUUUUCCGUUAUCAGUGAUAAUGUAGCGAGGCACACCAUAUCGGUGGAUGAUAUGCUCCUUGAUGAAACGGACGACAGUUUCCUUUUUUACUUCCCUUAGGGGUAUGGCUUCAGCCCACUUGGAGAAGUAAUAUGUUGUAGCUGGGAUGUAAGUUUCUCCUGUAGAUGACUUUGGCGUAAUUGGUCUUACAACGUCUAAUCCCUAUGCAUCGAACGGCCAUGAAGCAGCUGUAUGGUGUAAUGGUUCAGGUGGUUGAUGUAUGAAGUUGGCAUGGAAUUGGUAGGCUUGGCACAUUUUGGCAUGUUCCAGGCAAUCCUUCAUCAUGCUUGGCUAGUAGUAACCCAUUCUUUUGAGCUGGAAAUGCAAUUUUGGUCCAGAUUGAUGUGCCCCGCAUAUACCUGAGUGUGCUUCCUCCAUGGCUUGAUUGACUUCUUCCUCACCUAGGCAUCUUAGAAGUACCCCUUUAAAAGAGCGUCGGUAGAGUGUUCAUUUGUAGUAGAAGAAGCGAGGUGCUCGUCGACGUAUUUCAGAGCGGUGUCUAGGAUCAUAUGGAAGCUUUCUAUGCUCCAAGUAGUCAAUCAUCGGUUGUCUCCACUCUUCAACGUCAACUGGAAGUACUGAGAUAAGGUUUAUAUCAUCUAGUAGUAUUUCGGUGAUAAGCGGGAUCACCCAUCUUUGGCAAACAGGCACGUCUGCCGCUUCGUCUUCUCCUAAUGUCAUGCUCGAGGCUAGGUUGGCAAGAACAUCUGCCAUUUGAUUUUCUUUUCUUAGUACAUGUUCUAGUGUUACAGCCUCGAACCUUUGCAGUAAUUGAGUUGCUAGCCGGAAGUAUGGGACGAGAUCAUCUUUCCUCACCUCAUAUUCAGUCAAGAGCUUGGAGUCGCCAUAUACCUCAAAGGCUGUGAUUUCCAUGUUGAUCGCCAUUUGGAGUCCGAUGAUCAGUGCUUGGUACUCAGCGACGUUGUUGGAGCAUAAUUCGCUUAGUUGGAAGAAAUAAGGUAGUAUUUUCCUUUGUAGCGACAUGAAUACUACUCCUGCCCCCGCUCCAUCUGCUCGUGCAGAUCCGUCGAAGAACAUCGUCCAUGUCGGGAAAAUGUCGAUGUAGAACACCUUUUCAUCAGGCAAGUCGUCUGAGAUUUUCCCAUCAGUCGGGAUUGGGUGAUCGGCAAGGAAGUCUGCUAGCGCUUGUCCCUUAACGACUUUAGUUAGAACGUAGAUGAUCUCAUAUUGAUUAAGAAGCAGAGCCCAUUUAGCAAGUCACCCUAUUAAGACUGGUUUGGACAUGAUGUAUUUGACUGGGUCAGCUUUAGUAACCAGGUGGAUGGUGUAAGCGUGCAUGUAAUGCCUGAGCUUUUGGAUGGUGAACACCAAGGCAAGGCAUAUCUUUUCUAUUGGGGACUAGUUUAACUCAGCACCGGUGAGGGUUCGACUUAGGUAGUAAAACACUCAUUCUUUAUGGGAUUCAUUCUCUUAUGCCAAGAGUGCUUCAACUGAACUUUCCUGAGCAGCGAUGUACAAUAUGAGUGGUUUCCUUGGCACAGGCGUCCCCAGGACAGGUGGACUUGAUAAAUACUUUUUUAUGCUUUCAAAAGCAUUGUGGCAUGCUUCGUCCUAUACGAACGGAACAUUCUUCUUCAUAAGUCAAUUGAACGGUUAACAAUGCCCUGCAAGGUUGGAGAUGAAGCGUCUGAUGAAGGCUAGUCAUCCUUGUAAACUUUUCAGCUCAUGCAGGUUUCUUGGCUCAGGCAUGCUUUGAAUGGCCUUAAUCUUUGAUUGGUCCACUUCAAUGCCACGAUGCUUGACAAUGAAGCCAAGGAACUUUCCAAAGGUGACGACAAAUGCACACUUUAACGGGUUCAUCUUGAGGUUGUAUUUUCGCAGCCUUUCGAACACUAUUCGCAAAUCCUUCAAGUGAUCUGAUUUUUUUCUUUGUCUUGACCACCACAUCGUCUACAUAACACUCUACAUUUUUGUGUAGCAUGUCAUUAAAGAUUUUCUGCAUUGCACGUUGAUAUGUAGCUCCAGCGUUUUUUAGACCAAAUGGCAUCACCUUGUAGCAGUAGAUACCUUUUAGAGUGCGAAAGGCUGUUAGUUUCUCGUUUUCGAGAGCCAUGUGAAUUUGAUUGUAUCCAUAAGAGUCGUCCAUGAAUGACAGUGCCUCAUGACCAGUGGUUGCGUCCACCAUGAUUUUGAUGGUUGGCAAGGGGAAGUCGUCUUUUAGGUAAGCAUCAUUGAGGUCCCGGAAGUCUACGUAAAUACAUAUUUGUCCAGAUUUCUUAAGGACAAUGACGAAGUUAAAGAUCCACUUAGGGUAUUGCACCUCUCGAAUGAAGCUUACUUCGAUUAGCUUGUCAAUCUAGGCCUCAAUUUGUGGGAUGAGCUCAGAUUGCAUUUGAGUUUGCUUUAUCGGUCGUGUUCCAGUCUUGACUGCAAGAUGAUGCACAAUGAUGACAGGGUCAAGGCCGGGCAUGUCCUUGUAGGUCUAAGCAUCAUGGAUUUGAUCUUUUUGGGGAGAGCUUCGGGCACUAUGUAUUCCUCUAUAUAGAACUUGGCAUAUGCGAAGUGUGAUUCAGCUUCAGUGAAUGGCUUGGUAUCACCUAAGAUCACUUUCACUUCUUCCCGGUAGAAUUUUAAGCAUUGGUGGAUGGUGAAUGGACUACUCCAUUCCUGUGGAUCCAAUGCCUUCCUAAGAGCAAGUUGUAAGAAGUUCUUGCAUCAAUCACGUGGAAUAUCGUGCUUGAUUUGAGUUCACUAAUGGUCAUCUCCACUCGGAUCAUGCCCGUCGCUCUUUGUCCUCUUUGAUUAAAACCUUGGAUUAGUAGACGGCUUAGGGAUAGUUCAUCCAUCUUGAUGCCGAUUGUGGUCAUUGUUGACUUUGGCAUGAUGUUUAUGGCCGAUCCACCAUCCACAAGCAUGCAGUUGACUUUGUGUUCCCUUACGUACCCAAAGAAAGGACGGUUGUAAGGCUUGAAUCCUAGCAGCAAGUCUUCAUCGGUGAAGUGGAUUGCAUCCUGGGCAGCAUAACACAUGGCAUACUCAUGUGGUCGAAGUUUCAAGUCUUCAUCUUUACUUUCUUGCACUUCAUGGUUGUCGAGACUUGCCAAGACCACUGUUAGAGCUCUUCACAUCUUCUUUGGCAAUCGUAGCGCUUCCUUGAUGCUAAAGUGUGUUGACAGACCUUCUUUGGGCGUAAGGGUCUUUUCUUCCUCAAUGGCGAUAACUUUGCCUUUUGAGGGCUCUUCCAUCUCUACUUUAACCAUGUGACAGGCGAAGGUAGUGCACUAUUGGAAGAAGUUAUUUGGGAAGUACUCGUGCAAGGAGACAGGAAUGCGUGGCUCGUGCUCCAUAAGUUCCCCAGCGUACGUUGGCUUAAUAGCUCUUGCGUUUCCUUUGGGCUUCCUAUUGUUGUGACGGCGGUGCUUUCUCCCUUGCUCCCCCUUUGGCCUUGUGGCUUGCGGUCUUGGCUUCCUGGUCUUUUUAUAGGUCACAAAUGUCCACCAUUCUUCAUCAUCGGUAGGUGCAUCUUGGUCGUUUUCCCCCAGUGAUGGUUGUGCAGAAGGUACCAUAAAGCUUGAGCAUUGAUGGGAAUGGUCAAGUGUCACUUCAAGAGGCAUAGGAUCGAAUGAUCCAAACGCAAUUGUAGUAGUCUGUGUUACGGUCGUGUCUUCAAGGUCAAGCUCGAUUUGCCCUUGUUGCGCUAGCUUCAUGAUGAGUUCUUUGAGGACGAAGCACUUGCCAACAGAAUGGCUCACGAUACAAUGGUACUUGCAAUACCUAGGAUCGUUUACGUGAUUCAUCUUUUCAGGGCGCUUGCAUUCUGGUAACUCGAUCACCUUCUUUUUUAGCAAGUCGUCUAACAUUGCAUCCAUGUCUUAGUCAGGAAAAGGAUACGUCUUUUGCUCCAGCUCCCUCAAGGUGUUUUUGUACCUGUCUUUGGCGCGAGAAGGCUCAUCUCUCUUUAUUUCCUUCGCUUUGUUCUUGGAGGAGAUUUUGACAAGCAUGGAUGAGGUCUUGAUGGGGGUAGUGUUGACGGUAAAAGCUUCCUUGGUGGGCUUCUUCCAGUCUUGUCUACAUUCGGGGCGAACACCUUAUCCUUCUUGAAGUUAGUGAUUGGCUCAUUCUUCCCGUGAUAGGCAAUACUCAGCUCCAUGUCGUGGGAACGAGUUGCUAGCUCCUUAAAUGUUCUUGGUUUUAUGCCUUAAGGAUGUAAUGUAACCCUCAGUGUAUGCCUUGAACGCACAUCUCAAUGGCGGAGGUUUCAGAAAGUUGAUCUUUGCAAUCCAGACUUAAUGAACGCCAUCUAUUGAUGUAAUCGAUGACAGGUUCAUCCUUCCACUAUUUCGUACUGGUAAGUUCCAGCAUGCUUAUGGUGUGGCGCGUGUUGUAGAAACGGUUGAGGAAUUCUCUUUCUAGCUGAUCCCAACUGUUGAGGUCAGUGUACCAAUCAAAUGCGUUACCUUUCAGUGAGCGCAUGAACUGCUUGACGAGGUAGUCUCUAUCCGUCCCAGCAUUAUUUAAGGUUUCAAUGAAAUGGGCGACAUGUUGCUUUGGGUUUCCCUUUCUAUCGAACUGCAUGAAUUUUGGAGGCUUAUAACCCAUCGACAUUUUUAAAGCGUCAAUCUUCUUGGAGUAGGGCUUUGAGUACAGCACGGAGUCAUGUGAGCUUCCUUCGUAUUACGUCCUAAUUGUGCUUGCGAUCAUCUCCUGCAACUGCUGGAUAGAGAGAGAUCCUAUGAACGAUGUUGUUUGGUCUGGCUUAAGCUUCUCUUCGACUUUCUCCGCAGGAGGCUCUUCAUCCUCGUCAUUUUCCUUCUUUAAUGGGUUAACCCUUAGGUCGACUUUCACGUCGGGCUUCGCAUCUAGUUGGUUAACAAGUACGGCGAUUUGCAAGUCUUUCUUUUCCACAGUCCGUGUGAGGUUUAUGAUCGCUUCAUUUAUUUGAGCCAGCUGCUCCUCGGUUGAAGUUGUUCCGGUAGUCAUGACUUGCAUGGCUAUGCUGCUGCUUAAGUCAGCAUCGGAAAGUAAGGGCUCCGAGUACUUCAUUGGGAUUUCCUCUCUUUGCGCCCUUAGCGAGGCUAGGGUGAUCAUAAGCUCGUGCCUCGGGUGCUCUUGUUCCUUUGGCAGAGUUGAUGCGGGGGUGGAAGAGGCAGCGAAAAGAGCUCUUGCCUUGCUUCGAGUUGUGACGCCCGGAGUGACACCAGCUGUAGUGAUGACACUUUUGUUCUUUACAUUGGUUGUGAGAACAACUUGAACCUUCUUUGAUGUCAUUUCUGCUUUUUGCAGAUUCGAAGAUAGAGAUGAGAGGUAGAGAGAUCCCACCGAGCAUGCCAAAUUUGUAAACACAAAUAUUCCUGCAAUAAAUGAGACAAGAACACGUGUACAAAAUAAUAUUUGUAUUAAUGAUUUAAGGGUUACAAUCUCUUCUACAAAUUUAGCCUCUAAUUCCAUCUUCGUAAUGUGUAGAUUUGUGGAUUGUACUGUUAAUCUAAGCCUUCGAGGCUUGAUCUUAGGAUAAACAGGUGAUGAAGGAUGAACGCUUUCUUCAAGAGGCCGUCGGGGCUUGAUCUUAAAUUGUGGAAGUUCUUCAAGGGCCGUUGAGGCUUAAUCUUGAAGGAGGAUUUGGUGGAAGUUCUUCAAGGGCCAUUGGAGCUUGAUCUUGAAGAAGGAUUUAACAAAGAACGAAGAAAGCUUUCUUGAUCCUUCAGGAUUUGCUUGGGAUCUUGAGGGUUUCAAAGCUUCAAGGUUUUGGUGUGAUGUCUAUUGGUUUUCUCCUUUUUUUGAUCCUUUGAUGGAGGAGCCUAUUUAUAGGCUUUGAGAAUGAAUCACCACCAUCCUUUUUUUGGGUGAAGUAAGUGGAUGUUAUAGGUGAAGUGAGUAGAUGUUGUAGGUGAAGUAAGUGGAUGAUGUAGGUGAAAUGAAUGAAGGUUGUAAUUUUAAUGCAUUGGUCAACAUUUAUUUCAUCGAAAUUUCGAUGUCUACAAUUAACAAGGGUACUUAAAAGUAAAAAUGAUUGUGUAAAUAAUCUUGUCAAGAACAAAAGAAAUGAAACAAAAUCUAAACCGACAGUCACCGCCCGAUGCCCAACGUUAGGGACUUAGCUUCUCUGCCCUCCCAGUUCCCAUACACUCUCAUCCCCUCCUAUUUGUGCAUUCACAGUUAAGCCACGUCAAUAUUUUAUAUCACUAUUGCUUUUUAUCUUAUUAUCCCUAUAAAAAUCAAUAUAAAAUGUUAACGUGACUUAAUCGUGAUCGCACAAAAAAAAAAAAAAAGGAAUGUACGGGAUUUGAGAGGGCAGAGAAGCCGGGUCCCAACGUUAUAUUGCUGGUAAAAGAAGCAAGCAACCUCCAAUCAGACAAUCAGUCAAACAUUCCUCAAGUUUCCAAAAACAAAUUAAAUCUUCCAAUUAACGAAUUUAAUACAAUCCUAUCCGCCAUGAACAGCAACCCACCACCUUUUUUUUCAACUUCUACAAACAACAACAACAACAAAGUCUUUUCCCACUAAGUGGGGUCGGCUAUGUGAAUCCUAGAACGUCAUUGCGCUCAGUUUUGUGUCAUGUCCUCCGUUAGAUCCAAGUACUCUAAGUCUUUUCUUACUGUCUCUUCCAAAGUUUUCCUAGGUCUUCUUCUACCCCUUCGGCCCUGAAUCUCUGUCCCGUAGUCACAUCUUCGAACUGGAACGUCAGUAGGCCUUCUUUGCACAUGUCCAACCCACUCAUUCCUAAUCUUAUCCUUUCUCGUGAGCCCACACCUCCAACGAAGCAUCCUCAUCUCCGCUACACCUAUUUUGUGUACGUGUUGAUGCUUCAUCGCCCAACAUUCUGUGCCAUACAGCAUCGCCGACCUUAUUGCCAUCCUAUAAAAUUUUCCCUUGAGCUUCAGUGGCAUACAACGGUCACAUAACACGCCGGAUGCACUCUUCCACUUCAUCCAUCCGCUUGUAUUCCAUAUAUUCUGUCUUUGAUCGGCUUAGGCGAAAGACCUUUAGAUUCCAACACUUCUCUCCAAAGGUUAAGCUUCACAUUUACCCCUUCCUGAGUUUCAUCUAUCAACCCUAUAUCGUCUGCGAAAAGCAUACACCAAGGAAUAACAUCUUGAAUAUGUCAUGUUAACUCAUCCAUUACCAAUGGAAAAAGGUAAGGACUUAAGGAUUGUUGAUGCACAAAAUCAGUGAGGACUUUGGUACAACAGAAAGUAUUAAGUUUGUGACCUUCGCUAGAUUGCUCCGGUCAUUAGUGUGGAUGCGAAAAUUAUCUUAACACACAAAUUUAACCCUCUUUUAUCAAUUGUAGUAAAGAAUGUAAGUAGGGAUCGUUCUGGACCGGGGAUUAGGAAGGCUUGCUAAUAACCUCUAAACUGACUCAAAAACAUAAAACUAAACUUAAAAAUACUUAACAAGACUCACAAGACUCAAAGCAAACUUAAAAUACUCAAAACAGCUUAAAACAACUAAAUAAACUUAAACUAGACACUAGGAAUGACUUUGGACGAAAAUUGACUUUUACUUGAAUCAAAACAUUUAAAAACACAAAUUAAAACAGAUUCUAACUAAUUAGACACACUAAAGUAAAGGGGGAUUGAGUUUUGGAUGAAGUUGAAACAAACAAACAAGUAUGAAAAACUAGACAAAUUGUAAAACAAAUUUGAGAAAUAAGAUGAUGGAUGGGAUAGCUAGAGGCUUUUUCUCCACACAUGACAUGUAUGCAAAUAACUUGAUUGCUAGUUACUACUUCAUUGAAUUAUGAAUGACAAUGCUCCAAAUUAACCGUGACAUUACUAGUUAACUCUCAGAUUUUCCUUGUUUUAUUGGAUUGGAUGACAUCAUUCGACAACCCAAAACAUUCUUCUAAAGUUCCCUACAUGAUAUCAUAAUAGAGAUACAAUCAAAGAUCAUUACGUUUAAUGAAAAUCAUUAGCAUUGACAAAGCACUUGCAACUAUGACAUCAUGUCACUCAUGCUAGGAAUUGAACUUAACGCGAUCGUUUAUAAGCGACCUUCACUACAUGUGAAUAUAAGUUUGUAACGAUUAUGUGAAACUUCCUUAUAUUCUAGCAACGAAUUUAUGCAUGCCAAUAAAGUGUCGACCCUUAAUUAACAAAUACAAAUAAGUUAUCAAUCAAAUAAUUAAGCCAAUUGCAUUCACGAUUCAAGAGUUCAUAACUAGAAUUUAUCAAAUUAUAUUGCAUACAUAAUCAUGGCUUUGAAAUCACCCCUAGCCAAGAGGGGUUUAGCCACUCAUAUUUACAACAAAACGAAAGGAAAUGAAUUUAAACAUUAGAAACAAAAGAAAGAAAACACCUAAACGCUCCAACAAUCCAAGUUGGACAGCUAGCACGUCCAAGCACUUUCCUUCCCUUCCUUUGCUACGGCACAAGGUGUUGGUGAGUGUUUGAAGGUUUGUUUGUAUGGAGGAAUAGAUGUGAAGAUGAAUGGAUGUGUUUGGAUGAAGGUUGUGUUGAAUGCGGCAAAGAGUGGAGAAUUGUGUAGAUGAUGUGUGUGUGUGUUUUGGAUUCAUGUCUCCCUGAAUGUGUCUUUGGAUGGAUAUAUUUAUAGGCUAGGGAGAGGAUGUAGUGGGUGGUGGUAAUGAGUGGAUGUAGUGGUAGGUGAAUGUGUUGGGUGGUUGUAAUGAGUGGAUGUGUUAGGUGAAAUGAGUGUGCUAAAAUGGUUAUUUAUAGGGAGAGGAUGAUGCACAAACUUCAAAUUUCGUCCAUUCCUUUUGCUCCAAGCAUAUGUUAUCCAUUCCAUGCCCAAAAAUGCUCCAAAAUGCUCCAAAAUGCACUUCUUUGCCACAUUAACCCUUUGGACCUACAAACACACGAAAAUAGCUUAAAAUACUAAAAUAACUACGAACUAACAACAUAAAUGCCAAGAAACAAGCUAACUAAGUCGCAUAAAUAUGCUCCUAUCAAUAAGUAUGUAAAAGGAUAGAGACAGGAGAGCAAACACAAGAUGUACUUGGUUCACCCAGAUUGGCUACGUCCACGGAGUAGAUGACUUCUCAUUAAUUGUGAAGGGUUUAUAUAAGUGCAUAGGUUCAAGCUCUCCUUUAGUGGGUACAAGUGAAUGAUUUAGUACAAAUGGCAUUAGGAAAUAUUUUGAAAGAAUGAUCUCCUUUUAUAGAAGAGAGUUUCUAGCCUUUAUCUGACAUUGACACGUGUCGUGUUGUGAUUGGAUUCUGAUGUUGACACGUGUCACGCUAUGAUUGGCUUCUGAUGUCAACACGUGUCGCUCUGUGAUUGGCCUCCUGGUUGGAGGGGAAGCUCUUCGGUUGGGGACUUGCAAGAUCCAAGCCGCUGAGUAAUCACGAAACUUCUAAGUACCGAAGUGUGGUAUCGUCUUCACUUGCCUUAUCUGUCUCAUAGGUAGAUGUGGCAUCUUCUCUGGAAGUACUCUUCCUCCGUCCAGGGGUGGUAUCUUUAACUGGUGAAGAUGCACAAGGUAAUGUAUCAAUUUCACUUGAAGCUUACUUGUAGUUUCAGGCUUGGUCAAGCGCGAUACAAACCAUGUAGUAGGAGUCCCCCAAGUCGUCAAGUUAGGGGAUCUACUGAAAGAGGUGACAGACAAGGUAAGCAAUCAGUCCCAGAUCAGAAGUUUGAUUUCGAGUUCCGGCUGAUUGUUCUCAUUCUUCUUAUCUUGCAGGCAGCAUGAAGGAUAAAGAGAAGAAAAGGAAAAGAGAUGAUAUGAGAUACUUUUGCUUUUAAAGAAGUAACUUUCCACAUGCUUAUUCUUGAACUGGGCUGGAGGGAUUUUUGGUUACCUCCAGAGUAUAAGGCCGACUGAAGAAUUUGAGGGUCAAAGCAAGUCCAUCAAAUCUAGAGUGAUAUGGGAUACUUUUGAUGUUGACAAAGUAGUGGAAGUAUCGGCACGUGUUCUGUUACGCUUGUCUCCACAUGCUUCCUUGUAUCCUUCUCACUUGCCCUAUCUGUUCCUCAGGCAGAUGUGGUAUCUUCUCUGGAAGCAUAAGAUGUUGAAGAUAACUCGAGAGCAAUGCCAGGUAAGUAAUCAGGUAAGGGGUUCCAGGCAGUCAGUUCCUGACUGGAAGCUUGAUUCCAAGUGCUGACUGAUUGCUCUCUUUCUCCUUAUCUUGCAGGUAAGAAUAAGGCCAAAGGAAAAGACAGGGAAAAAGCAUGAUAUGGGAUACUCUUGCUUUUAACCCUGAUGAUAUGAGAUAUUCUUGCUCUGGUGUAGCUUGUUUGCAGAGGUAUUAUCGGGGGGAAAGAAAGCUGAGUAUUUCGAGAGGCUUCGUUGGGAGUGCCCUCUCAGAUAUGAGGAAGGGUUGAGCAUUUUUGCAAGUCUGCCUGUCCGUUGAGGAUGGAGGUCGACAUAUAUAGGAGUCUCCCUAACAACAAGUAGUAAUGCUAUUCCUUUACCCUUCUUGGUCAUAGCACUGGGAGCUGCCAGCUUCACGUGUUUUAACUCUGUUAGAGGACUUUGAAAAAGUGGUCUGUGGUAUCUGGAAAGCUGAUGUUGCAUGUGAAGAUUACAGACAAGCUUUAUCCAAGGAGAUCUGGCUCUCGAAGUUGAGAAAGCAAUGCCUCUUCGGUUUUGGAACAAGCGAUCCUGUCGGGGAUCUGGCUCUCGAGAUUCGGAGAACGGUGCCUCUUCGAUUUUUGAGAAAGCAAUCCUGCUUAGAGUCUGGCUCUUGAAAUUCAAAGAGCGGUGUCUCUUCGAUUUUUGAGAAAGUACUCCUGUUGGGAGUCUGGCUCUCGAGAUUCGGAGGACGGUGCCUCUUUGAUUUUAGAGCAAGAGAGAGAGAGGGAGAGAGAGAAAGAGAGAGUAUAAUGAGCAGAACAACGAGGGGUCUGAAAGAGGACAAGACGGGACCUGUUUGGAUCAAAACUUGAACUUUGGGCUCAAGAAAGGAGUUGGCCCAAAAGGAGGCCCGAAAGGGAAGAUAGCCGAAGCUCAGUCGAAGCCCAGAAGGCAGGGAAAGGCCUUUUCUGACUUGGUGCAGCUCAUGAAGACCACUUGCUUACCUACCCAAAGGCCAAGUGGUGUAGACUGAUCAACUACACAGCCCAUAAAGCACUUUAUGGUGGCAUUACAUGUAAAAUAGCUGAUGAGUCAUCACCCUCAAACCACAUUCGGGCAAAGCUGCUGCUACAGAAGCCUAACCCGAGUUGUCUAUAUAAGAAGAAAGAAAAUCCAGGAUUAAGGACACUCAAUCAAACAAACAAAUGCAAGCACAAACUCUGCUCAAAGCCAGAUUUGCCUUCAAAACAAAGCUGUAGUCAGCCUUCAUCCCUUUCGGGAUAAACCUUCAUCCCUCUCGGGAUAACCUUCUCUUCAACCCUUUUGUAAUAGCUCUACUACCUUGUUCAACCUUGCUGUAGUAUCGAUUCAUCUUUUGUAAUCUCUCUCUCUACCCCUCUAAGCUUUCAGACCUUUGACAAAACUAUAAAGAUAGGAACCUGCAAGACGAGCAACCUUACCCGAUAAGGUUUAACCUUGCCCGACCUUCUUUGCUUUGGUUUUGUCUUUUCAAUAUGUUGUAUACUUCCAGUUAUAUGCAAGUUAUUUCUAGCAACAUGACUAUUAAAAGGCUUUCUCAGUACUUGAAUCCGAUUUGAAUAUAUCGUCAGUGUUCAAACCAGAUCCAAGUCCUAAGCCCUCAGGCAUGUAAAUCUGAUCAGUUAAAAGUCCUUGGCCUCAAGGCAUAAAAAAGAACUUUAUGUGGACUUAACCCAUCCACGACAGUCCUUGAUAAACGAGAAGUCCGAAGUUACUUGGGGCGCAAGUAAUCAACCUACCUUCUAGUUUUCUUUCUAUUAUAUCAUGAUUACCAUAGAACGCUUGAGCAUGGAAUGAAUUCUAAUGGAAAGCCUCAAGGCCUACACCUAAGGCCCUACAAAGGCAUCCAUUUGGAUUCAUUCCAUUCAUCGAUCUAAAGAGUCUAAGUAUAAGAAUGAACUCUGAUGGGAAGCCUCAAGGCCUACAACUAAGGCCCCACAAAGGCACCUAUUUGGGUUCAUUCUACUUCUUGGAUUCGGGUAAUCAGAAGUAUAAUAGUUAGAAAACUCCUACAAUCACGAGAACAAAUAUGAUGUGUUCGAGCACUGGUUUAGUUAUUUAUGGGAAGCCUCAAGGCCUACACCUAAGGCCCCACAAAGGCACCUGUUAUAACUAACGCGGUUUCUUGGAUACAUACAUAUAUACAACUAAAGCACGACAACCAUUUUACAUCUGCCAUGCUAAAGAUGGCAGUGGCACGCCUGAGCACUUAAAUGUUAACCUUGAUUGUGAGCCUCAAGGCCUAUACCUAAGGCCCCACAAAGGCACCUCUCAAAGUUAACGCUGUCCUUCUCUUUCAGCCUUGUCCGAAGAGUCUUGCUCGAAGAGACUUGCCCGACGAGACUUGCCCGACAACGCCCGACAGCGAAGCAGAAGCCCGACAGCAGCCCUCAACCGGCGCCAACCUCCAGGGGAGCUGUGUGCUCGUUGGCCAGGAAACAACCCCGACGGAAAUUCCUGACACGAACAUGACCUUUCUUCUUAGCCAUUCUGUUGCUCUAGUUCGCCUCUGUCCUGUUCGAAAUACUCUUCCACCGGCGGUCGGAGCUGCUCGCCAUUGUUGCCGGCUGCUUCUUUUACCAAUUGGCCAACUGAGUUGUUCUCAGUUUCGUCUCUCAUGACCCUCUCUUCGUCAACACCUCCGUUUCUCUCCUCCACUCCUCCAUAACUUCCGCUUCAGGUCUCUCUCUCUCUCUAACUUUUGCGUUUUGAAAAUGUUUGAUGGGUUAUCGAGUAUGCUCUGUAGUUUAACAAAAGAUGGAAUCUUUGUACUGAAAUUAACAUUUGAACUUUGUUAGCUCAAAACCCAGUUCAUCAUUAGCAGGUUAGAAGGUUGUAACUUGGUAUUAAGCUUGCCUAUGUGCCUAGAUUUAUGUCGUCUUAUGAUUGAGGCUGGUUUGGAAGCCAUUGUUUCUUUGAUUAGAUUGGAUAUGAUGGGGUCUCUGAGCGCAGAGAGACUUCGCUACAACCCCGAGAUGCCACCAUGGCUUUCUGGUCCCCCGGCCCAAUGGCAUUGUAUCACUGGCCCAAAGGCCAUGGUGGCAGCGCGGAGAGACUUGACUACAACCUGAAAUGCUACAAUGGCUUUCCGGUCCCCUGGACCAAUGACAUUGUGUCACUGGCCCGAAGGCAUUGGUGGCAACCCAGGGUGUAGAGAAACUAUUCCCUGUAAUAUUUGUAAAAGUAGAAUUUUAUAGUAUGAAUACUUAACUGCAAUGUUAUAGAUUCUUGGGCUACGGACGAAAUAGGUGCCUGCAUAUAGGAUAAAGAUAAGAACUUGCAAUAGCUAAAUUGAAGAACAUUUUGAGUUGAAGUUCCGAAAUCGAGGUACUUAGCUUUCGACAUUUGUAUAAUCAAUUAAAUUUUCAAGUCCCCUACAAUACAUUUCCAAACGAGUUUUUUCACUUAUUUCUGUAACUGGCGUGAGUGUAUCUUUGUUCAUUCCUAUUAUAUUGGACGUUAAGUUAUGCGUGUUUAUUUUUGCAGUGGUAUUCAUUUUGGUUAGUCAGUGGUUAAGAAAUGGUUUGGUUUGAAUGUUUGAGCACUCGGAGUUGGUUGGGCAUACUUGGCCAUGGGCAUACCCAGCUCUGUGCUUCUCAUGCGGUUACUUUGCAUAUGGUCAGUGGGAUAUGCUGCAUUAUGGGUUAUAUAGUGGUUGGAUCCCUUCCAUCCUGAUGCAUCAUCUGGUUCUCCUCAUUUGCUUUACUCUUGCUUUGUAUCGGAAGGUCACCAUCAAUUACCUUAUUCUCACUCUCAUUUGCGAGGUACGUUGAACCAUCUUCUUAAAAGUUUUCUUUUCCUUAGGUUUUCCUUUUCUUCUUCAGAUAAUAUUUCUUAGUGUAAAGAAAAUUCAUCCAAAGUGUAAACUGCUCGGUUGAACUGUAAGCCAUUUGGACCCAGAGACGAUUUGAAUCCAUCGGUGUGUCCUCACGUGAAAGUAAUGUUAUGUUGUGAUCAUUUCAUAACAUAUUGCAUAAUGGUAGAUGAUAACGAAAAUGUCAGCAACCUCUUUUCCUUUUUUUUUUUUCUCCUGAUUUUGUUUGAACGAGGGAUGGAUGGAAAGUCUCAUUUAAUUUAUUUCUCAUUGAGGUGCUCAGCUUUACUAGGUUUUUAAGUUAUUUUCCCUUGUAAAUGAAUUGUCUUGAUUAUUCCUUUGCUAAGAUUUAUCUAGUUAAAGUAACUACAACCUCGAAAUGAAAUAUUUCGAUGUUGAAAUAAUAAUAUGUAAAACAUGGUGUUUGGGUUAAAACUUGCCAGGAAACGUCCCCAUCGGAAAUUCCCCCAGUCGAACACAUGGUAACUUCAAAUAAAUGCUAAGAAUCUGAAAUCUUUAGAGGGAUUUAGACUCAUAACGUGAAUUCUACACAACAGGAAACUGGUUCUGAUAUUUUCUGUUUCUUUCAACAGCUGCAUUCUAUCUUUCUGCAUGUGAGGAAUUCAACAGCUGCAUUCUAUCUUUCUGCAUGUGAGGAAAGCGCAGCGGAUGGCUGGCAUUCGUGACGCUAGAAACCAAAUUGUAAGGGCAGAGUGGGUUCUUAAUUGGGUAACCUUCACUUUGCAAGGACGGCAGCUCACCUUCUCGUCACAGCCAAGCUCUUCUGCGAUACUCCAAAAUUCGGAAAGGGUAUAGAGCUGCCGCUUGCACUGUUUGGGAUGUUCAGAAUGAACUUUCUGAAUGCUUCUCUUGGCAUUGACCUCUUCCAUGCCUUCAAGAGAGAGAGGAAUUCCCGGCAUGCUAAUGCUUAUCAUGAAUUACAAGGCCAAAACAGAGAGUUGCAAAUAAUUUUGGUUUCUAUUGUUUAAUUUAAUUGAUUUUGCACAUGAAAUCAUCAUCGUUUCUUUGAGAAAAUAAACAAUGUAAAUUAUGUGAUUAUACGAAAAAUAUGGUUUGUUUCCAUCUAAGGGUUUUUUUUUUUUUUUUUUUUUUUAUCCGUAUCAAAUCAAUUAGUUUAUUUGGGUGUUAAGAGAUGAAAAAAUGAAAAAAAAAAAAAUUCAGGACAAAUUUAAAAAGAGGUCCUACCGGGAGUCGAACCCAGGUCGCUGGAUUCAAAGUCCAGAGUGCUAACCACUACACCAUAGAACCCAAUUUGUUUGAUGAGUACACUGGAUGAAAUAAAACGGCAAGCUAACCUAAUUAAAUAUUAAUACUUUAGGGCCAAUGCUGUGUCGUUUUGGAUGAGAAUCCUCUCCAGAUUUUCUUUGUGAAGAUCAGAUAUUCUAUUUGUAUUUAAUUUUAAAUUAAAAAAUUCAUAAUGACUUUUGGAAGCAUGAUGUACGAUAAAUGGAUAGGAUGUGAGGAUCCGGAUGAGAUCCACAUCCACUAGGAUUGUGGUUCAAUUGACAAGUGUUAAUCAUGCUAUGCUUAACAUUUGAACACAAAAUUUAAACUUCAAAUUGAUUCACGAUCAUGGUCUAAAAUAUCGAUAUUAUUCCGAUAUUUCCAUUGAAAUUUCCGUGUUUUUGGACUACCGAUAUUUCCGAUAUCAUCGAUAUUUUAGACCUUGAUAGGAAGUCUAUGUGGUACUAAGUCACUCAUGUAUCUUACCAUGCAAUAUAUAAAGUGUAAAAUAUUGUACUAAUUCAUUAUAUAUAAAUGAUUAUGGUGUGUUUAAACUUCUUUCAUUAAUUACUACAUAUUUUCUACACUCACAAUGUUUGCCAGCUCGCUAUAUAAUCAACUUAAAUCAGUUAAUCCAUCAUGUAAUGCAUUUUCUUCCAUUUUUUUGUAAUAAACUAAUAGAUAAUUGACUAAAUAAACAUCAUGCAAAGUUUCAAUAAAAAUUUCCAAAUUUUUCUUACAAUUUUCAUGGUUUUUAUUCAAUUUUUAUCGAUAUCGAUAAUAUCGCGAUAUUUCCAUCGAAAUUUCCAUGUUUUUGGACUAUCGAUAUUUUCGAUAUCAUCGAUAUUUUAAACUUGUUCACGACUGUUUACCAUCGUGGAGGAGUUUCCAUUUUCUAGCUGUGUGGCCGUUGAAUCGCGACAUUCCAUGACCAUAACAAUUCGACUCGGUUCCUUCGUUUGUUCAUCUUUACAUAAUCUCACAAGAACGCAUCUGACAUGCCCCAAAAAGGAUAAAAUUAUAAGAGCUGAGAAUCUCUUGCAAAUAAACUGCAGCACUAACUUCCCCUGUAAUACAAACCCCAGAAACCAAUUAUGUUUCUUGUUUUCUCUACUAAAGAAUUAAUCUCGCCUAAAUUUCUAGUCGUAUGCCACUCUUGGUUCGGGAGAAGAACUUUGCAAACCCAUUUCGAUUCUUGUCAGAGCUGACAUGAGUCGACAACACAGUGGAUGAGGUUGAUGCAGACGAAGAUGGUGGGGAGUUGUCCUCAUUUCUAUUUGUUGAAGGCCCACAACUCUCAUCGGCUGGUUUUGAUACAGAAUCUCGUUUAGGUGAAAAUGUCACAUUGGAAUGCAACUUCCACUGUUCAUCAGCUUUAGGAAUCUGCGGCGCAACAGCAGUGAACCCUGGGAGGCUUUCGGAGUCUAUCAGGAAAUCUUCUAGUGUUGCUAGAGAUUUGAGUUGAUUUCCAAGCGAUGCUAUUGUCUUCUGGCACUCGGCAAGCUUUCCAGCUGCUACAGCUAGGUCUUCCUGGAAUAUUAGUCACCACAACAUUAAAUUACGGCAUAUUCAGUUGUUUUAACUAGGUAAAUGGUUUGAAUAAUCGAAUACCAAAAGACGUAAUGUAGAUGGGUAAGUCCUUGAUCACCAACCUGCUUUCUCUUCAAUUCACUGUUCGAGCAAGCAGUUUUCUGAAGCUUGAAUUCUUCGUUUUUUCUUGAUAGCUCCUCCUCUAAAUCUUGACAUCUGAUGGCAAUUUCUGCUGACAAAGCCCUCUCCCUUUGAACCUCUGCUUCCAAAGAAUCAACCUUAGCAGACAUGGUCCGCCCCUCUGCUUCCAUGCUAAUGAGCUGAGACUCAAUAUUCUGCCUUGAUUCAUUUGCAAUACUUAGCUCCUUUUGUAACUCCUCCAACUUCAUUUCUGCUUCUUUAAGCUGAAACUCUGCUGCCACAUAACAUUCUUGACUUUUGGCUAAAGCGGUUUUUAUUUUAGCUUUCUCUACUUCCAAAUUUUCUCUCUCGACUUCCUUCUUUUCUAACAUGUCUUCUAAUUCGGCUGCCCGAUGACUCAUAGCUUCAAUUUCAGCAUUCUCUACCUCUAACUUUUCUUUCUCUACUUCAAACUUUUCUAACUUGUCCUCAAGUUCGGCCGUCCGAUGACUCAUGGCUUCAAGUUCAGCUCUCAAGGCACGUUCUUCAUUAUUGGUUUGAUUAACUAUGGCUUCUGAUUCUAGAUAACUAGUUUCAUUCUCAGUCUGUGGCAACGAAGCAAGUCGUUCCAUCUCUAGGAAAUCGUCCAUGAGAUCAACAUCAAUGGAAGGGGCAGGCAAAUUUCUGUUUACAGCCUUUUCAUUCUUGAAUUGAUCAAGCUCAGCAACGAGGGCCGAAGCCCAACAGUCAGAGAAAGUCAGGUCACGCUUGUUUGCCUCUGAGCCAUUCAUCUUUUGAGAAUCUAUCUCCAUCAUGUUUAGCCUCUCUCCACUGUCCGAUUGACUAUCCAUGCAAGACUCCACGUACAUUGAAGAAGCAGCACUGGACUUGUGAUCAAUGACAGUAGGUAUUUUACUACCCAAAGCUUUUAGCCUCCGGCACUCGGAUUCAAGCCUUGCAACCUUUUUUAUACUCUCUAAAUGUUGCUUACUGGCCGUUUCAGCUGCUUGAGUACUCAAGUCCCUUUCAAUUGUCAUGAUUUCCAACUCCUCUGCUUGAGUCAGUAGCUCAUGCUUCAGGGCCGAGUUUUCGUUUUCUAAAGAUUGCAGCUUAUGAGAAAGAUGAGGAUCGACAAAAGCAGAAGCUUCAGAUCUAUUCACUUCUGCUUUUCUCUGUAGCUCAAUAAUCUGACUUUCAAGCUUCAACUUGGUGGACUCCCAGUCACGGGUUUUCUUCAGCACAGCUUCCUGUAUGGUUUGUUCCUGCUCCUCUCUCGCUUGUCUAAGCUGUCUAACGCAUUCCUUGAGGGCCCCAUCUAGAUGGCUUACGCGGUCUUCCAAAACCGAGUUUUGCUGAACUGUAACUUCAAGUUCUGACUUAAAAACGGCAGCCUCAUUUUCAGCCUUUUCCCAGCCUGUAAUAACAUAAAAAACAGAAUGGUUUAAGAUAGAAAAACAUGACAAUUAUAUAAAAUCUUUGGAAAACAAAACUAUAGAUCAUGGUUGAGAUUUGAUAAACGUAUCGUUCUCUUCUAUUUGGAAAGAUUGUCCAUUGCCGUUAGGAAUUUCACAAAUCUUUAAAACUCAUCGUCAUCAUUAUGUAGAUAAAAUAUCUGUGUAAAAAGAAAUUAGCAGCAUUACUAUGUUAUAUGACUAUUACCUGCGACAGCUUCUUCAGCAACUUUGGCAUGCUGCUUCACCAAGUCUUCUUUGGCGCUAACAUUCACAAGAGCAGCUGAUAAUCUCUCCGUUAGACUCUUCAGACUAUAAUUAACAUGGUCAGCACUGGAUGCUGCUUUUGAUGUGACUUCAGGUGAUUGAGCAUCAUGAUUCAGAGAUGCCUUUUGUGCCUCCUGCUAGAAUGAUAUCAUAAGAUAUUCGACCAAAGUUAAACAUGCAUAAAAUCAUAGUUCGGAUUGCACAAACAACAAAAAGUGCCUAAUUGAGAGCGUUGUAAAUGCACCAAAAGGCUUAUAUUAACAACAGGAAAGGAAAUAUCGCCAGUCUCUUAGAGUGAUAUGAAACAGUCUGAAAACUCAAGGGCUUAUUUUUUGCUAUGCUCCUGGAACUCUAUUUUGAUCUCACUUUGCCACCGGUAACUCAAAAGUCACCACUUUACUCCCUGAAACUCAAAAUUCGUUCCACUUUGACUUGUGGAUUCUCUCUCUCUUAACAGAUCUAAGGCAAUGUGGAGCAAAUUUUGAGUUUUAUAGAGACAACUUUCAAGUUUCAAGGGGAAAAAUGGAAUCAAAAUCAAGUUCCAGGGGGCAAAGUGAAGAGAACUUUGAGUUUCAGGGAGUAGAGUGGCAACUUUUGAGUUACAGGGAGCAAGGUGAGAUUAAAUUCAAGUUCUAGGGGGCGGAGCUAAUAAUAAGCCAUCCUAUAAUUGGCUAAAUCGAAGUGGCUGCUAUUAGUUUGUAUACAUGCGGUCACACUAGAAGCUACCAUUUAUCUUCCUUUGGAGCCUGCAAGGUGUCCUGUAAUACUAGUAAUUAUUCAGUUUUUAGCCACCAUAGGAGGGGUCAGUGUGGGUAAUAAAUCCGAAAGUAGGACCCAUAAAUUAUAAACUACACCCUCUAUUCUCCAAUAUGAUGCCUCAAACCUAGUCAACUAGACCAAAACUUCGAUUUUUUAAUUCCCCUACUUGAGAUAACAAUUUCAAAAAUUUUCUACCACACUUCACAACUACCACACGCCCCGUGUACUCAACCAAGCCUGUUGGGGUUACAAAUUUAAAAUUUCAUCAACCGAACUUCGUUUUCUAAGAGGUUGUUAACAAAAUGGAACUUCAAGAGUACCAAAAUUUUAUAUGUUAUAAAACUCAGUUGGCAUCAAGUAUCUGCCACUUAAGCUAAGACAUGGCAUGCAUACCAUAUCAAGGCAACGAAGACAAGAAACAAGCAAGAGGGAGGACAUAAGCCUUUCUACGACACCAACUAGCUAGAUAUGAUAAGGGUAUCUCAAACAGGAAAUGCAUCCUAAUUGUUUGGUUACACGGGCAGGCAAAAAGUCCUUGUGCAAGGCUACAAAGAAUACGAAACACAAAUUCCAAAUCAGAACAGCCUAAUCUAUCUAAUAGUUGUUUAGAACACUUGGUCAUUGAAUGCAAUUGAUUAGCAUAGGUAGGUGCAUAUUACUACGUUUUGGACAUAUGUUUCAGAAAUGAGAAAAAUAUGUAGCAUAGUAAACUAAAGCAAUCGUGUGGGGAUAAGCAACGGUAGUUACGGUACAUUAUUUGUCUCUUCACAUCAUUAAGAGUCUAUCCAGACAACAAAGAAAUGGACAGAAAACUUCCACUGUAAAUGCAAUCUUCAACCUUUGAAGGACAUAAAAAUUCAUCAAUAAAGCAAGGCUUUAAAGGGGUAGGGAGCAAAGCCGUUUAUGUGAAAUUGAGGACAAUAUACGUUAGUUACUUAGUUAAAUGCCAAAAGAACAGUGUGUACAAGCUUUGCAGAAGUAAAGUUGAACUCAAAUAUUGUGGUAAUCAGGGUUCAGCUACCCACCUGUUCAUCGGAGUACCUCUCUGAGUUCGAAGAUACUGAACCUGAACUAUCAGUUUCUCCAGAGCUCUUCUCCAAAGGCUUCUUCUUCCACAACCACUUGCGCUCCAUCUACUGUUACAGUUCAAUUCUCAACUCCUCAACUAGAUUUCACAAUGUGUUCAUCUACAACACACAAUUACAAGUUUACAGACGUGUCAUUGAAAACCCACCACGAAUCCUCAUCAAAGUUGCAGAAAACAAAACAAGAAAGCAAAAAAUAGAUAGCCGACACCCAAAUCUGUAUCAACUUUUGCUGCAAAACUGAACUCCAACCAAUACAGCCAAGCCCUUCAAAAUCAGAAAGCAAUAUUCUUUCCACCAAAUCCAAAGCAUUUGAGUAAAAAAGAAUGACUUCGCUUAUCGCAUUCUGUCAGCUUUGCUUCAAAUCCACUCCAAAAACCAUGUAAACCCAAACAAAAUAUUAUCGCUUUAUAUAAGAAUGAAAAAGACUCAACGAUUUGCAACUCCAGCAGCAUCACAUCCAACUCAAUCAAUUGCUAUUGAAAUAGUGAAAAUAUCAUGAAAUUGUGCAAUCACUGAAGACCCAAUUGCUGAAAUCACAAAAGAAGAACAGCCCAAUUCAUGAAAUCACGAAAGAAGAAGAACCCAGUUCUUGAAAUUACAAACCAGAACAACCCAAUUGAUAAAUUGAUGAAGUUUUGCAGAAAAUCCAGUUUCAGAAGCCAAAAUACGGAUGAAUGGAACAGUGCUUGCACCAGAAAAAGCAGCAAAAUAAUUGAAAAAACAAAAGUAGCCAACACAGAAGCUCCAAUUGAAGAGCAACCUAGAAAAUCGAAUUCAAAUAAUAAUCAAGAUUUUAAUGGACUAAAAUUCAACUAAGAAGGAUUAAAAGGAAGAAGACCCAGAUCAAAAUACCUUUUGACUGGAGAGCACAGCAACCUCAAAAGUUAGUUGGAAGCCAGCCAACCAGCCAGUAAUAAGUAAAUGUAAAGAUUCAAACUUCAAAACUUGAGACUGAAGAUUUUACAGGCCAGCAAUAAAAAUGAUAGAGAGCAAUAAAUAAACAAGAAAGGCUGCAAAAAUCUCUGUAGAAUGUCAGAUGAACAACCAAAAGCAGAAGCAUACAUAAUGUGGGUUGGGUUGGAUUUGCAUUUCUUGUUUUCUACUUCACCUUUUUGGGUACUCUCAAUAGUAUUAUUAUAUUAGUAAACAAGUGAAGAGCAUGUGCUUCUUUGUGGAUAUCAAGCUCUGAGAAGGUUGAGAGAGAUGAGAGAGGGAAUUGGAUCCCCUCCAGAAACCUCAAAAUUCCACUUUUUGUUUUCCUACAGCUUUUUCCUUUUUUUUUAUUCAAAUUUCAAAAAGAAUUAAUUACAAUUACGAUCUAAUAGUUUUUCUUUUAAUUUGUAAAUGAGAGGUGUGUUCGAUUCUUGCUAAAAAUAAAUUUGAAUAACAUUAUUACUUGUUUAGUGUGAGGCUUAGUUUACCUUCUCACAUUUAGUGUUCGUUUCUUAGAAAAAAAAUCAAAAGGGAAAUUUUGUGUACCAUUUUUCUAUUAUUUGUAGUUUGGACUUUGAAAUGGAGCUGUGCCUUGCCGCCUAUAACGGCGAUUCAUUACUUGUAAUUUUGUAGCAAAUGUAGCUCACUAGCAAGUUUUAUUUUUCCAAACUCGGUUUAACUAAAUUAGCUAAAGCAACAUGUUUGGUGUUCAGCACAUUGAUACGAAAAAAACUCACCUAUACAUAAGUUUAAUUUAGUAUAGUAAUUCUAUUAUUUGACAAUUUUUUAUUUUUUUUAGUUUUCUAAAAUAUUGGUUCAAUGGCAAUUAAAAUGGUUUUUGUUUUUGCAAUAUUUUAUGUUGCAGAGAAGGUGGUCCUAAUUUUCUUGUCGCCUCUUGGUUUUUCAAGAAUGAGGAUCCUCUUCGGAUCUUUUUUGUGAGGAUCAUGAGGAUCUUCAAAUCGUAUUCAUUUAUCGUACAUCGUAUGAUCAGUUUUUGUUAAGUAUUAUUUAUAUUUAAUUUUAAAUAAAAUUAUUUAAAAUAAUUUUUUAUCACACAAUAUACGAUAAACGAACAUAAUUUUAGAAUCUCCUUGAAUUCUAAGAAAGAGUAUCAAAGAGAAUCCUCUUUCGUUUUUCAAAACUCUUUUAUAUUGUUUUGUAUUGGUCGUGGGGCCACAGGCAUAGUGAAGGAAUCUUUAUCCUGAAGCCGGGCCCUACAUCUUCUCCCAUUUCAUAAUCCAACGGUGGAGAAAAAACUUUGGGGGAAUUUUCUCUUUUUGGGAAAUGAUUUGUUUUCAUGAAAAUUUAUUUAAGCAUGCUAAAUUAAAAGUGAGAGGUUAUAGAUUCAAUUCUCGUUAAAUACGAAUUUAAACUGUAUUAUUAAUAACUCGUGAAGUAAAAUCUACCCCUUUUAAAUGGUGUAAAUAAUAUCGUUUGUUAAAAAAAAUAAAGUAUGCAAAAUAAGAAAAUAGGUAUGUGUGCAAAAAUUGUUCACAUUUUCUUUUCUUUUUGUUCAAUUUUUUUCUUUCUUACCAAAUUUCAUGGGUGCUUGUUACUUCAAUUGUGUUUGGUACACUAAAAGGAAUUCAUGAAAAUUAAUUUCCCAUGUCUUUUCCUUGAGAAAGGAAAAUGCAAAAUUCCUUUUCAAUGUUCACUAACGAAGCAAAAUUAGGCAGGAAAUACCAUUGGGAUAUAAUGGUCAUUUUAUGUUUUUUGUUUCCCCUCUAUUUUCUCAUGACUCAGAAAAUCAUUUCCCAAGCCUUACCAAAUAUGAAAUAGACAACACUUUUCCAUUUUCAAGCUCUCUUUCCCGCAUACCAAACGUAGACUAGGAUUAUGUAAAAUAAAGGCCAAAUCUCACUUUUAGAUCAUGUAAUUUAGUUGAAGUUUAAUUGGUGAUUGUAGUUUAUCAAACGAUAAUGUUCAACAACACAUCACAUUUUUCAUUCAUCUAGUUAAUGAAGAAGGCAUGGGACACUCAAAUGAUCGAGCAUUUUAGUAAUUUUAAGACAAGUCAUGACUCUUUCUCUCCUAAAAGCAAUUCACAUUUGUGAUAAUGGUGCUAUUUUUCUUUUUCUUUUUUUAAGUUUACUACUUUAAAUUAUUUAAUAAUUCGUUUAAAAUAAUGUUUAUGUUGCAGUCCUAUUUAGGAUUAGAUUACCUAUUAAAUGUUGUAAUCCUAAAGGGAAAGGUUUUACCCUUCCUAUUACUAUAAAUAAAGGCACAAUGGGAUGAGAUAACACAUACCCACAAUUACACAUCUCUCUAUUGCCGCACCCCCUCUCUCUCUAAGGCCUCCAUAAUUGUUCAGUAAAUUAUGCCUACAACACGUUAUCAGCACGCUCUUGACGCUACGCUAACAAGAGAGUUUGAUCUUCAAUUUGAGGAGUAUUACGUUUUAAUCAUUCUUUUCAUGAUUAAUUUAUUAAUUUAUUAAAUUGAUCUACAUGUUAUUGAUUCAAUUUAAUUUUUCUGUGUUGAACGUAAUACAACGCAUUGGAGAAUUCCGACUUUCAAGAAGGAUCUUCUACAAAUUCAAAGGCUUUUGUUGUUUUCUGCUACUCAGGUACGCUUAAAAUAAAGGAAGAUAUUUGAAACGACCCAUGAAGCAUGAAAACAUUCCCUAUGAUGCAUGAACCUUCUACAUUUAUAUUUAUCUUCCGAUAUAUAUAUUGUAUAUGUUCAUAUAUUGGUUAAUAUAUAUAUUUGUUUCAUACAUUACGCAAUAAUUGCUAUGUGGAAUUUGUGAGUCAAAGUAUUCAAUUAAAUUAGAAGCAUGUUUCGGGUUUUCCUAAACCCUAAAGGAUUUGAAAAAAAAAAGGGGGAAUCAGGACAUGGUGCGGCACACCACCGCACCAUCAUUGUGCAAAUAAUCACCAGGCCUAGGCCUAGAUUUUACCUCGGUAGAGCCUGCAGCCCUGAGCCUAUGCACACUGGCCUUGGCCCGCAGCCAUCCAACUUGCCCAAUUGUCUGGGCUGUCCUCCCAUACACACGCUGCAACCUUUUUGGUUGCUGGGUUUUGUUGCUCUGGCCCUCAUACAUAUAGCCAGCAUAUGCUGGGCUUGUCACUGCGCCACCCAUACCCAAGCCCAUGACCUGCAGUCAUUAUGGGGCUGCUUUCACGCAACCAGCCUUCGCUGGGAUCCCCGUGACAACCCACAAGCCAGCUUGCGCUAGACCUGUCUGUGCACUCCCUUAUGGCCCAAAACACGACCCAGCUGCGGCUAGGGUCUCCCAUUCCUCACUCGUGGCCUGCAGCCACCACCAAAUGAACAUUUGGGCCUCGCCUUAUGCUUAAGGCACCCAACCCGUGCCUCUUAACCCCCGGCAUUAAGCCCAAUUAUUUUUGGGGCUCUAUUUUCGAUCCAAUAAUAUUAUUUUAAUAUUAUUUUGCUUCUACGAUUGACCCCGAAUGGUCCAGAUCUAUUAAAUUAAUUAAAAGUGACCUGUAGUCCAUUAAUCUGAUAAUGAAUCCAAAAUUAUUGACCUGAAGAUCACUUUUGGACAUUAACGAUUUAAUAAUUUAUUUCUCUUCUUUGAACCGUCACAUACUUUUGUAGUAGCAAAGCUCUCACACUUGAGUUCCUAAAGACAACUCAAAUCCACUACACUAAGUUAGUAUAUUGCAUUCUGAGUUUCUUGCAGGAACCUCUCCUUUAUGAACUAAAUGUUCAUAAACUAAAUUGAACCUGUAGUUUCAAAUUUAGUGCCUUUGAAACCCGAAGAUUUCAUAAAACAAUACACCAUGAAAACCCGACGUUUUUCAUGAAAACCAUGUCUUAGAACUCGAAUGUUCUAACUUUGAUGCUUAUGGAUGAUUCAUUCCCAUAGCACCAAUCACAAUCUUGUUCCCUCAAAUUCAGUGGUUUGUCAAACCGUCACAAGUUUGAUUUUCCUGAUUUGGACGUUUUCUAAUAGAAACCACUUUAGGUGGGGUACAAGACGUGAAUCUCCACUUGACUAUCAAGAAGCUGAGAAACCAUUUAUGCCAACAAUGGCAAGGAAGAGCUGAAUAAGCCUCCGCCAUAAUCUUCAUUCGAAGACUUAUGCUCAAAGCAUUACAAAUGGAAAUACUCCCCGAACGAGGAUUCCAUGGCUCUUUGGCUCGCUUCUAUAGACCGUCUAAUCAUGAAAGAAAUUGCCCGCAGCAAACCAUGAUUACGUCCAUGAAUGAGUACAAUUCUGAAUUUUAUAAAUCCGAUUGAAUCUUGACUGGAGAAUACUUUUCUCAUCAUUCCAUGUUUCUAACUCGCUCCUGAAGCAGCAGUGUAGAAAGUGCAAAUUUACCAAAUUCUCGGAUCUGAUUACUACCGAAUGGCUCGACCCAGUUCAUCAAAACCUAACCAAAUGGUGAUGCACUGCUUCGGCAGGAAUACACUGAAUGGCAUAUUCUUUCACAAUACAAUUUCAAGUUUGUGUUCACAAACAUAUAGUAUAAUCAUGGCCUGUCAAGGUGUGGCAUCAUGCUCGAAGCAUGAUCCUUGGUACAUAAGACCUAAAAACUUCAAGAAUAAGGGAUAAUAUUCUCGAACCUCAACCUUACAAGAAUCUACUCCCGUCUUGAUGGAAUAGAUCAGUGGUUAUGCACCUGUUCGUGCCCCUACCAAUGUUGUUGAUGAGUGCCAUUCUAGUAGUCAAUAUGUGAGAUUGAUUUUGCUCCACCGGACAUCGUUGGCAGAGCAAAAUUUCGACAUGGAUGGCCUUAUUGGCCGAAUCCCCUUAGUAAAUUUACUUUGUGAACAUUUUUCCAUGUUCUUGGAUUCAAGUUUGGUGUAUGUUUUACUUAUGGAUAAUCUUAUUGAUAUUGUCCUCGAAUAUGAGUUAAUUGAAUCAUGUUUCUUAAUACAUAUGACUGAUUCAAUUAAACACGUGAUUAGGUAGGAAUGUGGGAAAGUUAGUUGUCUGGAUGAAUGCGUACUACGCACACUAACUUUACACCUAAAUCACAUCUCUAACAACAACUUCAGGUCUAUCCAACCUGAUUAAGAGCAUUGGCACGCUCCUCGUUGUAUGAAUGAUACUGAAUUAUCAUUUAAAGGACCUUAAAUUCUUCCUAACGUUAAGUUUUUAAGGAUAUUCAAGAUGACAAUGAUCAUCAAUGAAACCACUGAAGAAAAUAGAAUGAAAUAUCUUAGCACCACCUCCAAAAAUGAGCCUGAAGCUUUGAUUUGGGGCCAAUGGGUUGUCUUCCAAUUGGGAAUACACCACAUGUGGCCAGCCUAUAGCCUGGUGAUUGAGCAGUUUACUUGCUUUGGCACUACCUUUUGGGACACUUAGGUCGAACAAUGAUGCUACAACGCAUCUCCUUAUCUGAAGUAAGGAUUUUAUGCCUACAAGCACACUUUGCCAAUCCUGCUCAUUAGGGAAAUUGAUUUUCUAUAUCAUUUCUUGCAAAGAUACGACGCGACUCCAUUUUCGCAGUGGAUUCAAGGGAAUAUAUGUGGACUAAUCCAACCAAAAUGCGGACCAUAUAAAUAUUUAUGGUUUUGGUUGAUGAAUUGACAAACUGGUCACAUGUUUGUCCACACACAUUACUGCUAAACCUCUUGGACGAUUAAGGGUUCAUCACCCUACUUAUCCCUUAAGGUCUGGAAGACUAGAUAAUGCUAGAGAGUUUAUAUCGACGGUUUUCGAUAAAGUAUUGCAUGUCAUUUUGGGUUUUUAAUUGAACAUCGCAUUCCCAUGUUCACCCCAAAUAGCCUAGCCUAGCGAUCAUAAAGCGCAAUUUAAAUGAUUGCCCAAAUUUUGGUAAACGUACCAAGUUUUUGGUCUUUGCUUAGGGCUAUGUAAUCUUACAUGCAGCUAUGUUGGUCCACCUUGAGGCCCAUUGCCACCCAACCUAUAUGACAUUACAGUUGGUUACUGGGUACGAACCUGACGACUUUCGUAUUUACGCAUUUGGGUGCGCAUUCCAUGUGCCAAGUUGCACCGCCGCAACGUACCACCAUAGGUCCUCAAAGAAGGAUGUGUAUCUUUUGUCGAUCAUGAUUCUCCUUCACACUAGCUCUCUUCGAGCCCUUGCACACGAUCUCUUUACCACUUAUUUACGGGUUGUCACUUUAAUGAGACAGUCUUCCCGCCGUUAGGGGGAGAUAAGAACGUCAACGUUCCUGUAGAACAACACGAAUUUGCAUGGACGUUGCCCACUAUGUCUCAUCUUGAUCCCCAUAUCGUACAAGUGUGAUAAGCAAGUGCGACGAAUUCUAGAUUUCAAAAUGUUGCUCUAGACGCAUUCCUCUGAUCUAGCUAAAGUGACGAGAUCAUAUACCAGCUGCAAACAUGCUUGCAAGGAUAGACGUACUUAACGGACGUCGAGUCAACAUCCUUGGAGGGUGUGCCGCCCAUGUUGGACGGUUUGGACGCCCCUGUUGGACAGUCCGGUACACCGGUGGAUAGCCAAUCAAUAUGUCUUGGCCUGGAGCAUGACAUAUCAUUCGGUUCGUAGGAUUCACUUCCCUGGAAGAGGAAGACACGGCACAACACUGAAUCUAAACUCGAUUGCUGUCUCAAAUCAUUUCCAUCUCAUGAGAUUAAUCCGGAUUACUCCCGAGACUUGAAGUUCUUGGUCCAGUAUACUAGUUUAGAUGAGAAAAUGGAAUUGAAAUGAGAUUAUCAUCGAUGAUGUUUUCACUUAUAUGGUAGCUACCGACAUAAAUGAAAAGCGACGAUAUCGAACCAUGUUCUGUUGAUUAAGUGACAAUGUAGAACUGAUUGGACAACUAAAGUUACAAUCCAGGUCAAAUUCCUUACCAAAAUGUGUAUUGGACCUGUUGUUCCUACACUGCCCAAGGUAACCCUGUUGAGUUACAAGUGGGAAAGGAAACGUUAUGAGAUGAAUGAAAUAGUGCAAUAUGAUGCACGCCUUACGGCGCAAGGUUUCUCUCAAAACGUCCUAUGAUUGAUAACAGCAUUAUGAAAUGUGGUUAGUAUUUCUCCAUGGGGAUAUAAAUACGGAGAUUUACGUGUAAGUUCCCAAAGAAUUACAUAGGCUGGUUCAAAUAGUUCCAAACCACGGAACACCCUCUUAACUCGUUUUGAGGCGUUCACUUAUGGAUUGAAAAAUCCGACGAAUAUGGUAUACCCAUCUAAAUGAUUAUUUGAUCAGUCAAGGAUAUGAAUUAUGCCCUUGCGUGUUAAACUAUGAAGUCUUAUUCCAAAUUGCUAGAGUUACAGUUUAUGUCGUUAACACGAAUCUCACUAAGACUCUGGAAGAGCUUGAGAAAACUGCCUCGUACCUGAAGAUGGAAUUUGAGAUGAAGGAUCUUGGGAAAACUCGUUUAUGCCUUGACCUGAAGUUGAAGCAUUGUUUUGACGAUAUUUUGGUCUACCAGUUGAACUACAUCCGGAAUGUGUCACCUUUGAGUAUACCCAUGAUCAUCUAUACAUUAUAUGCAAAUGAGACUCUUGAAGAGUCUAUGGAAUCCGAAAUUCCAUAUCUAAAAGUUCAACUUUGCGCUUUGUUGUACUUAGCUCAUUGUAUUUAGACAGGACAUCUCAUUCGCUGUUGAUCUUGGUAAAGAUGCAGCACCGUGCCUACACGCAACCACUGAAUUAGUAUUAAAGACGUACCCUGAAGGUAUUACGUGGGCAAAUCCCAACGCAUCUUGAGUGGAUCUAACCCCCUUGAUCCUCGAAAUGAUGCUUGCCUUGUUUGUUAUGCUGACACUGGUUACUUAUCAAACCCGCAUAAGGUAAAAUCCCUGAAUAGUUAUGUCUUUACCGUUAGGGAUAUCGCAAUAUCUUGGAGGUCCACGAUAUGACCCUAGUUGCGAAAUCUUCGAAUCGUUCCAAGACUCACCUUGCUUCAUUAUGCCACAAGUGAGACAUGGUUAGGAGUUCUUGUUGAGCAUAUUCGAAGUACUUGCUAUAUUUUCAUCCAUCGUUGAGUCCCAACGACGAUCCAUGAAGAUUAUGCCACAUGUAUCAACCCGACCAAGCCAUGAUACAUCAACGAAGUCAACACUAAGACAUAUUGCGUCUACAUCUACAUCAGCAAAGCAUCAGGAGAUUGAAGUCAUGCAAACCGAUCCCAAACAACCUUGCCGACCUCUACACGAUGUCACUGCCGAAGUCAACCUUCCAGAAGCUUGUCCGAGGAAUUGGUAUGCCUAACUACUCAUAUACAAUGCUUGUAGUUCUCAUUUGGAAGUUAUGUCAAACUCAGGGGGAGUAUCCAGAAGUAUACUCACUUGAUCUUAAUGUACUAUUUUUCCCUACGAUUAGGAGCAUUUUUCCCACUGGGUUUUUGCUACCUAACUAGGUUUUAAUGAGGCACCCAUCCUGGGCUGAUCAUACCCUUGAGAGCUCUUCUACUUGCGUCCAAAAGACGUAUAGUUUUGACUUAAUGCAACUUCUCACUUUUCUCCUUAAACUAUGGGUUUUUCUCCCAUCUUGGGUUUUACCAUAGCGAGGUUUGUGAGUUUUACUUUUUAUGCAUUCUUCUGUUGUUUUGAGACUCGCAUUUGCCCAUUGUGCCGACGACUUCAUCAACUGUACUUACUUCAUCAAUGAAGACUUGAUGCACCAUUUACUUGAGUAUUUACACACUCAAGGGGGAGUGUUGCAGUCCUAUUUAGAAUAGGAAUGUGAUUGUGUAAAUCCUAGGAAAUAUGGGAAUGUAUCUUAUAUUCCUAUUAGGAUUAGAUUACCUAUUAAAUGUUGUAAUCCUAAAGGGAAAGGUUUUACCCUUCCUACUACUAUAAAUAAAGGCACAAUGGGGUGAGAUAACACACACCCACAAUUACACAUCUCUCUAUUGCCGCACCCUCUCUCUCUCUAAAGCCUCCAUAAUUGUUCAGUAAAUUAUGCCUACAACAGUUUAUUAUUUUUUAAUAGGUUCUUAGUCAUCAAGUAGUCUAAUUGGAAUACUAAAUUUGGGGUUCAGAUAAAUCUACACCAUCGAAUUUGAGAUUUGUAAAAUGUUUGCAGUUGUACAAAUUGCUCCACCUUUUUAGGGGAUAGUAACUUAUAUAGAACUGAUUGAUUAUCACGUAGCGUUCCGACCCAAUCAUACAUUUCAUGUAUAGAAAAAUUUGCACAUACAAAUGCAUUAUUAAUUAAGGAACGCCAAGUGAAGGUAAACCCUUCCAUGCAAGUCAUUCUCUUUUUCGAGAGAAUACGUUGUUAGAUGUUCUCCCCAGCUCACAUAGGUUCUACGCACGGGCUACACACGACUUGGCUUUGUCAAAUCUUAAUCUUUCAUUCCUUUACCUGAAAACAAGCGGUUUUGAUUAGAUUUGAAAAGAUUGGCUGCAACAAAGAAUGAAUCACUGUAUAACUAUCUUUAGAAGAAUAAUUGCAUUCUUUGUUGCAACCCUUUGCUUGAAAUCUUAUCAGAGCCGCUCGUUUUUGGUUAAAAGAAUGAAGGGAUGAGAUUCAACUAAGCCAAGUCGCGCGCAUCCCGUGCAUAGAACCGAGUACGCAGGGGAGAAAAUUUGGUAAACCUAGCACUAUCUAAGCACCACCGUGAUUUAUUUACUUGAUUAACUGCCUAUAGUGUGUCACUACCAACAUUUGAUUAGCAUAAACGCAAUAGAGAGUUAAUCAAGCCCAAAAGUAUUUUUCUUCUUCAUCUGUUUUUGUUUCUGGAUAAUUUAUCAAGUUAAUUAUUCAUACCACUAUAAAUAAAACCCCGUCCCUGGAUUUCACUAUUCAAGUUUCGUAUUUCAUAGGUACAAAUUUAAUUUAAUUUUCGUUAAGUUUUGAUUUUUAGUUAACUAGCUACAGAGUUUGAUAUUUUAGUAAUUAGUCAUUAAAAAUCCGUAGACAUGUUAAGGUCUCUUUUAGUAUAUUUGGAUAAGUUCAAUUCUACGAACGCGUAAGCGGAAACCGUUCACGAAAUAGAGUUUUAGCAAAGGAAUUAUGAGCUAAUAAAGUUAAGGGCAAAUUGGUAAAUUGGGCUUUAUAGCAACUGAAGUUUGUGGAAGGGGGAAAAAUCCCGUUUUAGAAACAUGGGUCUGCAAUUGACUCGUUUGCUGCGCGCGAUACCGGUUCUUGACACAUUUCCUGCAAUAAUUUUCAACGCGGAUUCUGGCAAAAUUUGAGGACGAUGAAUGAUCGGAUCAUAUUUAUAUAUAUUUUUACUUCAAAUUCACUCGUCUUUUCUUGUUUAGUUCCUUAUAUUUUUGAGCUAUUUACGUUAUUUUUUUGUUUAUAGGAUCUGUUAUGCAAAGAAAAUAAAAAUAGCACAAAUAAGUUUAAAAUAAUAAACAGAAAAAAAAAAGAAGAUAAGGAGAUAGUUGUCCACUCAAAAAGGAAUGGAAAUAAAAAUGUCCAGCUAAAAGAUGUCUUUCCACUAGGAGCUUUCGGUGCUCUUGCUUUUCAUCAUUUGGUUUAUAGGCAAAGCAAUACCAUUCAUAUAUUAUUAUAACAUAUGGACAAUUUUAAUACUGGAAAAUUGAGCAGAAAAAGAAAUAAGGAGCGCAGAGGAGACUGACGCGGGAGAUAAUGAGGAGACGUGGCGGAAAGACAGAAAGGCAGAGAGCAACAUGGCAGACAUAGAGGAGUGGGAGCAAAAAGAAAGGAAAGCUGCCCUUGGGAGCAGCGGAAGAAAACCAAAGAGAACACAAUCCACCCAUCCACCCUUCACCAUAACCCACCUAUAUCCAUCCACCACCAUAAUUUACCACUCAUCCAUCAAACCACACCUUGUGCCGCUACAAAGAGAAGAAGAAGGAUCUUGGACGUGCUUGCCAUUCAAAUUGGAUUGUUGGAGCGUUUUUAGGUGUCUUCUUUCUUUUGUUUUCAAUGUUUAAAUUUGUUUAUCUUUGCUUUGUAAGUAUGAGUGGCUAAACCCCUAUUUAGUUAGGGGGAAGUUUGAAGCCAUGAACGUGCUUGAGAUUUAAAUUGAUUUCUUCCAAUUGUGAUUUGAUAAGUUGUGAUUGCAAUUCAAUUAUCUAUUUUAUUCAUAACUAAUUCUUGUAUGUUUAUUAAGGAUGCAUACUUAGUUUUCAUGCAUGAAUUAGAUGCUAGAAUAUAAAUGAGUUUCACCUAAUCGUUACAAAUUUAUAUUCAUAAGUAGUGAAGGUUGUUUAUCACAAUCGCGUUAAUUGAAUUCUUGGCAUAAGUUUCAUGCAAUUCAUAGUUACAAGUGUUUCGUCAAUACUUAUGAUUUUCAUAGAACUUAAUGAUUCUUGCUUGUAUCUCUAUUAUGCAAUUCAUGUAGGGAACUUGUGGGAAUGCUUUGGGUUGUUGUAUGCAAUCAUCCAAUUCAAUGAAAUUAGGAAAAUCUGAGGAUUAAUUUAAGCGUACCUAAUUAAUCUGGGGUGUUGAGCAUCAUAGUUUAUUGAAAAGCAAUUGGAAAUCAAUUCAUAUACAAGUGUGUCAUGUGUGAAGAACGGACCUCUAACUAAUCCAUCCAUCAUCUUAUUUCUUAAAUUUGUUUUACAAUCUUCCUAGUUUUAUAACUUGUUUGUUUGUUUCAAAUUCAUCAAAACUAAAAUCCCCCUUUUACUUUCUUGUUUCAAAGUGUUUAAAAUUUGUUUGUUUGUGUUUUAGAGUGUUUUGAGUCAAGUCAAAACCCAAAUUUCGUCCAAAGUUAUGCUAGAGUCAGAAACUGCCUAGUUUGUGUUUUUAGGCAGUUUUGAGUGUCUUUAAGUUAUUUUGAGUCUUGUGAACCUGUUUUGAGUUCUUUAAGUCUAUUCAAACGUUUUUAACUUUGUUUUUAUGUUUUUGAGUUAGUUUAGAGGUUUUAGCAAGCCCUCCUAAUCCCCGGUUUAGAACGAUCCCUACUUACAUACUUUACUACAAUUGUCAAAAAGAGGGUUUAAUUCAAACGUUUUUAACUUUGUUUUUAUGUUUUUGUACUGUUUUUUAUUUUUUUUAUUAGUACCUCAUAAUAGGUUAGUAAUAAUGUGAUUCAAUUAGUUGUUCAUUAAAUAAUAUUUUCUCUAUUCUUAAUGUAAAUUCUAUAGAGACUAAUUUUAUUAUGUGGAUUUAGCUGAUUUAAUUGGUUCAUGAGGGGUUUCUUUUAGCAUGAUCUAAGAUUAUUCAUUUACUUUUUCUUAUAUAUAAAGCCAACAAGCCCAAUGAAUAGUGUUUUUUGGUGUCACAAGCUUCACCAAAAUAAAUGGACAAAAAUGUCCCUCAAACAAAAAAACUUCAAAAGCAACCCAAAAUAAUGCAUCAAAUGUGGCAGAGGUAUUUUCGUCAUUUAAACAGUGUUUUUUUUAAUAAUUAAUUUUUUGUACAGUUUUUUUUAAUUAGUAGCUCACAAUAGGCUAACAAUAAUGUGGUUCAAUCAACAGUUCAUUAAAUAUUAUUUUCUAUAUUCUUAAUGUAAAUUCUAUAAAAAUUGAUUUCAUUAUGUGGAUUCAACUGCUUUAAUUGGUUUAUGAGGGGUUUCUUCUAGCAUGAUCUAAGAUUAUUCAUUUACUUCAAAUAUUUGACUUUCCUUUUGUCAAUUUACGCAUAUAAAUACAUUUAAAACGUGUAAGACGCGUGUAGCAUGCCGUGAUUUAAAAAACGUCUUCUGCACGUGCAUUCAUGAAGGCUAGUAAGAAAUAGUUUCUCAACUAAAGAAAUGAAUGGUUGGAUACUUUUUUAUUUUUUAAUUUUUUUAAUUUUUUUUAAAGUUAGUGGAACAUAUAAAUUUCUAGUAAGGAGAGUAGAGAAGGAAGAGAGAAAAUCAAAGGAUCAUCACCCAAAAAGUGUUACUCAUGUAUUGUAGUUUGAUAAUCGAAACUAUCUAUAUUUUCAAUAUCAUUCAUUAUAAUUAACAGGCCAAUUUUGUUAAUCCACAAUCAAAUUACUUAUAUCUCAGUGAAACUCAUUUCACAUUGAGCUGAAGACAAGUACUCCAAACACCUAUUUGAUUGACUAAAAACAGUUGCACACAUAAAAGCACAAUAAGAGAAGCGCCCUGCCAGCAAGUUAUGGUACCAACAUUCAAUCAUGAAAUCUAAACCUGUCAAUUUCUUACACAACCCGUUAACAUGAUACGUAAAUGAGACGAACAUAACGGGUUUCGGAUCGAUACGAUAACUAAUCAGGUCAUUAUUGAGUCACACGAUAAGAACCUGUUCAUAACGGAUCAGUAACAGGUUUACACGAGAGUGACAAGCGGUGACGCGGGUAACCCGUUGCAACACGAUAAGAAAAAAAGUUAUUUUGAUUAUUUUAAUUUUUUAAACUACUAAAAAAACUUACUAUAAAAUACAAUGGCCAUAGUCUAUAUGUAUUUAUUGUAUAUUAAAAUUUGUAUUGUUGCAUUAUUAUUCUACAUAAAUUUAAAAAUUUGAAGUUUUCUUUAUUUUUAAGGAAAGCUAAUGAAAAUGGCUUGAAAACUUUAAGUUUUAACGAUAAGGACAAAAUAAAGGAUAAAGUGAAUAGUACCAAGAUUGACUUUUUAGUGUAAAAAUGUGGUUUUUCGUUAAAGUGAACAGUACUAAGAGCUUUUCGUUAAAGUUCCAUUGUUUUUAUAGUAUACACUAGGCAAUGAGUGAGAUUAAAAAAAUUAUAAAACACAUUAAAAAUAAAAAUAUCAAGUAAUUUAAAAAUACCAAAUACAUUAAAAAAAUAUAAUAACUAAUUUACAAGUGCCAAAAAAUGUGAAACAAAAUAUGCAAAAGCUCGUGAUCGUAUUCUCUACCCUUUAAGGAUGGGUACAUCGUCGUUUGAAUUUUUGAAACCAUACAAAGCCUCAUGAAUAGUAUUUUAAGGGAGUUCAAAAUAAACCAAUAUUAUUUCCCUUGGUGAUUGAUGAAAAUUAUUGUAAAAAACAUGUAAGGUUUCCUCAACCUUGAAACACAACUCCUUUUAUUUUGCAUAUCCUUGAACAUUUGGUAUUUUGUUGUAAUGCACUAAUGUUUUUUCAUUAGACUCUUAUUUUUGGGUAUGUAAUACUUAAAAGACAAAUGUUGUUUUUAUGUUUUAAAGUAAUAUUUAUGUGACAAUGUGAUAUACGUAUACAAAUUUAGUAUUAUGUUUUCAUUUUUUUUGGGGUCAAAUUAUGGUUUUCAUUUCAUUAUUUAUUGAUUUAAAUAUAUUUUUCUUAAUGGGUAACAGGUCGGGUUACAUUACCUGAUAAUAUUAAAGGGUCGAUUUCAGGUCGGGUCAUAUUACCCAUUUACUUUAACGGGUGUUACACAACACGACCUGUUAAGAUAUCAGGUAUGUCACGAAAACGACACGAACACAGUAUACACGACACGAAUGUCAAGUCUAAUGAAAUCUAUAUAAUUCAAUUAACUCAUGUAAAUUCAAGCAUGUAAUCAAGCAUAAGAUAAGCAAGUAAACUGAGCAAGUUCAAAGAUUAAAAAUAAGUUGACAAACACUAUGAAGAAAAUUCACUAAGAACAAAACUAAAUAUACAAUUCAGUCAAGCUUAGGGCUAGUUUGGCAGUGCUGAAAUUAUUUUAAAAGCAGUUUUUUAAAAAAGCUAGGGCUAAAAUUGUGUUUGGUAAAUGAAAAAAAAAGUGUUUAUUGUCAAAAUCAUGGGUCCAAAACAGCAGAAAGCAGAAGUAGUUAUACCUCUGCUUUUGAAAACAACAUUUUUUUUUUCAUAGUACAACAAUCCCAAACUAGCCAUUAAACACUUACAUUUAAGUGAUUCUUUGCUUAAACUCCAGUCGAUCAAGUUAACAAUGAAACUUGAUUGAAUCAAUGCCUAGGAAGAGCCUAGCCACAUUAACUAAACGAAUCUAACUCAGAACAAUAUUUGCGAUGCGAAAUCUUCUUUAAGAGACACCUUGACGAGGGAGGGUGCAUUCAACAAAAUAGUUCCACUCCUUCGUGGUCCUCUUCCGUGGUAGAUAAAGAACAAACCACUUUCAAAGAACGGAGAUGUGUAUCGCCAUAAAUACAAAGGUGUUCAAGAAGUUCGCAAUGCGAUAUAACCUGCUCAACGGGUUCUCUACUUAUAUUUAUAUACUUCAAAUAAAGAUGUAUAUAGAAUAGACAAUUUCAUUAGUGUCGAGGAAAAAAAAUACCGAGACGGGCGUAUCCGCCGAGUUGAUAUAUUCCUAUACCUAUUUGAUUAUAGGCGCAAUGAGCUAUAGGCUCAUAUACCUAUUUGGCUAUAGGCACAAUAAGCUAUACGCUUCCAAGUGCAUGAAUAUAAGCUUUAUAUUCAUCUAUAUGGGGCUACAAAGCCAAUAGCCGAUACAAUUGGCUAAAUGUUUUUAAAUUGACUAGCAAUAAAGAACAAAUGAUUGUUCUUUUGCCAUAAAUAUAAAAGAAAACUAAUGAAAAAUGUUUGAAAAUUUUGAGUUUUAAUCAAAAGGAUAAAAAUGUGUUGUAAGUUAAUAGUACCAAUAGUGACUUUUUAGAGUGAAAAUGUCAUUUUCGUUAAAAGUGAACAGUACCGAGAGUGUUUCGUUACAACUCCCUAAAUGUAACUGUAGAAAUAAAAGGAAAAACUAAUUAAGGUAAAAAGGCAUAGAGAUCAAAAGUUUAAAAUUUACAAAUUAAAUUCAUGGUAAUCCAAUUAUGCCGAUUGAUUGGCCUUUUAUUACAGUGUUAGUAGUGAAAAAGUGUUGAGUCUUUACAUGAUGGUGUGGAUUUGAACUUCGUCAAUGACUAAUCUAACAUUUCAUCUAACAAAAUUUAUCGUUUGAUCAAAAAAAAAAAAAUUAUGCCGAUUGAUUAUACGUCGUGCACGCACAGUGCCAAGGAAAAAAAUCAAAGUGAAAAUGAAUGGCAGACAUAUACCAGUAAAUGUAUAUAUGGUUUUUCAAAGAAUAUGCGCAUAAACAAAUGCGGAAUUUCAAAGGAUACAUCACACAGGAUUUUAUCGAUGCGGAAUUACAUUGUCCAUAUCACUCUUCUGCCUUCCAAGAGUAAUUAAACAAGUAAACUUGUGUUGACCCUAAAAGCUACCAAGCUUACGUGGCCCGCAGGCCGAGUAACUAAUGAGCUAAUUACGUCCUUCGGUUAUGUGCGGGGCGUGCCAACUCGAUGGCCGAGCUAGCCGGGGAGUAAAAUUUGUUGAUGUUGCGUUGAGUGCGCUGUUGACUUCUUGAUCUUGCAACUACGGCCGAGGAAGGAACAUGUCUCGGCCUUCGGGUUCUAGAGCCUGAAGAUAAGGCUGCUAGUCUGGCAAAGUUCAUGGAUUGUCGGCGCCGGGUUCCGUCACGGUGAUUAUAUUCGUAAAAGUAUAAGCACACCGAACUGGCUCCAAACUAUACAGACACAAGUACUCAAAAGAGAUAUAUGUCUUGAUGGUGAAUGUGGUUCGACCGUCAGAAUGCCGAAUUCUAAAACUUACCUAUGUAUAUCCAAUCAUCAACAACUCGACUUUCAAUGUGCCGAGCCCAAUAAUCUAUAACACCUCACUUCACCAAGAAGGCUAAUGAGAUGACCUAUGCCAACAAGAACUCGAAAAUCAUUCUUGGCCGAGACUUGGAUAGAUAAUCAAUCGGCCUCGACGCAGUGCUGUUUAUCCAAACUGAAGGUGCUCCGCGGUCAGUUGAUUAUACGGCAACAAUAUUGUUUAUCCAAACUGAAGGUGUUCGUCGGUUGCCUUCACAGUGUUGUUUAUCCAAACUGAAGAUGUGUCGGCGAAAAAGAAAAUAAAAAUCUCAAGGUUGUUGACAGGUUUCGCGUAGAGCGAGAGUUUGCUCAAGGCAGUUUAUGUGCUAUUAAAACUCUUCCACUGACUUGAGCCUCGGAUAAGCCUUACUACUCCUAAGACUCUGAACUUAGUAAAAAAUGCAACCAAAUUCGAUCCUUGUGUUCUUAUCACAUCGAAUCUCAAGAUAAUGUGCAUGCUUGGAUUUGAACAAAUAACGUUCAUCUAAACAGCCACCAAUUAUAUAUAUAUAUAUAUAUAUAUAUAGCUGGUAGCCUUUCACACGACAUGCAGGCCAAGUCCAUCAUCAAUUCAAUUCAUCUGACAACAUCCAUAAAUAACCUAGCCUACUUGCGUCUCCUAUCUCACCAUUAUCCAAGCCUUGCAAAUCCCAUGCUAUGCUACGUGAUAAGAAUCCAAGCCGAGUUGCUCUAAUCCAUAUGGUACACUGCUAACAAAUCCAAAUUAAAUCAGACUGUUCUGCCUGUCUCUACGUUGGGGCUAUGAUUUUUAUCCUAUUUAUUUUGUACAAGAAAAUCAAGAUAAUUUAUUGAAAGAUAAUUAUUAUGAUUAAAAACCAUAAUUUUAUCUCUUAACAAUCGCAAAUUAUCUUAACUUUCUUAUCCGACGGUUAAGAACCAUGCUCACUCAACGGUCUCGAUUACUUGGGCCGAUGGUGUAAAAUCGGGUCCAAACAACUUGCAAACUGAUAAUCUUAUUGAAGUUAUAUAUUCAAAGAAUGACUAACACACGAUAAUAAUCAAAAGUAAAAUAAUAUAAAGUUUUGAUUUCACAUGUUGACUUUGUAUAGAUUUCCUAUUAUUCCAGGAUCACUUUAAUCUUGGUGUUUGGACCCGAUUUUACACCAUCGGCCCGAGUAAUCGAGGCCGUUGAGUGAGCAUGGUUCUUAACCUUCGGAUAAGAAAGUUAAGAUAAUUUGCUAUUGUUAAGAGAUAAUAUUAUGGUUUUUAAUCUUAUAGCCCUAACGUAGAGACAGGCAGAACAGUCCGAUUUAAUUUGGAUUUGUUAGUAGUGUAUCGUGUGUUACUAUUCAAAAGGGUUAUCGUUGUUAUCACCUUCCAACCAAGAAAUUGUUUAUCACUGCCGAUGUCACUUUCCAUGAAAAUGAGACGUAUUUUGGUUCCUCUGAGUCCUCACUGGGGGUGUUUCAAGGUGAUGAAGUUUGUUUAUACCAUAUUUAGGGCCUUGUAUUUAGACCUCGUAUAAAUACUCGAGGGACUUAAAUGUAAUUAUGCGGUAAAGGAAAGGGCAAAUAUGUAAUAAGUAAAGAGUCUUUAUUCUAUAAAAGGACCCCUCACCCUCACAAUUAGGGGAGGCCAUUUCUGGAGCCUUCUCACCCCUCUCAUAUCUCCUCUCAUUACAGAGGUUCUCUCCCUCACUUCUCAGAGAAAUACAAUACAAUCAGUGUGGACGUAGCCCAAACCUUGGGGUAAAUCACGAUACAUCUUGUGUUAUUUACAUUAUAUACAGAUUCACGGUCGGAUUUACGUUGUUCCAAGACCUCUGGUUUUGUGCAUCAACAUUUGGCGCCGUCUGUGGGAAACGACACAAAAAACUAUGUCGGUUCUCUCUCAUUUUUUUACCUCCACCGUGAAUCUGCAAAACCUCAACUCUCUAAACACCACACAACACAACUCAAGAAAACCUCAACUCAUCGUUGUUUAUUUCGCAAUGAGCUUCUCUGUUGCUUCAAUCUCUGCCGUCCAUCACGGUAAUAAACACCAAAACCCAACUUGUGGAGCUCAAAAUGUGUAGAGAGACGAAUGAUCUGUUUCUUAAGCUAGAUCAGACUGUCUAGAAUCCUUUGAAAUCCCAGAUGUUAGUACUAUCCCGCGUCGCCGACUCCUCGGAGUACAAUCUCUUGCACUUCCCGGCACUCCCCGGCGAACGCCGCCAGCUUUUGUUGUCAGCGAUCCUGUGGAUUGAGGUAGGGAUACUCAGGUUCUCUGUGGCAUUCUAAGAUCUGUAAGGCUUCCUGGAGAAUGGACAUCAACCGCCUCUAUAUUUUACCGCAGAUGAUCUUGAGUAUCAGAUCUGCACUCUCUUCCUCUCGAAGUUUUCUCCUCGCUCCGCCGAUGGAUUUACAGCUCCGUUCCUCCGCCGAUAUGGCCCUACCAAUUGAGACAGUUCAGAAAUUUGAGCCUCCUCAAAAAAUUGUGGAACCCCAUGUCACCUAUCAUCAUGAUCAUUCCUCGCAUCCACCUCUUAAUGAAAGGAUACUUUCAUCUAUGACCAGGAGGUUUAUCGCUGCUCACCCGUGGCAUGACCUUGAAAUCGGACCUAGAGCUCCUAAGAUUUUCAACUGUGUUAUCGAAAUCCCAAAAGGAAGCAAGGUGAAAUAUGAGCUUGACAAGAAAACUGGACUCAUCAAGACUUCAUUGUCAACCACCUGGUCAAGACCUUCCAGAAAUGUCUCAUCUCCAUCGUUAAUCUCCGGUUGGUCCCUUGGGGCAACGCCUGGCUCAAUCCCGACGUUUCCCUCACCUGUCAGUGGGCCAAUCACGGAUCCCUCAAAGUCUAUCACGGCUAUAACCCAGGCCCUCGCCGGCUCCGGCAUCGCCAUCGCCAUCGGCGCCUCGAAUGGGGACAUCCUAGCCCUCGCACUACGAUCCCAAUGUGGCGGUGCAGUGGAAAGUUUUGAAGACAAAGAUCAAGAACCGGUUAAACGCCAACUUUCUCAUGAGAAAAUGUUUCAUGUUUUGGACUUGUACCAAGCGGUAUCGGAUCUAUGGCCCGAGAUCGAGUCCAUUUUCUCAUUCGAAUUAACCUCCGUUGUCUGAUCCCUGAUGGUUAACUCCCUGGUGAAGUAGGGCGAGGCCGUCCGUCCAAUCCCUGGCGGUUAACUCUCUGGUGAUGUUAAUGCCAAAGACAGGGAAUAAACACCUGUACGCCGACAGGCUCUCGAAGCUUCUGGAAAGUUCCACACAUUUCUAUGGGAUUCCUCAUCCUUCAGGAGCUCAAUCCUCGCUCUUCUCUCUACUAGCAGAUGGCGAAUGCAGAACUAUCUUGGACGAUUGAGGAAGAGCAGACUGGGGGAUCUGCUCCGUAUAUAUCUUUACUUGCCGGGUCAGGCUUAUAUGCUCAAAGAUCGACAGAACCGUACAACAUCUCAUUGGAGCCAGCAUGGUGAUUCCGAUUAUAUACAUGAUUUUAUUAUACAAGUGGGAAACAAAAGCAAAAGAAGAAAGCAAAAGCAAAAGCAAAAAAGAGAAAAAGAAAGAAACACCAUCAUCCAAAAACAGGCAAAGGCAAUCAUCCACUAACAGUAGCACGGGCACCACCAACGGGUCAUCCACGAACUCCAACCAUGCACUCACCUGUUAUAUAUAUUAUCUCCACUGCCAUUAUUACCAUAGAAAUCUCAGUGUCCAAGCAGUUGCCACUUUAAAGAGAAAGCGAAAGAAGAAAGCAAAAGCAAAGCAGAAAACAAAAGCAAAAGCAAUGCACCAACGAUUGCUUUAUUUAUUUUUGAAUGAUGUAAUUUAUUUUUCGUAUCUUUCGGAGAUAUUUGUAUAAACCCCAUCAGAGGGUAAAAAAAAAAAAGGCAAAGCCCAAAAUAAAAGGGUUGGAAUGUUGUGUGGAGAGCGAAGGCCCAUAAGCCUAAAAUAGCACCAACCAGGUCAUCAAAAGUACGCCCAGUACUCCACAAUUGUUCGGCAACCCGCCGCAAUUACCACCAACCAGGUGAUUAAAAGUACGCCCAGUACUCCAAAAUUAUUCGGCAACCUGCCGUUAUUACCACCAACCAGGUGAUGAAAUGUACAACCUGUACUCUAAUAUCAUUUGGCAACUAGCCAUUCAUGCCACCAACCAGGUGAUGAAAUGUACAACCCGUAGUACUCUAAUAUCAUUUGGCAACUAGCCAUUCAUGCCACCAACCAGGUGAUGAAAUGUACAACCCGUACUCUCCUUCAUGCCACCAACCAGGUGAUCAAAAGUACGCCCAGCACUCCAAAUUAUACAUGAGCAUUACUCAUGUCAUUCAUACAUAAACAUUCAUGAGCAUCACUCAUGACAAUCAUACAUAAACAUUCAUGAUCAUCAUUCAUGUCAACAUUCAUGAGCAUCACUCAUGUUAACAUUCAUGAGCAUCACUUAUGACAACAUCCAUGAGCAUUACUCAUGUCAAUCAACAUAAACAUUCAUGAGCAUCACUCAUGUCAAUCAGCUUCAAAAGCUUCAUUUACGGAGCUCUAGCUUCAAAAGCUUCAUUUACAAAAGCUCUAGCUUCGAAAGCUUCAUUUACAGAGCUCUAGCUUCAAAGCUUCACUUGUAAAGCUUCACCUACAAAGCUUCAGUACAGGGUAUACAAAUACCACCUCCGAACAACCGCCACUUUGGCCCUUACAUGGAUUCAAUUUGAAGUCUCCAACCAACAGACUCUAUUGACCGAAGACUUGGGAGACUACAUUAUGUACCAUAUAUUGGGCCUCAACUGGGCCUUAUGAAAAAUACUUGGGGGACUUAGUCCAUUAUUUAUGUAUUAAUGAGCGAGCCCUUAUUCUAUAAAAGGGACUCCCUCACUUUCAUUAGAGAGCACUCAUUAUUCAUAUAUUGAGAAGCGAGCCUUUAUUUUAUAAAAGGGACUCACUCACCUUUAUUAGAGAGCAACGCUGCCAGCUGAGCAACCGCCUCGCCUCGAGCAUCACUCCUAGCCCAUCACUUAUGUAUUGAGGAGCGAGCCCUUAUUCUAUAAAAGGGACUCCCUCACCUUCAUUAGAGAGCAACGCCGCCUACUGAGCAACCGCCUCACCGUGAGCAUAAACUCUAGCCCAUAUUUAUGUAUUGAGGAGCGAGCCCUUAUACUAUAAAAGGGACUCCCUCACCUUCAAACGCCACAAGCCGAGCCAACCAAGGCAACAUAAGCCACGAGCCGAGCAGCCUCGCAGCGUGUGCUACUUCUAGUUCAGCGUCAUUUCAGAUUAAGCACUACCUCAUAUCGAGCAUCAGUUCAAGACAGCAUCUAGUUACUUCGGCCCACACAUGGACUGAAUUUCAAGUUUCCAGCCAAAAGACUCUCUUGACUGAAGACUUGGGGGACUACUGUUUGUACCAUAUUUAGGGCCUCGUAUUUAGACCUUGUAUAAAUACUCGAGGGACUUAAAUGUAAUUAUGUGGUAAAUGAAAGGGCAAAUAUGUAAUAAGUGAUGAGUCCUUAUUUUAUAAAAGGACCCCUCACCCUUACAAUUAGGGGAGGCCAUUUCUGGAGCCUUCUCACCCCUCUCACAUCUCCUCUCAUUACAGAGGUUCUCUCCCUCACUUCUCAGAGAAAUACAAUACAAUCAGUGUGGACGUAGCCCAAACCUUGGGGUGAACCACGAUACAUCUUGUGUUAUUUACAUUAUAUGCAGAUUCACGGUCGGAUUUACGUUGUUCCAAGACCUCCGGUUUUGUGCAUCAACAAAGUUCAAAUGUUUAAUUAUGGAACCGAGGAAUAAGCCAUUGUACAAAAACCCACUGCCGAGUAGCAAGUUGCUGCACAAAAGCCCAUUACCAAGGAAGAGGAAACUGCACAGUAGCUUACUGCCAAGCAACAAGCUGCUGCACGGCCGCCUAUCACCAAGCUACAGGCCACGGAGCGGCAGCCUACUGCCAAACCUGAGAGGGAGGAAGACACUAUUCCCUUUGAGGAAAACAGAGCACAUUCCGAGGUGAUUGAUGAUGGUAACCAAUGGCAGUUGGAACCCACGAUUUUGGAUGAAACAAUACAUGCAAACUCGUCUCUCAGUGAUUCUCAUAACCAAUCAUCUUCCACGCUAGAAGGACCACGACUCUGUAGUCUCCCGGAACUGAGUAACCGAGAUAUUCCUAAACCCACUUGUGAGGUAGACCUUAAGUGUAAAACUAAAUAUUCAAUGAGUGAAUCAACCCAGAACCCGAGAGUGAGGUACCCACUAAACAACUUUGUGUCUACCUGUUACCUGUUUGAAUCAAAUAAGUUAUUUGUGAACCAAUUGUCUACUGUAUAUAUUCCUAACAGUGUGUAGGAUGCCCUAGCAGAUCCUAGAUUGAAAGAAGCAAUGAAUGAGGAAUUAAGGUUACUGAAGAAGAAUGCUACCUGGGAACUAUCAGACUUGCCAAAAGGCAAAAAACCUGUGGGAUGUAAAUGGGUAUAUACAGUGAAGUACAAAGCAGAUGGAAUGGUUGAUUGGUUUAAAGCGAGAAUGGUAGCAAAGGGAUGCACUCAAAAAUAUGGCAUAGACUACACAGACACCUUCGCGCCAGUAGCUAAGAUCAAUAUCGUUUGAGUUCUAUUAUCUCUGGCAGCAAACCUAGAUUGGCUGUUGCAAUAGUUCGAUGUAAAAAAUGUGUUCUUACACGAAGACCUAACCGAAGAAAUUUAUAUGGACCUUCCACCAAGAUGUACCGGAAUAGACAUGCGAAAUGGAAAGGUAUGUAGGCUUAAAAAGUCAUUAUAUGGGUUGAAGUAGUCACCAAGGGCAUGGUUGGGUAAGUUCACUAAACCAAUGAAGGCGUUUGGGUAUAGACAAAGCAAUUGGGAUCAUACUUUGUUCUUAAAGCGCAAGAAUGAGAAGAUUAUGGCACUCAUUGUAUAUGUGGAUGACAUGGUGGUUACUGGAAAUGAUUCGGUUGAGUAAUCAGAACUGAAGAAGUAUUUGUCCACAUAGUUCGAAAUGAAGGACCUUGGGCCUCUGAAAUAUUUUCUCAGGAUCGAGGUAUCGAGAAGUAAGUUCGGGAUAUUUUUGUCCCAAAGAAAAGAUAUAUUGAUUUGUUGAAAAACACCGGGAUGUCAGCAUGCAAGCCGGUCACUACUCCGUUGACCGAAGGGAUGAAGUUGAGUUUAGAUCCAAAUCAAGUACCAGUAGACAAAGGAAGAUAUCAAAGGUUAGUGCGAAGAUUAAUGUACUUGGCCCAUACAAGACCAGAUCUUGCCCAUGCUUUGAGCGUGGUCAGUCAGUAUAUGCACUAUACCGAGAACAACAUAUGCAAGCGGUUAUGAGGAUAUUGUGCUACUUAAAAGGAAGUCCAGGAAAGGGACUUUUGUUUAGAAAGAACACGCAUUUCAGAAUUGAAAGAUAUAUUGAUGCUGAUUAGGCAGGUUCGAUAGAUGACCGACGUUCAACAUCUGGAUAUUUUACCUUUAUAGGUGGUAACCAGUGAGGUGGAGAAGUAAGAAACAAAAUGUAGUAGCACGGUCUAAUGCUAAGGCUAAGUAUAGAAGUAUCGCUCUUGGCAUUUGUGAACUUUUGUGGCUUAAGUUCCUAUUGCAAGAUUUGGGGGGGUUAAACAUAGUCAGCUAAUGAAGUUAUUCUUGACAACAAAGCUGCACGAGAUAUUGUUCAUAAUCCGAUACAACAUGAUAGGACUAAGCAUAUGGAAGUUGACAGAUUCUUCAUUAAAGAAAAGAUGGAAGGGAAAGUAAUUGAAGUUCCUCCAAUCGGGACCAAGGACCAAGUGGCAAACAUACUCACUAAGUCCAGCCCUAGUGAGAAAUUCUCAAAGUUUUUGGACAAGUUGGGCAUGUGUGACAUACAUACACCAACUUGAGGGGAAAUGUUGACUUUGUAUAGAUUUCCUAUUAUUCUGGGAUCCUUUUAAUCUUGGGUUUCCUAGUUUAAAAGAUAUUGUCUUGUAAUUAUCUUGUAAUUAUUCUUUCCUAUUUACAGUAGAAUUGUAUAUGAUUAUAUAUACCUCUUAAUGAGAAGAAUAAAAUAUAUAUUCAAAGCUUUCUCUUCUUCACAUAUGCAAUUUAGAUAUGUGAAAAUUCACGAGAAGAAAAGAAAAUCAAAAGCAUGUUGCAGUCCAAUCGUUAAGUGUAGAAAAAGUCUAAUCCAUGCAAUGACUCUAGCUUAGAUGAGGAAAAGCGGGUUGAUAACGUGUUGGAAUUAAAGUAUAUAUAUAUAUAUAUAUAUAUAUAUAUAAAAGACAAUAUAGAGAUGGGAGGAGAAAACUAAGCCAAGAGGAUCUUAGAGAUCCUAUAAUCACAUCCGUUUAUCGUACAUCGUGCAAUCAGAAAUCAUUGUAAUUUUUUUAUAUUUAAAAUUGAAUAUAAAUAGUACUUAACAAAAAUUGACCGUACAAUAUACGAUGAACGGAUGUGAUUGGAGGAUCCCCGGGAUCCACACAAAGAGGAUCCGACGAGGAUCCUCACUCAAAACUAAGUAUCUUCCUUCUCAUUAGAGUGCCUAUUUAUAAGUGUAGGAUUUACAUAGAAAGGUAUUCAACUAUUGAGAUAUUAUAUAUUGGUCCAAAAAAUGAACAUCCAUAUGAUAGAUAUUAUGUAUAACAAUUUGGAUUAUAUUCCUAUGGAACUGCCCCUCCAAAAAUCACUUCUAUAUAUACUCCUUGCAAAUGUUUUUUCUUAAAAAAAAAAAAAACAACAACAACAACUCUAGUGUGCAACUGGGCUUGUGAGAUGUUCUUACGAAGAAAGUUAAGGUUCUACCAUAAAAUCAAUUGGCAAUAUGAAGAAUAGUCUAACUUACUUAUAAGGCUUUGCAAUGUUUCUCUUUUCAUCAAUGUGAUAUUAUUUUACCUUCACAUCCUCACACGCCCCCCUCACGUGUAGCGAAUUUUAAAGCCAAACACAUGGACAACACGAAGUGGGUGACGUGGAGUAUGUGUUGCCAUUGAUCUUCAUAUAUGGGUUAACUUGCUCUGUUACCAUAAACAAAGUUGAAGUUCAACUAUAAAACCAAUUGACAAUAUAAGGAGUAGCCCAACUUACUUAUAAGCUCUUGCAAAGUUUCUUCUUUCAUCAAUUUGAGACUCUUUUACCUUCACACCAAGAGCUUGGUAGGAAAUUAAUUUGGCAUCAUCCUGGGCAAGAUGCUUUUAUACCACAGAACAAAACUGUUGUUGGUAUAUAUAGUUCAUUUUUCUUUUAGAAUUAUUCAAAUAUUACAAAUUUAUUGAGGUUUAUAAUGUGCCAACAAAAACCUUGAAAUAUCCAGGUGCACUAUGCUUCUUCAUCGAUGUGUUCAAAUUUGAUCUGUCGGCCUUGGAUACUUUUUGUACCCAGCUUGUAUUUUUCCUGGGAUUCUAGCGAGAAUGUGUGUGGCUCACAUCUCCCAAACUUGCGUGCACUUACUCAUACAGUGGGGUCUGGAUGUGACCCUACGGAAAAGCUCCAAGUGAAGGCAUGUGUUGUAAAUGUCCCAUAGCUAGUCCAUGUGCGUGUUGGUUUAGUAGAUUCAUUGCAAGCAUAAAGGAGACAACUUCAUUGAUUAACAUGGUUUGGUUUAAGAAAAACCCUAGCUAACUAGGAGCUUAUUAAGUAGAUUAAUUGACACAUCCUGACCCAGAAUAUUUAUCUGGACUUUGAAUUGUGCUAUGUUGACCGAUACCUAGAAGGUGACGAAGCCAUAAAGUGUAGUAAUGUGGAAAGUAUGAGUAAAUUUAAAACUAAAAGUGACUAAAUGCAAGAGUGCGCAUGUGAGCAGGAUUGAACUCAUUUCACAUGUGAUGUCUGAGCAUAAGUAAAGUAUAAUAAAAGUAAAUAAGAAUUAUACCAUCAGAAGUAAUCUCCAUUUAAGCUCCGUUUGCACCCACGCGUUCGUAACGUUAAGUACUGCAAUGAUACACUAAAAGAAUGGGACAUACAUCUCACGAUACAAUGGUCAAUGAAAGUCAACAUUCUUGCCUCUUGGGGCAUUUUGGUCAAUUCACUCCUUUAGAAAUAAAAAUACCGUAAAAUUAGGGUCGGGUCCUAACAUUUACUCCAUUUAAUUGACACAGAAUACUAAAAGCAGUCUAAAGUUCACUUGCAAAUGAGUUCUAAUAAAGUUUCUUUUAGAUAGGUCCAUUAGGCUUAAAUUAGGAGAGAUUUUCUUAUGUAUCCAAAACACAAAUAUAUGAUCAUAACUUCUACCAAUCACAAGUGGGGCUUAUGAUUUAUUUUUUCUUUCUCCUCUCGAUUAAGCUUUUAAGUCCUGUCCAUUUUUGACCUAUGUCUAAGCUUUGGAUCAAAAAUUUGAUCAUCAAAGUGUCCAUUCUAUUUAGAGCUUCUUUCCAAGAUUAGUGUGUUUAAUCCCAAAUGCAUUUAGGCUCACAUGACAUAACUCCUGUCAAAUUUAAUUAGACUUGUCCUGUCCAAAAAACAGUCCGCCAAAUGUGACCAAGUUAUGUUUUACCACAUAAAAUACCAGUGUUGUAUUGGACUAUAUUAUUGUACUACACAACCCAAACAUUGUGCACACGGUGCGGUAUACUAUUAUUUGGUCCACUGUAGCAAAUUUAAUACGGUAUAUAUUAUCGAACGGAAAAAAAGUUAUAUAAAAUAUUUGUGGCAUGCUCCGUUACAAGUAGGCCUGGCAAACGGGUUGUGUCAGUCGUGUUCGUGUCGUUUUCGUGUAACACCUGUUAUCUUAAUGGGUCGUGUCGUGUCACACCUGUUAUCUUAACGGGUCCUUAACAGGUCGGGUCACCGUUAUGACCCGUUAAGAAAAAAAAAAAUUCUUAAAUUUGCACAUACCACACAUUGUCACAUAAAUAAUACUUCAAAACAUUAAAACACAUUUGUCGUUUAAGGACUACAUCUACACUCGAAAAUAAGAGCCUCAUAAAAAAUACAUCCAUACACUACUAAUCUAUUACAAAUAUUAAAUGUGCAAGGAUAUGACAAAUGAAACCGUUUUUGUUUUCAAGGUUGUGAAACCUUUCUCAAAAGUUUAAACCUUGCUAAUAGAACUCAAAACUUAAUGAAAGUGACUCACUAGAGUGUUUAUUCGUACUUUCAUUAAGUAUAACAUAAGAUUUUGUGGUAUCCACUAGUGUAAAUAUUUUAAAUUGAAGAUCGAAUUCAUUCAUUGUAUUCAUAUAGGGUCAAGGAGUGUAGUUGUAAAAAAUCAUCAAAAUCGGAGUUAAAAUAACCGUUAAAUUGUGAUUUUUCGUUUAUAACCGUCGAAAAGUUUUGUCCCGUUACUUAAUCUUUAAAUGUUUGUUUUUUGCAAUUUUUUGGCGUACAAAAAAGUAUGACGGUUAGAUCGUUGAAACUAAUUUCGUAGAAUGCGUAUCUCAUCAAAACAAUAGGUUCACUAACACUUAAGAGUUUAUUCUUACUUUCAUUAAGUAUAACAUAAGAUUUUGUGGUAUCCACUAAUGUAAAUAUUUUAAAUUGAAGAUCGAAUUCAUUCAUUGUAUUCAUAUAGGGUCAAGGAUUGUAGCUGUAAAAAAUCAUCAAAAUCGGAGUUAAAAUAACCAUUAAAUCGUGAUUUUUCAUUUAUAACCGUCGAAAAGUUUUGUCUCGUUACUUGAUCUCUGAAUGUUUGUUUUUUGUAAUGUUUGGCAUAUGCAAUCUCAAAGUAUAUACAAACAUGUUUGACGGUUGGAUCGUCGAAACUAGUUUCGUAGAAUGCGUAUCCCAUCAAAACAAUAUAUUCACUAACACUUAAAGAUUUUAUUCAUACUUUCAUCAAGUAUAACAUAAGAUUUUGUGGUAUCCACUAAUGUAAAUAUUUUAAAUUGAAAAUCGAAUUCAUUCACUGUAUUUAUAUAGGGUCAAGGAGUGUAGCUGUAAAAAAUCAUCAAAAUCGGAGUUAAAAUAACCAUUAAAUCGUGAUUUUUCGUUUAUAAAGUUUUGUCUCGUUACUUGAUCUCUGAAUGUUUGUUUUUUGCAAUUUUUGGCAUAUGCGAUCUCGAAGCAUAUACAAACAAGUUUGACGGUUGGAUCGUCGAAACUAGUUUCGUAGAAUGCGUAUCCCAUCAAAACAAUAGAUUCACUAACACUUAAAGAUUUUAUUCAUACUUUCAUCAAGUAUGACAUAAGAUUUUGUGGUAUCCACUAGUAUAAAUAUUUUAAAUUGAAAAUCGAAUUCAUUCACUGUAUUUAUAUAGGGUCAAGGAGUGUAGCUGUAAAAAAAUCAUCAAAAUCGGAGUUAAAAUAACCAUUAAAUCGUGAUUUUUCGUUUAUAACCGUCGAAAAGUUUUGUCUCGUUACUUGAUCUCUGAAUGUUCGUUUUUUGCAAUUUUUGGCAUAUGCGAUCUCGAAGCAUAUACAAACAAGUUUGGCGGUUGGAUCGUUGAAAUUAGUUUCGCAAAAUGCGUAUCUCAUCAAAACAAUAUAUUCACUAACACUUAAAGAUUUUAUUCAUACUUUCAUCAAGUAUAACAUAAGAUUUUGUGGUAUCCACUAGUGUAAAUAUUUUAAAUUGAAGAUCGAAUUCAUUCAUUGUAUUCAUAUAGGGUCAAGGAGUGUAGCUGUAAAAAAUUAUCAAAAUCGGAGUUAAAAUAACCGUUAAAUCGUGAUUUUUCGUUUUUAACCGUAAAAAAGUUUUGUCGCGUUACUUGAUCUCUGAAUGUUUAUGUUUUGCAAUUUUUGGCAUAUACAAUCUCGAAGUAUAUACAAACAUGUUUGACGGUUGGAUCGUCAAAACUAGUUUCGUAGAAUGCGUAUCCCAUCAAAAUAAUAGAUUCACUAACAUUUAAAGAUUUUAUUCAUACUUUCAUCAAGUAUAACAUACACUAGUGUAAAUAUUUUAAAUUGAAGAUCAAAUUCAUUCAUUGUAUUCAUAUAGGGUCAAAAAGUGUAGUUGUAAAAAAUUAUCAAAAUCGGAGUUCAAAAUAACCGUUAAAUCGUGAUUUUUCGUUUAUAACCAUCGAAAAGUUUUGUCUCGUUACUUGAUCUCUGAAUGUUUUUUUUUUUGCAAUUUUUGGCAUAUACAAUCUCGAAGUAUAUACAAACAUGUUUGACGGUUGGAUCGUCGAAAUUAGUUUCGUAGAAUAUGUAUCCCAUCAAAACAAUAGAUUCACUAACAUUUAAAGAUUUUAUUCAUACUUUCACUAGUGUAAAUAUUUUAAAUUGAAGAUCGAAUUCAUUCAUUGUAUUUAUAUAGGGUCAAUGAGUAUAGCUGUAAAAGAUCAUCAAAAUCGGAGUUAAAAUAACCGUUAAAUCGUGAUUUUUCGUUUAUAACCGUCGAAAAGUUUUGUCCCGUUACAUGAUCUCUGAAUGUUUGUUUUUUGCAAUUUUUGGCAUAUGCGAUCUCAAAGCAUAUACAAACAAGUUUGAUGGUUGGAUCGUCAAAACUAGUUUCGUAGAAUGUGUAUCCCAUCAAAACAAUAGAUUCACUAACAUUUAAAGAUUUUAUAUAUACUUUCAUCAAGUAUAACAUAAGAUUUUGUGGUAUCCACUAGUGUAAAUAUUUUAAAUUGAAGAUCGAAUUCAUUCAUUGUAUUUAUAUAGGAUCAAGGAGUGUAGUUGUAAAAAAUCAUCAAAAUCGGAGUUAAAAUAACCGUUAAAUCGUGAUUUUUCGUUUAUAACCGUCGAAAAGUUUUGUCCUGUUACUCUAUCUCUGAAUGUUUGGUUUUUUCAAUUUUUGGCGUAUGCGAUCUCGAAGUAUAUACAAACAUGUUGACGGUUGGAUCGUUGAAACUAGUUUCGUAGAAUGCGUAUCCCAUCAAAACAAUAGAUUCACUAACACUUAAGAGUUUAUUCAUAAUUUCAUCAAGUAUAACAUAAGAUUUUGUUACUAGUGUAAAUAUUUUAAAUUGAAGAUCGAAUUCAUUCAUUGUAUUCAUAUAGGGUCAAGGAGUGUAAAUGUAAAAAAUCAUCAAAAUCAGAAUUAAAAUAACCGUUAAAUCGUGAUUUUUCGUUUAUAACCGUCAAAAUUUUUUGUCCCGUUACUUGAUUUCCGAAUAUUUGUUUUUUGCAAUUUUUUGUGUAUGCGAUCUCGAAGCAUAUACAAACAAGUUUGACGGUUGGAUCGUUGAAACUAGUUUCGUAAAAUGCGUAUCUCAUCAAAACAAUAAAUUCACUAGCACUUAAAAGUUUAUUCAUAUUUUCAUGAAAUAUAACAUAAAAUUUUGUGGUAUCCACGAGUGUAAAUAUUUUAAAUUGAAGAUCGAAUUCAUUUAUUGUAUUCAUAUAGGGUCAAUGAGUGUAGCUGUAAAAAAGUAUCAAAAUUGAAGGUAAAAUAACCGUUAAAUCGUGAUUUUUCGUUUAUAACCGUCGAAAGGUUUUGUCUCGUUACUUGAUCUCUGAAUGUUUGUUUUUUGCAAUUUUUGGCGUAUGCGAUCUCGAAGUAUAUACAAACAUGUUUGACGGUUGGAUCGUUGAAACUAGUUUCGUAGAAUGCGUAUCCCAUCAAAACAAUCGAUUCACUAACACUUAAGAGUUUAUUCAUACUUUCAUCAAGUAUAACAUCAAAUUUUGUGGUAUCCACUAGUGUAAAUAUUUUAAAUUGAAGAUCGAAUUCAUUCAUUGUAUUUAUAUAGGGUCAAGGAGUGUAGCUGUAAAAAAUCAUCAAAAUCGGAGUUAAAAUAACCGUUAAAUCGUGAUUUUUCGUUUAUAACCGUCGAAAAGUUUUGUCUCGUUACUUGAUCUGUGAAUGUUUGUUUUUUGUAAUUUUUUGCUGAUGCGAUCUCGAAGCAUAUACAAACAAGUUUGACGGUUGAAUCAUUGAAAUUAGUUUCGUAUAAUUUGUAUCCCAUGAAGUUCAAUGGUGUGUGUGUGUAUAUAUAUAUAUAUAUAUUUAUUUAUUAAGUAGAUUUAAAUCUAUUUAUUUUGUAUGUAUAAUUAUUAUAGUUUUUAGGGGUAUAAAAUUUAAUUUAAAAUUUAAUAUAUAUAAAUAUAACUAUUAUAGUUAAUAUUUUGGGGGUAUAAUUAUUAUAGUAUAUAUAAUUAUUAUAAUUAUUAUAGUUAAUUUAAUAUAUAUAUAUAAUUAUUAUAGUUUUUAGGCGUAUAAAAUUGUUAAAUUAAUAUAUAUAGUAAUUAUAGUAUUUUUUUUAGGGUUAUAAAAUUAUUAAAUUAAUAUUCUGUUUAUCGUGUAUCGUGUUACCCACGUGUAUACCCGAAACAACCCGUUAUCUUAACAGGUGCUUAUCGGGUUACCCGAUAACGACCCGUUUCGUUAUCGUGUCGACCCGAACACCUGUUAAUUUCGUGUCGUGUUGUAUCGAGUUAUCGGGUCAUGUCAAGAAUUACCAGGCCUAGUUACAAGAGAGAUAGAAAAAGUGUACAUGCACAUGCAUAAACUGGUGAUUGUCAAGUUUUUCCCGUAACACAUGAGUUACAAAAUCACAUUAAUGGCCACACUCUGCAACAAUUGAAUUGAAUAUUCUGUUGUUAUGCUGUGUUGCUAUAUGAUCUUCACCUUAUCAAUCCAACCUGUUAAAAUUUUACACGCGUCAGUUCCAAAGUUUGUGGACUAUUUUAUAAUUUGUUGAUGUUAUUGCACUGUGGUAGGCUCCAACAUUAUCUUCAACAUCACAAAGUACUCAAAGACGUGGCUUUUUAAUUGCCCAUCAGUUGCUCACACACACACCAUAUCCACAUCUCUCUCGAUUUAAACCAGCUCUAACUCUCACGCACACCUCCAGUUCUCCACCCGAAGCAACAAAGAUAAUCUUCUUCCAACAACAGCAAAGUUAAACCCUAGCACAAAAAAAAAAAAAAAAAAAAAAAAAGAAAAAAGAAAAAAAAACCAUGGCUCAAACCAUGCUUCUCAUGUCUAGUAGUGUGUCUUCAGGCCAUGUUGUGGACUUGAAGUCCUCAGACCCUUUACUCCAAGUACAAGCUCAAAGACUUAGGCCUAAGUCUUUCUCUCAACUUGUUUUCAGAGCCCUCCCUUCAUCCUCUUCAGCCUCGUCGUCGUCUACAAGGAUUUCGACCGUUGUCGCUCUCUUCAAAUCGAAAACUAAAGCUCCUGCCAAGAAGGUUUUCACUUCUUUUACACUACGUACAUUCAUUCUUUGUUUUUAUUUUUGUAGUUAAAACGUCACUUAGUUAACCACAAAUUUACAGGCACCACCGCCGAAGCCCAAGGUUGAAGACGGUAUCUUUGGAACCUCUGGGGGCAUUGGUUUCACCAAGCAAAAUGAGCUCUUUGUUGGUCGGGUUGCCAUGAUUGGCUUUGCUGUAAGACAUUAAUCUUCUUCUUGCUCGUUUUUGUUUGUUUUUAAACUUACUUUUCAGUUAUAUAUGAUUUUCCUUUUGUUGUUAUAAGUUCUUAUAAUCUCACUUUGUGUGUUUGUGAAUAGAAUUCUUUUUUUAAACUAGCUAGUUUGUUGGGUGCUUAUCAGAAUGAAGUUGUGACAAUUAGUUCAAUUACAUUACUCAUCUGAGCACUAUUGAUAAGUUGAGACAACUUUUACACCGAGUUUCUAUUUUUUUUGUUUUACAUUACCACGUACGAAAGAAAAUAUAAUACCUUAUAUUAUCUUCAGAAUAUGUUAGUACUUUGUAACACAUAUUUUAAGUGACACAGCAAAAUUGUGUGCUUGGGUUGUGGUGGUAGACAAAUUUAGAUAAAUGUUUUCUUGGCCAUAUAGGAUUUGAGUUGCCUAACUUUUAAUUUUUAUUUUUUAAAUAAAAGAAAACAACUUUGACAACACAAUGGAAAUUUUAUUAAAUAAAAAAUUACAUCUUGUCAUAGGACAUAAAUUUUACGGCUUACAAUAAAGCAAAUUUGAAAAUUGAAAGAUAGAUGAACAAGAUGGAGCAUGAAACCUACUCCGUUCGAAACAAAAAGCUUAAAAUUAUUGAGCUCCAAAACAAGCUUUGAAUUGAGACACAUAAAACAAAAUGUUAGGUAAUAAAGAAAAUUGGACAUCAGGAAAUUUCUUCAUUUAACAGCUUGAUCCAAAGUAGUGUAACAAAUUGUCUACAUAGCUAUGUUAUCAAAUCUUAACAUAUUAAUAAUCAAUCUCGAGUACGAGAAAACCUUUUUUACUGUCUUCUUGCCACCCAAUCAGUUCUUCAUGCUCUGAUAACAUCUUCCAAAUUAUGUUACGUGGAAAAAAUUGUUUCUUAUCUAACCAACAAAUUUCUGUAUAAUCCUCUCCUUUCUCGCUGUGCUCUAAUGCCACUUCAUUUAGAAUUCAUGGUGCAAAAUACUGGUCUAAUUAAAUAGUAAAAAUAGUAUAAAAAGCUUCUUAAUCGUGUUCUUAUAGUAGACCAUCAUAUAAUUGGCAUGAACGAAGUAUUUUUAGAUGAUCAUAUAACUAGCAUGAUGAAGCAUUUGAAGAUAUACAAAUAGUAAACCCUCACACAGGACUGCCAAACAGUCACAAGCCUUGCCCUUUUGUGUGUGUAUGUGUGUAUUUAUGAAGUAUUUUGACAUAUAACAUAUAAAACAAUGGACGUCAUGUACGAUGAGAAUUCGUAGAAGCAUGAAAUUGUAGAAUUGUAUUAUUUAUGUAUUUAUUUAUUGUUCUGAGCCUUUCUGUGCAAACGUUACAGGCAUCAUUGUUGGGAGAAGCAAUUACAGGGAAAGGGAUUCUUUCCCAAUUGAAUUUGGAAACUGGAAUUCCCAUCUAUGAAGCUGAACCCCUUCUUCUCUUCUUCAUCCUUUUCACCCUGCUUGGAGCCAUUGGAGCUCUAGGUGACCGUGGUAGAUUCGUCGAUGACCCGCCCGCUGGAAUUGAAGGGGCAGUGAUCCCUCCAGGCAAAGGAUUGAAAUCAGCCCUGGGACUCAAGGAAGGAGGUAACUAAUUUGCAUGUCAAGAUAAGUAAUGUUCAAAUUAUAGAGUAACUGUCUUUUGUCACAUGUUAAGUUGUUACAGUGUCAUCUUAGACAUGUAGAAGUCUGAUCAAUUGAUAGUUUUACAUCAUAACAUGUCUAACGAGAAAGCGUAUUCAUAUAGAAGUAAUUUAUAUUUGUGCAACGUGGCAUGACCUAGAUGAUCUAAGGAGUUCUUGUUGUGUAACAAAUGCAUAGGUCCUCUAUUUGGAUUCACAAAGGCAAAUGAGCUAUUUGUGGGAAGAUUGGCACAGUUGGGAUUUGCAUUCUCCCUAAUAGGAGAAAUCAUUACAGGGAAGGGAGCUCUAGCCCAGUUAAACAUUGAGACUGGAGUCCCCAUCAGCGAAAUCGAACCCCUUGUGUUGCUCAACGUUGUCUUCUUCUUCAUCGCUGCGGUGAAUCCCGGAACUGGUAAAUUCAUCACAGAUGUGGAUGAAGAAGACUAGAGAGAGAUAAAUACUACAUUGAUGCUCACAUCGAACUUGUUUGAAUCAUGUAUGAGAAAAUACUUCUUCCUCUAAAUUUUAUUUUAUGUCAUCGAUCUUUUUUAUUUUCCCUUGGUCAUGUUGACCUUAAAUUAAGUUACUGUAUUUUGCACUAGCUUUUAAAUUCCUAUAAUUAUUGGUUACAACGCGCGCACAAAAAAAUAAAAAUAAAAAAAAGAAAAAAAGAAAAAAGAAAGAAAGGAAGAGAAUGAGAAAUUCGACGCAAUGAGCUAGCUUUCAACUCUACUGAGUAAACUUACUUAACAAGCUUGGUUUGUAUAUUGUAAUCCCCUACACGAUUUACCGUAUCGAACGGAUCAAUCAAAUGCGACAUUGUCUUCUAUUGAGUUUACUUUCUAAGCUAGGUUUGUAAAUUGUAAUCACUUACAAGAUUUUCUUAGUUGGAUCUACAAAUGCGACAGUGUCUAAAAACCUUAGUCUUUCCAAGGAAUGUCUCCCAUGUCCCAAUUUUCUUACGAUUUUGUUGACUCUAAAAACUACCAAACAUACGUGGCGUGUAGGUUGAGUAACUAAGAGUUAAUUACACACUUGUUGUGGUUGAUGGGGGCUUGCCAACUCGCCACCGAGGUGAGUUGGACAAGUAAGUUGAUGAUGGUGGUGGUGGUGUCGAACCGCAAUGCUGACUUCUGUGAUUGUGAUCGAGGAAGGAAGACUCUCAACUUAGGAUUCUACUAACCUAAAGAUAAGGUUGCUAUCUUACCGCAAAGUUCAAUAAGUAAUUCGACUUUCGUUCUAAAACUCAAUAUACUUGCGAGAUUUAUUUUGACAUUUAAUUGACAAAGAAAAUUUGGGACAAGAAGUGAUCAAGUGUAAACUUCGAGGAAACUUAAUAUAAACGACUUUAUUUCCAUGUCUCCACCAAGAAUCCCCUAUCAAAUUGUGGAAAUCGUUUUCAUUUGCAACUAGCGCUUUAAAAACAAUGUUCACUCCAUGAUUAUUUAGCAAUAACACUUACAGACUAAUUUAUGCGAAUCACAUACAUCUUGCAUCUUAGUUUAUGAAAAAAGAAAAUUUUCUCAAUCUAUACAACUAGUUUUUUUUUUUUUUUUUUUGUCAACUAUCCAUAAAAUAAUUUUUUGUCAACUAUCUAUACUAUUAUUUUUAAUCAAUUAUCAAUACUAUUAAUAAGAUAAGAUGCUUAGUACCUCCUAAAAAUCCCUCCUAUGUCCCAAUUUCCUUACGAUUUUGUUGACCCUAAAAACCACCAAGCCUACCUGGUGCCCAUACCAAGUAACUAAGAGCUAAUUACGUCCUUCUUGUGGUUGAUGCGGGCAUGCCAACUUGCCACUGAGGUGAAUCGGGCGAGUAAGAUAGUGAUGGUGGUGGUGGUGGUGUCGAAUCGCAUUGUGGACUUCCAUGAUUACAAUCGAGGAAGGAACACUCUCGGCCUAGGGUUUUGCUAACCUGAAGACAAGGUUGCUAAUCUUGCUGCGAAGUUCAAUAAGUAAUUCGGCUUUCGUUGUGCCGAACAAGGGGUAACUUGGGAACACCUCACUUCACCAAAACUGGUAAAAUGACCUCUUGAGACGAAAGAAUAGGAGAAUUCCUCAUCCGCCAAGACUUGGAUAAAUAACCAACAAGGGUAUGCGAGUGUUGCUUAACCAAACUAAAGGUCUCCUAGGCCAAGCAGAUUCUACGACUCCAGUGUUGUUUAACCAAACUAAAGGUGUGUCGCCAUUGUUGACAUGUUUAACCAAACUGAAUAUUUGCCAACUGGGAGGGAUUAAUGAGUAGUUAGUGUUUUCUCAAGGUAUGAGAAGGUUUCACGUAGAGUGUUGAUUUAUAUGUUGAGUCGAAGAUCUCCUUCUCGUUGCGAUGCUUCUUCUAUUAAUAGAUAAAGCCCUAAGGAUCAACAGGUUUGCCAAGGCAAAGUCUUGCUAGGACUGAACCUCAUCUGCAUCUCCCAAAAUAUUCCUACCCAUCCUUCUGUAGCUUAACCCUGAUCAGCUUCUCCAUUCGAAUCAGGGCUUUAAACUUAGUCCCUUUCUAAACCUACUUCCUUCUUAGCUGAUUAAGCAUGAAUUAUGAUCUCUUUAACAACCCUAACCUUAUCAGAAUCAAUUGCCAAUCCUUAACAGUUUUAGUCCAUCUGGGACUCGGGUGAACCCUACUCAAGUGUAACCUCUUUAAACUUAGUUUCGUAGUUUUUAUUUAUAAAACAAAUUUUAUAUUUCAACAUUAAAAAUAAAUAAAUUAGAAUUUAAGUUUUAGUAAUGUAAGAUCUUAAAAAUUACUAGUUACUUCUUAUUAGUGAAAUUAUAUGUGUUUAACAUCGACAAAUUCCUUGUACUGUUGGCGGAGCAUAGCCGCAACUCCUCUGGUACUUUUCCAUGGUUUGAGAUGGGUAGGUAGGCUUAGGUCCUCAAUUAAGAAGUGGGUGAAGCCUAGUAAGAGAUGGAUUAAAUGCAACUUUGACGAGUCAUGGGAGGAAAGAUUGAAGAAUGGUGGCUUUGGGGUGAUUCUUCAUAACAGUGAUGGGGGUUUCUUAGUGACGGUGACUGGUUGAACUCGGGGUGUGGUUUCAAGUUUAGGGUGAUUUGUCUAUGACCCUUGCAGCGAUGGCACCAAAAGGAGAUGAUAUGUCAAUGUUAGGGCUGAUUGUUGAUGUCCUUCAGUACUGUAUUCAAGUAUUUCCUCCUAAACAACUGAGCCAUGUACGAUGAGACACAAACCAUGUAACACAUAGGCUAGCUCAGGUUGGGCUAGGUCAACAACUGGAGGCGCAAUGGCAGGAGCAUCCACCUGGUAUUCUCAUUAAUGUGCUUAUGCACGAUAGUUCUUUGUGAUGUCUUAAGUUUCUACUGUUAGUGCUUUUGUUGAGGAUAAUGAACUCUAAGUUUGUAAGUGCAGAAUACUCUUUUUUCCUUUUACUUAGUUGAAAUCCCCGACAAGGUUUUUAUCGAGACCCAGUUCUGCAGUCUAUCCUCAUCUUGGUUUGUACGUUUUCCACUUUUUCAAUGAAUAUCAUGUAGAAUUAUCAGAGAGACGGGCCAUACGGCCCACUUCCAACAACAUCGAUAUUGUCCCUAACUUAGUAAUUACCACCUGCACAAUCCGUCAAGUGUGGGGUUUUAUCAUAAAAGGUCUCGGUAUUAGUUAGAGUGUGGUUAGGAUAUUUAAACUAUUACUUUUCUUUUUGUAUGGCCGAUAUGGGAUUCAACACACCCCAUCACGUGGGAUCUAAUUAGUGGGUCACACGUGGGAGAUCCACACAUCGGCAACCAUGUGGAGCCAAGGGGACUCACCCUACACGCGGGGCCAAAGGACCCACCAUCAUCGCGCAGGGCCAAGGGGACCCACCAUCACAUGGCAGUACAAUACAAGCACGCUCCCCGACUCUGAUACCAUGUAGAAUUAUCAUAGAGACGAGCCAUACAUCUCACUUCUAACAACACCGAUACUGUCCCCAACUUGGUAAUUACCACCUGCACAAUCCGUCAGGUGUGAGGUUUAUCACAAAAGGCUUCAGUAUUAGUUAGAGUAGGGUUAGGAUAUUUAAAUUAUUACUUUUCUUUUUGUAUGGCCUAUGUGGGAUUCAACAUAUCAUACUUACUUUAUAAAAAAUUAUCAAAUUAGGGAAGAACAAAAUUUAGUAUUUUAUAUGCUUCAUCAUAUUUGGCCUCUUCCUUUAUAUAGAGAGAUAAAAGAUGCAAUAACGACUACCACUUUUCCUUUUCCCACAAUAACUAAACCCACCAAGGAAAAAAAACACAUUUUACUUCAGCUAGACAUGCUCAUUUGGAUGUUUAAUGUUAUAAUUUUUUUUUUACGUAAUUAUUGUUAUUACCGUUGAAUGCGAAUGGAAUGUGGCAUGAUGAUAAGUUAGGUAAGGAAAAUAUUAUUAUGGAUUACUUCACACAAUUGUUUGAUUCGUAGUGAUGAAUGAAAUGAUAGAAGUUCUUGAUGCCAUUAGGAAAUGAACGAUGAACUUCUUUUGCCAUUUAAAGAUGAUGAAAUAAAGUUUGCUCUCUUUCAAAUGCAUCCUACAAAGGCUUUACGACCGGAUGGUAUGACCUGUUAACUUGUAUAGUUUCCUAUAAUUUAGGAUUUCCUAGUUUAGGAUGGAUCCCGUGUAAUCUGGGUGAAAUCUCUUUGUAAUCUUGUGUAAUUAUUCUUCCCUAUUUUGUUAGGAUUAAGAUUGUAUAUUAUACCUCUUUCUCAGAAGAAUAAACUUAUCAUUCAAAGCACUCUCUUCUUGGCACUAAAGCCAGGUCGAAGAAAAAAAAAACCCUAGUUGCAAUAACACUGUUGCGGGUUAGCCAUGUUUAGUGCUAUGUCAUUGGUCAGCAUGCGACUAUUGUUGUUGUUGUCUCUUGACUAGCAAGCAACUAUCGUCAUUGCUAUCCCUCGAUCAGCGAGCGACUAUUGUCGUUGCUACCCUAUCUGUAUUUAAAACGAACAGCGAGCGAGCAACUGUUGUCGUUGCUACCCUAUCUACACGGAAGAGACCAUCAGAACCCAUGGACGCACCUGCACCAACUCACCACUAUAGUUAAACUGCUACUGCCUAGAUUGGUUCAAAUUGUCACAAGAUUGAACCCACUGUCUGCAACAUGAACUUGAUCCCAUUGAAAUAUUUUUUUUUGCCUAGGGGAGGGGCGAAGCGGGUGCUUUCACAUUGGAGAGUGGAAAGUUUUGAGUCAAUAUUCAUAGUAGAAAAUAGUUUCUUCACCAAAGCAGUUGUAAGCUAUAAUAUCAAAGCCAAUGUAAGAAUCUUAAAUUGGCUAGUAUUAGAUCCUAAAAAAUGUUAGGCGCUAGUCAAAAAAUGGAGAACUUAGCAGCUAGGUGCCUAGGCGAGAUCUAGGUAGGAGCCUAGAUGGAUUUAAAUUAUCGUAAAAUAAGCAUUAAACAAUAUUUACGUUGUUUUUAAAAAGUAAUACAAUAUUUAUAAAUAAUGUGAGAGUUUAAGAUAAAUACAGUGAGAGUCUUAAAACAGAAAAUAAAAGUACAUACAAGAAUAAAAAAACAAAAAGGAGAGAAAUGGGUUAAUAAACCACAAAAAAAAAGAUGGGGUCAGAAGAGAAAAAAAAAAGGAAGGGGGAAAUGGGUAAACAAACAAGUGGGGUAGAAAGAUAAAGACCAAAAGAGAAGUGGUGGGUUAGCACAAUAUUUUAAGAGAGAAAAAAGUGAACAAAUGGUCAGCAGGAUAAUACUUGGGUAAAGUGUCAAUACCCAAUUUUUACUGACUUAGGUGGCCCAAUAAUUGUCCAACACCUAUCUUUAAAACUCACACCCAAAUUGAACAGCCAAUACACAAUUUACUCACCUUAUUAAGUGGCCCAAUAAUUGUCCAACACCUAUCUUUAAAAUACAAUACAUUUCUUCUAUUGCACACUUGUUAUAUUGGUAACCAAACACCCUUUCACCUUAAACAAGAAACCAAACACUCAUCUUCUUCUUCCUAGACAUAGACCUUCCAUGUUCCACACACUUUCAAUGAGCCUUACCAGUCACCACGCACUACCCACUCCCAUCUCUCCUCCAACCUCUAUCCUCCGUCAAUCACACACCCACACCACAAUCCAUUCUCCAAUGGUCAAGCCAACCCUAGACCUCCGAUAUCUCUCAUCCAUCUUCACUCUUCAUCUACAACACUGAUAAAAACCAAACACCUAUCUUCUUCCUCCUUUCCCUGUGCCAGUCGUUCCAUCAAUCCCAACCUCAUCCCUUGAACCUCUUUCCUCCAUCUUCGUCAUUCCUCUGCAAUCCAACCAAACUAUUGCCCUUCCUUUACAAAUUCGACCAAGACAAUGCACCGGCCAAAACCAAUUUUUACAGGUGCUAUGAAUUUCGAUGAGAGCGAAGGGGUUGAACCAGCACUCCUAAGUGUGGCGGGCGCCACUCCUUGCCCUCACGUAGCUUCGUCACUGUCUGCAUCCUUCGUCAGAGAUAAACAUAUUAAAAGUCGAUGCCCAAAAAAAAAAUAAAAGGUUUUAGAAGACAAAGAAGAAAAGAAAAAAAAGGAAAAGAAAAAGAAAAAGUAAAAAAAAAAACGAAAAAAGAAAAGUAAAUCGGUUUGUUUUUUGUUUUGGGCCAUUGUUUUAAGGCUUACUGAUGUGAACAUUAUGUUGACACACAAAUUAAACCCUAUUGAUGACAAUUGUAGUAAUGAUGCAAGUAGGGAUCGUUCUAGACCGGAGAUUAACUAGGGAUGCUAAUCAACACAAAUAAGACUCAAAAACACUAAACUAGACUCUAUAGACUCAAAACUAACUCAAAACACUCAAAACAGCAAAUAACAACAAAAAAGACUCAAUUCUAGACCUACAAUUGAUUUGGACGAAAAUAGAACUUAAAAGACUCAAAAGACUUAAAAGAAACAAGUUUUGACUCUAAAAACAAGACUUAAAAGUAAGGGGAUUGGUUUUGACGAAAUUGGACUUUAAAAUAUAAACUUUGAAAACAAACUUAACAAAAACAAUUUUGGAUGAAAAAGAAUGGUGAAAGGCUAGUUAGAGGGUUCCUUCUCCACACAUGAAACGUAUGCAUACGACUCGAUUUCCAGUUACUCUUUCAACAAACCUGAAUGACAAUGCCCCAAAUUAACUAGAUUGCACCAAUUAAUUCUCAGAUUUCCCUAGAUUCAUUGAAUUGAAUGGAAUACGCAUUACAACCAAAUUAUUCUUAUCAAGGACCCUAAUUAUGGAAUACGCAUGAUAGAGACACAUAUCAAAGAUCAUUAAGUUCAAUGGAAAUCAUAAGUAUUGACGAGGCAUUCAUAACUAUGGAAUACGCAUGUUACUCUUGCCAAGGAUUUACUUAACACAAUCGUGACUAGCGACUUUUACUACUUAUGAAUAUAAGUUAAUAACGAUUAGGUGAAAUUCCCUUAUACUCUAGCAUCAAAUUCAUGCAUGCGAACUAAGUAUGCAUCCUUAAUUAACACACAAGAACAAGUUAUCAAUCAAAUAGAUAAGUAAACCACAUUCACGAUUCAUGAAAUCAUAACUGGAGGAAAUCAAGUCAUAUAAAACAUAUGAUCAUGGCUUUGAAUUCCCCUCUAACUAUAAAGAAAUUAGUUCCUCAUGUUCGCAAAUAAACAAAGAUAAAUAAAUUUAAACAUUAACAUAAAGAUAGAAAACACCUAGAAUCGCUCCAACAAUCCAAGCUCCUUGAAUGGCAUGCACGGCUCCAGAUUCCUUCCUUCUUCUCCUUGCAAACUCACGGCACAAUGAGGGGUUUUGGGUGAAUGAUGUAGUGAAAAUAUGGUAGAGGGUGGUGAAUGAAGGGUGCGGCAUAGACUUGUAUUUAUAGGCUGAAAAUCCCAUCUCCUAGGUAGCCAAGGACAAGGUUUUAAAGGCCUAAACUGCAUAGGACAAUAACAUAUAAUCCUUUAAGGAAAACAAAUCAGAAAUCCAAAAGGGAGUGGGAAAUAAUGUGCGGCACAAAGAGUGUGAAAGGAUAAGGCUUCUAGAAAGCAAAAUCCCAAAGGAAAUAAGGUAUAGGGUGCGGCACAAAGCUAGGGUUCUAGAAAGACAAUGCAAGGCAGAUUUUUAGGCUUCUAGAAAGGUUCUAGGCGCCAUCUUUGUAGGACAAGAUUAGGUCUUCUAGAAAUCUGAUUUUAAGCUUCCUAAUCUAGUUAGAAACCCUCCCUUGCAGCUGAAAUAUGGGUAGUUUAGGAUUAGGAUAAGAUAGGAUAGGAUAAGGUUUGUUUGGAUAAGAUAAGCUAAGAUAAGGUUAUGGAUGAGGUUUUGGAUAAGAUUCCUUCACUUGAGCUGAUUCUUUGGCUUUAACUCUUCUUCUUCACAUAGGAAUACUUGCUUGAGUAGGAAACCUCAUACGUCUAGGAAUCCAUCUUCAAUUAGGACUCCUACAUUGAUUAGGAAUCCUACAUUUAAGCCCUUUCCUACUUCAACUAGGAAACUUUGUAUCUUCAAUUCUUCAACUUCGAAAAGACAUUCCUAGCUUCUUCAAUCCCUCAAAUUCGUCCAUCCUUUGUGCUCCACAUGCAUGAGCUCCAUUCUAGCUCAAUUUUGCUCCAAAUUGCUCCAAAUUGCAUCUUUUUGCUUACUUUGUCCUUAAAACCUGAAAACACAUGAAAAUAGCUUAAAAGACUAACUUAACUAAGAAAACACAACAUAAAUGCAUAAGAACUAGCUAACUAAGGUGCAUAAAUAUGCUCCUAUCACUUACAUAGUUUUUUUGUUGGGCCUGACAUGUUUGGGAUUUUAGGCAUUGUCUAUUUCAACCUAAAGCAAUGGCAAUGCGAGUUCAUACCCCUCUGAAUCGAUCUGAUCGAACUGAACAGGGGAGUAAGAUUAAUAGUGGUCGGUCCAAUUGAUAGGAGCAUAUUUAUGCGCCUUAGUUUAGCUUGUUCUUGUACAUUUAUAGUGUUUUUGCUUAGUAAAGAAGUCUUUUAAGCUAGUUUUAUGUGUUUUCAGGUUCUAAGGGCAAAGUAUGCAAAAGGAUGCAUUUUGGAGCCUUUUAAAGCAAAGUUGAGCUUGGAAUGAAUGUCAUAUGCUUGGAGCCAAGAGGAUGGACGAAAUUGAAGAUUUGAAGAUGAUGUUUCCUACUUGAACAAGGUUUCCUAGUCGAAGUAGGAAAGCGCCUAAGUGAAGAUGGAAUCCUAGUUGAAUUAGGAUUCCUAGUCAAGAUGGGUUUCCUAGUUGAAUUAGGAUUCCUUGAAGAUGAAGAUUCCUACUCAAACAAGGUUUCCUACUUGAAGUAGGAAAGUUAAAUCCAAAUGGCAUCAAGUUUCAGCAACAAAGAAGUUUUCCAAGUCCAAGAAGGAAAAGGAAUCCAAGAUGAAGAAGGAGAAGAAUUCCAAGUCAAGGGAGGAUUGAGACAUGUUUUCCUAAUGCUAGAAGGACUCCAAAGUGUUGUAGGACACAAAUGAGAAGUUUCUAGAAAGUUUACAUCCUUGCCGUGGGUUUCAUGCAAUUCCUAUCAGUUUUGGGGCUUUCUAGAAGCCCUAUCCUUAAAUCCCUACAUUGGUGCCGCACCCUAGCUUCUAGAUGCCUAGUUCCUUGCCUUGCAAGGCAUUCUAGAAACCUUAUCACCUUAUCCUAUCCCUGCCGCACCUAGGACCCUUUUUCCCUUGCAAAAUCUGAUUGUUUAGACCUAUUUCCUUGUGGAUUUGGGUUAUCCAAGUCCAUAUCUGAUUACCCUAGGGUUUUAAGUGCCUAUAUAUACUCCUAUUAACCCUUAAAUCAGAUCACCACUCACCACAAUUCAUAAAUCACUCCAGAAAUUCGUCCAAACUCUCUCCACACCUUUGCCGCACCAUUCCCUUCCCCUAAACACUACUACAUCCAUCCAUAACCCUUCUACACCAUCCAUAACCCCAAAGAACCUGUCCAAAGUCCUUUGCCGCACCAAGGAGGAGGAGAAGGAAGCUCGGAAGUUCAUGCAAUUCAAGUUCGUGUCGCUGGAAUUUCUAGGUGUUUCUUUUCCUUUGAUUUCAAUGUUUAAAUUCAAUUCUCUUUGUUUUUUGCGUAUGAGGAACUAAACCCCCCCUUGGCUAGGGGGGGAUUCGAAAUACAUGUUUAUGUUUGCGUUAUGAUUUGAUUACUUCUAAUUGCGUUUCAUAAGUUGUGAAUUCAAUUUACUUAUCUAUGUGGAUUACAUUGAUUUGUGUGUGUUGGUUGAGAGUGCACGCUUAAUUAUCAUGCAUAAAUUGAAUGCUGGGAUAUAAGGAAAUUUCACCUAAUCGUUAUGGAAUUAUAUUCACAAGUAGUAAAGGUUGAUGAUCUCAAUCGCGUUAAGUAAAUUCUUGGCAUAAGUUUCAUGCAAUCAUAGUAACAAGUGCUUCGUCAAUGCUUAUGGUUUUCAUAGAACUUAAUGAUUCUUGCUUGUAUCUCUAUUAUGCAAUCAUGUAGGGGACUUGUGGGGAAUGUUUUGGGUUGUCGUAUGCAAUCAUCCAAUUCAAUAACGUUAGGAAAAUCUGAAGGUUAAUUUAAGCGGACCUAAUUAACUUGGGGCAUUGAGAAUUCAUGGUUUGUUGAAAAGCAAUUGGAAAUCGUUUUGUAUGCAAGUAUAACAUGUGUGGAGAUGAACCCCUUAGCUAGCCUUCCAUUCACCCAUUUAAAUCAAAUUCGUUUUUACAAUCUGUUCUAAUUUACAAAGUUUGUUUUGUUUUUAAAUUCGGCCAAAACCAAUCCCCCUUUGUUUUAAAGUGUCAAAUUAGUUAGUAAGUGUUUUACUUUGUGUUUUUAAGUGUUUUGAUUCAAGUUAAAACCCAAUUUCAUCCAAUUUGGUGCUUAGUGUCCAAAACUGCCCAGAUUGUGUUUUUAAGGCAGUUUUGAGUGUUUUGGUGCUGUUUUGAGUCUUUUGGUUUGUUUUGGUGUUUUAAAGUUUAGUUUUGUAUUCUUUGAGUCUAUUUUAGUGUUUAAAACUUGUUUUUACGUUUUUGAGUCAUGUCCAAGUGAUUUUGCAAUCCCUCCUAAUCCCCGGUCUAGAACGAUCCCUACUUACAUACAUUGCUACAAUUGAUAAAAAGAGGGUUAAUUUGUGUGUCAACAUAAUUUUCACAUCACCAAUGGUCUUGGAGAUUCUUCUUAUCAUCCGCUUAGCAAAUGUCCUCACUGUAGCCUGAAAGGACAUUCAACAAAUAUCCUAAUAAUUGGGACAAGACUUGUGUGAUCCCCGCUGUAACAAGUCGCGUGCAUUGUUUGCCGAAACUAAGGUAGAUUCUAAACAAGAAAGUAAUGAUUUGCAAGGCUUUAAAGUUUUCUGCAUUUGUUACGAAGAAUACAUGGACAAUUAAUUCUGGUGCUAUUGAACAUAUGAAUUGUGAUUCUAGACAAGUACAGAUCCUAAAACUAUCCCCCAAAAUUGUUGUGAGUGUUUCCAAUGGUAAUGUUACACUAAAUCUUGAUUAUGUACUCAUUGUUCAUUCUUUUGACUAUAAUUUAUUAUUUGUUGCUCAAAUAAUUGCCACUCUACAUUGUCUUGUGAUUUUUUGGCCUUCUUUUUGUACUCUUAAGGACAUUCGGACUCAUAAGACGAUUGGUUAUGGUAUUAAGAAGGGAAAGCUCUACUACUUGAAGCUCAUAUCGAACAGUACACAAAUGUUGACUCAAGCUCUUGCAGUGGAAGCAAUUCAGGGGGAGAGGAAUAAAGCUUCAGAGAUUUGAUCGUGGCAUCGUCAACUUGGACAUGCUUCGUUUGGCUAUUUGCACAGGUUGUUUCCUAGCCUAUUUGUUAAACAUGAUAUUUCUAGCUUUAAAUGUGGGGUUUGUGAACUGGCUAAAAGUCAUCAUACUUCGUUUCCGCCUAGUUUGAAUAAAAGUUCAAUCCUAUUAUGAUGAUUUAUUCUGAUGUUUGGGGACCAUCUAAAACUGCUACACUUGGUGGUGCUCAUUCGUUUGUUACUUUUAUCGAUGAUUACACACUUAUGACUUCGGUUUGUUUGAUGAAGUCUAAAAGUGAAGUUACUUUUUUGUUUUAGUGGUUUUACAAAAUGGUACAAGUACAACAUAAGUCACAAAUACAGGUUAUCAUGAGUCACAUUGGCGGCGAAUAUCUAAACUCUAAACUUCGUGCCUUUCUUGAUCAUUAUGGUAUUUUUCAUCGGAUUGCAUGUCCAUACACUCAACAACAAAAUGGGAUGGUUGAAUGCAAUAACAGUCAGCUUCUAGAGGUUGUUCGUGCUUUUUGCCUAAGGCGUGUCUCCCGCUAUCCUUUUGGGGAGAAGUUCUCACCUUAGCUGCGUAUCUCAUUAAUCAUGUUCCAUCAUAAUUAGUCGAUUUUCAGACAACGCUACAGGUUCUUUCCUCAUAUGUUGAUGCUCAUGCAGUUCCCAAUCUUCCACUUCAUGUGUUUGGCUGUGUGGUCUUCGUUUAUCUAUAUAAAUAGCAAAGAAAUAAACUAGAAGCGCGAGCCUUACAGUGUGUGUUUAUGGGGUAUGCCUGAAAUAAAAAGGGGUAUCGUUGUUAUCACCAUCUGAAGAAAAAGUUGUUUGUCACUGUGAAUGUUGCAUUUCAAGAGAAUGAUAUGUUUUGCCAAUCCCAAGUCUUCACUUCAGGGGGAGAAUCAGAUAGAAGUUCAAACUCUUGAUUAUACUAUUCCAAAUACAAAUAGUGUGCAUGAUUUGGAUUUAAGUGGUGAUGUCUUGGAAAUAAGUGGUCAUCAUUCACACGAAAAAAAUGAUGUGAAUGAAUUGGAACUAAGUGGUAAUGUCUUGGAGACAAGUGGUGAUCAUUCACAUGGAAACAAUGUUGAAAACCUUGAAAGGGACGAGUUGACAUCGCUAGAUAACUCACUGUCAGUUUCCCCACCACCAGACAACCAUGUGUCGCCAGCUACCUCAGAGUCGAUCUUGCCACACUUGAGUCCCAAUAACCAUAAUCAAUCAUCUUUGAUCCCGGAUGCACCACCACUACUUCGUCUCCUUGACCGUGUCAACCGAGGUAUUCCUAAACGUAUGCAGCUGACCAAAAAUGCAAAACUAUUAUAUCUAUUCCUAAAAGUGUGCAAGAGGCUUUAACUGAUCCACAUUGGCAAGCAACAAUGAAUAAAGAGUUGAAAUCUUUGAAUAAGAGUGCUACCUUGGAGAUCAAAGACUUGCCAGUUGACAAGAAACCUGUGGGAUGCAAAUGGGUCUAUACGGUGAAGUACAAAGAUGAUGGGACAGUGGAUCGCUUCAAGGAAAGACUGGUACCAAAAGGAUACAAUUAAAAAUAUGGAAUUGACUAUACAUAUACAUUUGCCUCUGUGGCUAAGAUCAAUACAGUCCGUGUUUUGUUGUCCUUGGCGGCAAAUCUUAAUUGGUUAUUAGAACAGUUCGAUAUGAAGAAUGCCCUCUUGCAUGGAGAUUUGACAGAAGAGAUUUACAUGAAACUCCCACCAGGGAGUAACAUUCCAUAUAUACAUAUAGGGCUGGAAAAAAAUCCCAAAAAUCCCAAACCAAACCAAAAAAAUCCCGAUCCCAAACCAAAAUAAUCCCAAACCAAAAUUCCCGAAAGUUUCGGGAUGUAAUCCCAAACCAAACCGAAAUUUUCGGUAUGGGAUUCGGUAUUGCAUUUCAUUUUUUCGGUAUUCCCAUACCGAACCAAAAAAAAAAAUAUAUAUAUAUAUAUAUAUAAUUUUUUAAUUAUAAGAGAAUUAUUUCAACCGUUGAUUGUUUUGGAUUUAAUCUGUGCCGUCGAUUUGUUUUUAGGUCAGAUGAUAACAUUUCACUUUUGUAUUCCUCCGUUCAUUUGUUUCGAAGCGGAGCCGUGAGCCUCCGACCCUCACCAACGUCGUCCCUCACCAUACUGUCGAAUUCCGACCAGCCACCGACCCACCACCACACCAUACUCUCGUCUCUGACUCUCCAGCCUUCCUUUACCACACAACUACCGCUCUCUCUCUCUCUAGGGCGAUUGUCUUUCACGGACAGGACAGGUCACAGAACUGGGGAUCUCUCUCGAGUAUACUUCUGCAGUUGGAUCUCUCUCAAGUUUUGCUGCAGGCAAAGCUGUGCGUGGAUGAAAACAUCACUGUUAUUCCUAUACCUGGGCCGUCUGCUUUGUGGCUGCUCUCUCUGCAUCUGGCCUCUCCACGGAUGAGUUUACGUUUGGUAAGUUUUCCAUGGAAAUGAUGCUGCAGAUAUUCUUCUUGGUGGAUAAGAUGUAUAUAGAACUCUGAAACUGAGUAUACUUCUGCAGUUGGAUUUCUCGCUAAACAUGCUGGAUCUAGAAGAGAGAGGUUGACGGUUUCAGCAAAUGAGGGGACGACCCAAAUAUUCUAUGUGCCUCCCCACAAACUUCAGCAGUUUCUUGAAGAGACUUCUUCAGUUUUUGGUGUUUCAAGGUAAAUACUUUUAAGGCUUCAGAUUAAAAAUCAAUUUUAAUAAAGGUAUUAAGAAAAAAUACCAACUUCAAUAAAAGCUUUACUGACUUAAGAAAAGAAUGAUUAUAUAUUAGUUUUUGUUAUGGUGAGUUACAAAUUAAACUUCCAUGUAUGGAUUUAUGCGCUUUUACUGACUUAGUGGUUUUACAAAAAACUGAUUUGGUGAGUUUGUAAUUGUGUUUCAGAAAAUGCGUCCUAGCUCGUGAAAUUACAAAAAUUCAUGAAGAGGUAGGUUUAUGGUGAUGUCUUUUAUUUAUAUCUGUUUUACUUGUGAUCAGCUUGCUGAAUAUGUGCACAUUAUUUUCCUUACUUCAUUUGUGAUGAAUCGCAUGCCAUUAACCAUUUUAAAAUCCCAUUACAUAAUUUAUCAAGAAACGAAAAGUGAUCUACUUUUUAUGAGUAGUCUUUGAUUCUUUCUGAUGAUAUAACUUAAAAAUUUUGCAUAGAUCUAAGACUAGUAACUAAUAAUAUGGGCGAUGUCUCUGUACAAGACUCUUUUGACAUGAAAUAUGCUCCUUUCUGUUAGCUUUGGUAGAUUCCACCAUCUCAUUUAUUCUUUCAUGUCCAUGUCAUUGCAUAGAUUGUUGCUCUGUUAGUGUUAGUAAUAUCAUUAGUAUUGUAAUACUGAUGUUGCUUGAGCAUUAUUAAACAAGUAACAAGUUAAUGUUAUCAUAGGAUGUAUAUAUUGGGUCAGAUUUUACUUUGAAUGUACAUUGUUAUUAAUGUACAUUGUUAUAUAUUAAUGUACACACUAUGCUGAACUGUGGUUGUGAUAUAUUAAUGUACAUUGUUAUUUUAUUUGUUAGGAUGGACGGAUCUAGUAGCCAAUCUAGUACACAUAUGGUCUCGGUAUUAGGAAAACGAAAACAAACCCAACUUAGUGGUACCCUUCAACUAGGCACUCCCUCACCUCAAGAUUAUUUGCAUAAUGAUUAUUAUGAAGAUUGUUGGGAUGAUGAUCUGGAUGUGGAGGAUGAUAUUGCAUUAGAACAAAUAGAAGAAGAGGGGGAAGAUGCAGCUGAACUGCUAAUGUUCGUUCUGCUCUUAUAAACAUUGCAGGUUUGCCCAAUAUUUUUUUAUUUGGUUGAAUAAAAGUUAAGCCCAUAUGUGGGGGCUGUUACAUUCAGUGGGCAGGCCCAAUAUUAGGUUUUUGUCCAAUUGGACCAACAUUAGCUUUUUUUGUCCAAAAGCCCAAAAACCCAAAAUUAUUUUUGGGAUUCCCGAUUUGUCCCGAAAUCCCGAAACUAUUUCGGGAUUCCCGAAAAUUGGGAUUCCCGAAAAUUUGGUUUGGGAUCGGUAUUGAAAUUGGGAUUCCCGAAAAUUUCGGUAUGGGAAUCGGGACAAGGGUUUCGGUAUGGGAUCCCAUACCGAACCACCCCUAUAUACAUAGACAAAAGAUGUGCAGGCUAAAAAACAUUGUAUAGUUUGAAGCAGUCCCCAAGAGCGUGGUCCGGGAGAUUUACCAAGUCUAUGAGAGCAUUUGGAUAUAAGCAGAGUAACUGUGAUCACAUGUUCUUGAAAUGUCAGAACGGAAAGCUUACAACACUCAUUGUAUAUAUGGAUGACAUGAUAGUUAUUGGUAAUGAGCUGGAUGAGAGUGUAGCCUUGCAUAAAUAUUUAUCUACAAAAUUCGAGAUAAAGGAUCUUGGGUCUCUGAAAUAUUUUCUCGAGAUUAAGGUAUCGAGGAAUAAGUCAGGAAUCUUCCUGUUGUGACUACUCCCUUAGCAAAAGGAACGACGUUGAAUAUUGAUCUAAACUAAGCACUAGUCGAUAAAAGGAGGUACUAAUGGUUAGUGGGAAGAUUAAUGUAUUUGGCACAUACUAGACCAGACUUUGCUUAUGCCAUGAGUGUCAUCAGUCAAUACACGCAUAAUCCAGGAAAAGAACACAUGAAUGCAGUUAUGAGAAUAUUGAGUUAUUUGAAAAAGAAGUCCAGGGAAAGGGAUUUUAUUUAAGAAGAAUGAUCAUUUUAGAAUUGAAGGUUAUAUGAAUGCUGACUGGGCCGAUUUUAGUAAUGAUAGGCCCUCAAUAUCAGGUUACUUCACCUUUAUUGGUGGAAAUUUGGUUACUUGGAGAAGCAAGUAGAAGGGUGUAGUAGCAAGGUCGAGUGCAGAAGUGGAAUACGGAAGUAUGGCCUUUCGUAUUUUUGAGAUUUUAUAUCUUAAACUACUAUUACAAGAUUUGGGCGUCAAACAUAGUCAACCGAUAAAGUUGUCUUGUGAUAAUAAAGCUGCUAGCGAUAUUGCUCAUAAUCCGAUGCAACAUGAUAGAACUAAGCAUGUAUGAGUUGACUUCCUCAACCCUACAUGAUGCCAAAUCCACUUGAGUAUUUACACACUCAAGGGAGAGUGUUAUAAACUUCUUAUUUAAGUAUGAUUGUGUAAAUCCUAGAUUCUAUUUGAUUCUAAUUAUUCUUCCCUAUUAGGACUUGUAUUCCUUGGAAGAAAAGAAUUUCUUCCCUACCUUAUUACUAUAAAUAAAGGCAUUGCGUAGGAGAAAUAACACAUUCUCUACACAACACUACAAACACAUCUCUCUCUCAAUAUUUUCUCUGUGUCGCCAGCCCGCUCUCACUGUCAGUUAAAUAUAGGACAGAACAAUAACAAUAUUAUUAAAGAAAAUAACAAAAUUAUUCCCAUUUUAAAUUUAAAAAAUUAUUAAUCCAUAAACUACAAAUGCCUUCUCGCCGUUAAUGUCCACGUCAACACAGAGAAAUCUAUUCACAGAGAGAGAGAUCGAAGACGCCGCAGAGUCUGUUUACUCUGCAAUUCAUUCAUCUCGGCUUUCUUCUUUCCGGACACGGCCACUAUCUGGUUUCUGAUACGGCGUCGUAUCCGGUCGAAAUCCCAGCUCCAACUGCCACUGUUGGCGGUUAAACUCCCCCGAAUCAGGCGGGACACGCUCUUCGCCAUCCCACUUAUCCACAUCUGUCUUUCCUCUGCCCACAACUGUAAUAUCAAAACAGUCGAAUUUUCAGAAAAGUCUCCGCCACCGUCACGGCCACCGUCUCAGCCGUUGUUUCCAGCGUCUCCGAUGGAGAAAUCGAAUCUUUUCAGAGGCAGUUACCUCAACGGAGCUUACCAUCCUUCCUUCUCUUCUUCUUCUCGCGCCGAUGUCAAUUACAGGUCCCAUCUCUCUCUCUAAGAUCAGUCUUUUUAUUUUUCAUAAAUUAGAAUUUUUAUUUUUAUUUGAUAGAUCGAAAUAAAAUUUGAAUCUUUGCUAUCUGGGUGGAUUUAAUUGUUGAUUAUAUUUUAAUUAAUUAAUGGAGAAGGAGUGAAAAAUUGAAAGAAUUGGCAGGAUUUGUUUUGUGUUUAAAUUGAUUGGCAACAGAAAUUCUUUGGAUUAAACAAAUAAGGAAAUAUUUUUUGAGAUCUGUGAAAAGGGUCCUCGACAAAACUGCCAAAAAUGGUGUUAAAUUUCAGUUCUUGGAUCAUUCUUGCAGCUUUUGAUAUUUCAAUUUCAGUUCCUUGAGAUUGCAAUUGUUUAGUUUUGUAUCUUAUAGGAAACAGUGGAGUGCAUUUUUGCUCACUCACGACGGAUGACCGAUUGUUAUUAGAUGAGCGUGAUUUAAUCUAUGCAUUACAGAAAUCUCAAAAUUUAAACUCAUCGGAAUGAUAAUCAAUAUAAUGGUGAUGCGUAAGUGGUGAGCAAGAAUAUUGCCGAAAGAGUGGUAUAGAAAGGGUACCUAUUUUCGCAUUUCUCUUCAAGCCUCGACACUCCGAACUGAAUAUUCUAUAAUUUUAUCUACAUUCGCGGGAGGAGUGUAGGAAAUUAACAUAGCACUGCUAAAAUUACUGACCCACGUUUAUCAUUUAGUAACACUAGUUGAAGUAUUGUCACAGUGGAUUAGCGGUAGAACAAUUACCUCAGCCUACUUCAAACCAUAGCGGACUUCCAAAUUUCUAAGACCUUGUUCGUAAGAAGUGCUAAGAGUAUAAGGAAAAUUUAGUUUUUAUUGUGAAAGGAGCAUAAAUAUUCAAAACUCCGAGUCAUUUCAAUUUACUUGUCCUUAAGUUCUUAAUAUCAGGCCAAUUUACAGAACAUUUAACAUGAAAGUUGGUUUUUCAUGCAGCUGUGGUUCCUGUGGGUAUGAGCUAAACCUAUGUUCCAGCAACCGGAACACUACUACGAUUGGCUCUAAUAAGUAUGGAAAAUCUAUAAAGCGAGGGAUCAUAUCAUUCUUUAACAUCGAUGAGAGCAGAUUUACUCAGGUUGAUGAAUUUAAAUGUAAACCCCAUUUCUCUAAGCGUUCUUGGGGUUUGUUCAGCCGAAGGACUAAACUUCUUUGUCGCAAGUGUGGUAACCAUAUAGGAAAUGCUUAUGAUGAGUACACUUCAUCGUCUUGCCCGCUUGUGUUAGAUGAAUCAGAUUCAUCCGCAGGUCAUGAAGUUACUAAAUGCAGAAAAUUUGAUGUUAGAAUUUGCGCUUUGCAGCCUUCAAAUUCUGAAGAAUUUGGCACUUCAAUUUUGGAAUGAAACUCUGUACGGAUUGUAUCGUUUUUGUGUUUUACCCCUUUUAUUAGAAUGUUACUUGUAUAUAAAAGUUUGAUCAGCAUUGAAGGAAUUGUGGUGUGGAAUUUUUGAAGUGCUUUGAAUGAUUGAGGAAAAUUUGUUAGAAGCUUAGAACAUAGCAUUGCUAGUUUCUUCAAUUUGUUGGAGUUAUAUAAUGAACUACUCAUUACUCUUUUCCGUCAUUUUUUCGGGUGAGUUUUUGUGGGGGUACUUUGGCAGCUCUCUCACGCUAGGGUUAGACCUGAGAGAGCUGCCUAGGGCAAAUUUACUCGAGAAUUCUCCUAUCUGUCAUUUCUUGUAUUCAUAGAAAACAAACUAAACAAUAAUACAUUAUACAAAUCUACAUAGAACAAAAUGGCAUCCAAAGAUUUUAGUUAUUUGAUAUCGGAAGAUUCAGGGCAUGGGUGUUAAGAAUCAAGAUACGCAUUAUCUUACCUUUGAAAAUCAAUGCUGUGUUUUUCUUCUUCUUAGGUUUGGACUAUGCAAGUCACGGACAAAAAUAUUGAAAUGUCCAUCAAUUGGUCGGCUUACAAAAUUUUGACGGAAAUAUUCAAAUUGUCUAUUUGUACCUUCGAAAAUGCAUUUCUACAAAAGAGAGGCAAGAAUUCACAAAUCAAUAACAUUUAUUACGGUCACUUAGUACUACUGUCUGUUGGUUUUCUUCUUCGCUUGUAAGUAAGAAGCUUUAAGUUCGAAUCAUUCGAUACCAAUUAGGUUGCCCAUUGUGUGGUUAGCUGAACUCUUCCUCCCCUUAGCAUAAAAUAUAUCAUUGUACUAAAAAUAAAAAAUAAAUAACAAUUUAGUGUGAAUAAACUUUUUCUUUAAUACUUUUAAUAAGUUAUUUAUGCGAGUAUGUAAUUUGUAAGGAGGAAUGUCUCCUUAAUUUGAAGGAGCCAAACAACAUUCUUCUACAAAUGCAAAAUUUGAGUAGUGGCUUUCUGAUGUGGUCCAAUAAAAAGAUGUGACAGGUUCUUUAUUUAUUAAAGCCCAUAAAAAAUUUAAAUUUAUCAUGUCUAUUAUUUUAUAAAUUAAUAAAACACGUGUUAAUAAAUUAUUGGGCUAGAUCGUAAAGUCAAUAUAACGACAGUGACAAAUACUAUCCGUUAAGUAAAAUUCUCCUUGCACUAUAAAACAAACAGUAGUGCCCUCUUGAAUUUACUUGUCAUAUGCAAAAAUGUUUCUGGUAUUAUUUUGCUCUUGCAUGCUUUUGUCAAUCAUAUAUAUCACCAAUUUUACUGCCUUGGCUUUGGAAGGCUGAGUUUCCAGCAAUCUUUUAACUUUGGAGACUCUAAUUCAUGGUGAAUUGGCACACUCCUUACGGCGAGACUUUUUUUCCGUAGGCCGGCUAGAUGAUUCUCCGACGGCCGCCUCGUAAUGGAUUUCCUGGGUAAGUAUUCCACCAUCUCUUAGUUUACUCAAAACUUGUUUAUCCUUUGGAUGACAAUUUAAACAUGAAUGGUAGUUAGAGAGAGCACUCUUUUCUGUUAUUCCAAGGCUCUUUCUAUAGGACAUGUCUACAUAAGUAGCACACAUCAUAUACUUUGUUUGUUCUCAAUUAUAAAUCAUUGUUUUUUUUUUCUUUAUGAAGUAACCGAUGUUGUGGUCUAUUUUAUCUAACAAUAUUUAGGGUGGCCGGCGGCAAGGAGAAGAGAGAAAAGAGAGAUGUGUUUGUAGAAUUGUAGGGGAAUGUGUGUUGUUAUCCCUCCUACAUUGUGCCUUUAUUUAUAGUAGUAGAAGGAAAGAAGAUAUUCCUUCUUCCCCAAGUAAUACAAGUUGUAAUAGGAAAGGAUAAUUAGAAUCAAAUCUAAUCUAGGAUUUACACAAUCACAUUUAAACUAGGAAUGUUUACAGCACACCCCCUUGAGUGUGUAAAUACUCAAGGUAGAUUUAGUAUUAUGCAGAAGUUGAGGAAGUUGACUCAUCGGAACUGAUUCCAAGGAACAACGCUUAUUCUCAAUAAUGUAGGAACUUGCAUAAGUAAUAAGUCUCACUAAAAAACCCUAAGGCUAUGGCAAAAACCCAAAGAGGGACAAAAUCCAUGGUCUAAGGAAAAAUGUGUGAGAAAUGCAAAAGUCAAAGAAACGUCUACGGGACAUCAUCAGGGAUAUGACUAGUCCAAGGUGGGUGUCUUGUUAAAACCUAGUUAAGUAUCAAAAACCCAGCAGGAAAAAUGCUCCUAAUCGUAGGGGAAAAGACUACAUUAAGAUCAAACAAGUAUCUACAGGAUACUCUCCCUGAGUUUGACAUAAUUCCAAAGAGAAAUAGCAAAGUUACAACUCAGAAAGUUUACGCAUACCAAUUCCAUGAAGAAGCUUCUGAAACGCCGUCUUAGGCAUUGAUUUGGUGAAGAGAUUGACCAGAUUGUCUUGUGAACAGAUUUGCGUGACUUUAAUCUUCUGAUGCUCUUGUUGUUGAUGUGUAAAGAAAAACUUCGGCGUAAUGUGCUUGGUGUUGUCUCCUUUGAUGUAACCCUUCUUGAGCUAUUCGAUGCAAGCUGCGUUGUCUUCAAAGAUCGUCGUCGGGAUAUCAACGAUGGGAUGAAGAUCACAAGAGCUUCGAAUAUGGCCUACUACUGCUUUCAACCAAAAGCAUUCCCGAGUUGCUUCAUGUAAGGCGAGAAUUUCAACAUGGUUAGACGAAGUGGCAACUAAGGUCUGUUUAGUUGACCUCCAAGAUAUUGCGGUGCCUCAAACGGUAAAGACAUAACCUAUUUGAGAGCGCGCCUUGUGGGGAUCAGAUAAGUAUCCUACGUCGGCAUAACCAACAAGGCGAGAAUCAACUCGAGGAACAUAGGGUGCGGCAUCAUUCGAGGAUUCGUAAGGAUAGAACAAGCCCCCGUAAUACCCUUAAGGUAACGGAAGAUGUCUUUCACGCCAAUCCAGUGUCUGCAUGAAGGUGUAUUACUGUAUCUUGCCAAAAGAUUAACAAUGAAGGAGAUGUUGGGUCUAGUGCAUUGAGCUAAGUACAAUAAAGCGCCUAUCGCACUUAGAUAAGGAACUUCAAGCUCUAAAAUCUCUUCAUCAUCCUCAUUCAGACGGAAGGGAUCUCAUUUUGCAUUUAGCGAACGAACGACCAUAGGAGUACUCAAAGACUUCGCUUUAUCCUCAUUAAAGCGGUGCAGCACAUUCUGGGUGUAGUUCGAUUGAUGUACUAGCAUUCCAUCCGAACAAUGCUCUAUCUCAAGACCGAGACAAUAUCGAGUCUUACCUAGAUCUUUCAUCUCAAAUUCCGACUUCAAGUGCGAGGCAGUUUUUGCGAGCUCUUCAGGAGUUCCAAUAAGAUUCAUGUCAUCGACAUAUACUACUGCAACAAUCGCAAAUCCUGAAUGUGACUUCUUAAUGAACACACAAGGGUAUAGUUCAUUGUUCACAUAUCCCUGACUAUUCAAAUACUCACUUAGAUGGUUAUACCACAUUCUUUCAGAUUGUUUCAAAUUCCGACUUCAAGUGCGAGGCAGUUUUUGCGAGCUCUUCAGGAGUUCCAAUAAGAUUCAUGUCAUCGACAUAUAUUACUGCAACAAUCGCAAAUCCUGAAUAUGACUUCUUAAUGAACACACAAAGGCAUAGUUCAUUGUUCACAUAUCCCUGACUAUUCAAAUACUCACUUAGAUGGUUAUACCACAUUCUUUCAGAUUGUUUCAAACCAUAGAGUGAACGCCUCAGCCAAAUUGAGAGCGUGUUUCGGGGUAUGGAAGUAUUUGAACCAGUCAAUGCAAGUCCUUCGAGAACUUUCAUAGAGAUUUCCGUAUCAAGAUCCCCAUAGAGAUACGCGGUUACUACGUCCAUCAACUGCAUAUCCAGUUUUUCAGAAACUACCAAAUUGAUAAGGUAGCGAAAAGUAAUCACAUCCAUAACGGGUGAAUAAGUUUCGUCAUAGUUAAUCACUGGGCGUUGUGAGAAGCCUUGUGCAACAAGACGAGUUUUGUAAGGCACAAUUGUCAUCUUCAUUUUGAGUAAAACCAAACAAUUUGAUUUCAGUGUCAAAACAAAUGUUCCAGCUCGAAGAGGCUUGCUUAAAUCCAUAAAUGGGCCUCUGAAGCUUGCAUACCUUAGUCUUUUCAGACUUGGACAUGAAACCUUUAGGUUAAGUCAUAUAGAGCUCUUCCUCUAGAUAGCCAUUCAGAAAGGUCAUCUUCACAUCCAUUUGCUAUAUCUCAUAAUCAUGGUAUGUAGCUAUAGCAAGCAAAAUCCAAAUGGACUUAAUCAUGGCUACAGGAAAGAAGGUUUCUUUAUAGUCAAUUCCUUCUUGUUGCCGGUAACCCUUGGCUACUAGUCUAGCCUUAUAAGUCCCCACGUUCCCAUCAACUCCUAUCUUUUUCUUGAAGACCCAUUUGUUUCCAACAGGUACGAUACCUUCUGGAGGGUCUACAAGAGUCCAGACCUGAUUUUGACAUAUGCUUCACAAUCCCAAAUCUUAAUAUGAUUAAGACUUGGCUUUCUCCCAUGCCAUAUCUCAGAGGGCGUCUGUGAAAUUAACUUGGAGGGUACUCUAUUAAGCAAGUAAGCUGCUGUAUAUAGAGCGUAUCCCCAUAAUGUUACUGGUAGAUCGGCGAAACUCAUCAUAGAACAAACCAUGUUCAUCAAGGUUCAAUUUCUCAUUUCAAAAACUCCAUUAAGUUGUGGAGUUCCUGUGGAGUCCACUGUGAUAUUAUUCCACACUGUUUGAGAUAAUCUAGGAACUUGUUACUUAGAUACUCUCCCCCUCGAUCUGAUCUUAGGAUCUUUAUCUGCUUCCCAGAUUGCUUCUCAACUUCGUUCUUGAAUUCUUUAAACUUUUCAAAGGAUUUUGACUUGUACUUCAUAAGAUACACAUAGCCAAACCGAGAGUGAUCGUCGGUGAAUGUGAUAUAAUAGGAGAAGCCUCAUCUCGACGUAGUAGACAUAGGUCCACAUUCGUCAGUGUGGAUUAACCCUAGAAUUACAGUGGCACACUCUCCCUUCCCAGUGAAUGAAGACUUGGUCAUCUUCCCUUACAAGCAACAUUCACAAGUACCCAUUUGGUCAUUACCUAAUGGGCGGAAAUAUCCGUCUUUCAACAUCUUGCGAAUCUUAUCAAGGUUCACAUGUCCAAGUUUAAGAUGCCACUUAUUUUCUUGGUUAACUUCUUCUCUAGCCCUUUUGGGUUUUGAGGUAUUCUUGCUUUCAAUACAGUGCAUCCUAUUACUUGUCUCUGGGUGAAAAAGUCCAUCUAUCAUAUUACCAUGAGAGAUAAUACAACCGUUCAAGUAUAAAGUGCAACUCAUUUUGCCAAAAACAAAACUGAGUGCCCAUCUCAUAAAAGCAUAGAGAUGGAAAUCAAAUUAUUUAUACAUGAAUGAAAAUAUAAACAAUUUUUAAGUUCCAAGACUUCCCCAGAGGGUAGUUUAAGCAUGUAGGUGCCUAUUACUUUUGCAGAGAUCUUAGUGUCGUUCCCAACUUGCACAAUCAUCUCCCCAUUGCGCAGUGUCUUGCUCCAUGUUAGUCCUUGCAACAAAUUGCAGAUAUGUUGACUAGCACCUGAAUCAAAUAUCCAGGAAUUGGAGCUUACUGUAAAAGCACUCUCUAUGAUAGAAACAGUCCCUUCAAAAGUUCGUGUUAUAAAGCUCGCAAUACGCACCCUAUAUUUCUUCUUCCAACGUUCAUCCUUUCCACAAUGAAAGCAUUUUCCUUUGGAUUUUCUUGCCUUCUUCUUAUGUAGCAUUUUCCUUAUGAUUGCAUUCUCACUCCCAUUGUCUUUUUUGAAACCUUGUUCAAAUUCACAGCACAGGUCAAUCAUCUUUGAAAUAGUACGAUCGAAUCUAUUCAAUUUAUAGUUUACUAUAAACUUAGUGAAUUCAUCUGAGAGAAAUGCAAGGAAAAAGUCUUAGGCCAUUUUCCCAUUGAUGGAAGUUUCUAAACUCUCAACAUCUUGAAAGAUCAUUUCCAUAUUUUGUCCAUGUUUUUGGACCGAUGCCCCCUUUCCAUUUUGGCAUUCAAUAGACUACAAACAUUUGAGAAUCGUAGAUUACUAGUCCCAAUGUCAUGCAUCUUAUGCAAACUAUCAACCAUGGCACAAGAAAUGUCCAUGUGCUUAUGUAGCUUCUUAAACUCCUCACUAAGGGAAGUAAGGAUUAAGCAUUUGGCUUGUAAGUCAUCCUCAUAGUAUCUAGCAUAAUUUUGACACUCCUCAUUUGAAGCUAGUUUCGUAGGAGGUACAUGAGGAGGGGAUUGCUUGAGCAUAUACGAUAUGUUAUUCAUCUUUGAGACAUUCUCAAUGUGAUGAUACCAAGCAAGGAAACGUUGGCUCUUAAGGCUCUUUUUGUCAAUUAUAAUGGUAGGUGUAAUUUUAGGUAUGUCGUUGACUACAUAACAUAACAAAAAUCGUAUUAGAUUGUUGAUUUUAAAAAACUACUUCAUUGGGUCUUAAUAUUACCACCCUCUAAUUUUGGCAAAUUCCACAUCCCUCAAUGGAAUCCAAGAGUUAUGUUGAACUCUUAGCAGGAUAUGGGAGGGUCAUCAUUACCAAGCCCACCUCACAAUGAUAUGAUGUUGGUUAGCGACAAUAAUGAUGAGAGAAUAAUGCCUUAGUCAUUUACAACUCUGGUACUUACCCAUCUAGUUUGGCUUCUAGAGAAUGAUGCCUCAUAGUGAUAUGAUGUUCGCACCAUUGCACUUAAUUAAGUCAUUCCCACCAUGCUAGUUCAUGUAGGGGUUCGAGAAUAACCUCACAAUAUGAUGUUGGCCAUCCUCGUGCCUACCUCAUCACAUCAUGUAUGUACAUAUGGACUCCUCCUGAAUGUAAGUGAUAUGAUAUUAACUAGCACUCAAAUUAACCCUCUUUUUAUCAAUUGUAGCAAAGUAUGUAAGUAGGGAUCGUUCUAGGCUGGGGAUUAUGAGGGAUUGCUAAAUCACUUGAAAACUGACUCAAAUACGUAAAAACAAGUUUAAAACACUAAACUAGACUCAAAGAAUGCAAAACUAAACUUUAACACACCAAAAUAAACCAAAAGACUCAAAACAGCAAACAAAGACUGAAAACUGCCUUGAAAACACUUUCUGGGCAGUUUCUGACACCAAGGAAAAAUUUGGACGAAAAUUGGUUAUAACUUGACUCAAGACACUUAAAAACACAAACUAAAUUGAUUUCUAACUAAUCUAACACUUCAAAAUAAAUGGGGAUUUGGUUUUGACGAAAAUUGCAAACAAAAACAAAACUUGUAAAUUGAACAGAUUCUAAAACGAAUUUGGUUGAAUUGAAGGGAUGGAAAACUAGCUAAGGGGUUAUUUUCCACACAUGUCACACUUGCAUACAAAACGAUUUCUAAUUCCAAUUCAAUAAACCAUGAAUACUCAACACUCCAAGUUAAUUAGGUCCGCUUAAAUUAACUUUCAGAUUUCCCUUAUGUCAAUGAAUUGGACGGAAAAAGCGCAUCGCAAUCAACUAUUCCUCAAAAGUUUUCUAUAUGAAAGCGCAUAAUAAAGAUACAAUAAAAAAUCAUUACGUUCAAUGGAAAUCAUAAGUCUUGACGAGGCACUCGUAACUAUGAAAGCGCAUGAAACUUAUGCCAAGAAUUUACUUAACACAAUUGUGAUCAACAACUUUUACUACUUGUGAAUAUAAGUUCAUAACGAUUAGGUGAAAUUUCCUUAUAUUCUAGCAUUAGAUUUAUGCAUGAAAAUUAAGCGUGCACUCUCAACCAACACACACAAAUCAGUUGAAUUCAAAUAGAUAAGCAAAUUGAAUCCACAACUUAUGAAACGCAAUUAGAAGUAAUAAAAUCAUAUAGCAAGCAUAAACAUGGUUUCGAAUCCCCCCUAGCCAAGGGGGGUUUAGUUCCUCAUACUCGCGAAGCAAAGAUACAUAAAUUUAGACAUUAAAAUUCAAAGAAAGAGAACACCUAAAACGCUCCAACUUCGCAGCAGGUGCAUCCACGAUUCCUCCUUCCUCCUUGCUGCGACACAGAGACUUUGGAUAGGUUUUGGGUGAUAUUUAUAUGGGGGAAACAAUAUGGGAUGGUAUGGUAGUGGUUAUGGUUGAUGGGUGGUGCGGCAAGGGGUUGUUUUUGGCAGAAAUUUGGGAGAAUGGUGGUGGAAGGCUACGACAAAGGGCAAGGCAGAUUUCUGGUGUGAAUUUGGAAUUAUGAGAGGUGGUGGUGUGCGGCAAAGGUGUAGAGAUAUAUAUAUAUAUAUAUAUAAGCACCAAAAACCCUAGCAAAUCAGAUUAGGGUUUCUAGAAAACCAAAUCCAUCAGAAAAUAGGUUAAAACAAUCAGAUUUUGAAUGGGAAAAGGCCUAGGGUGCUGCUGGAUGGAUAGGGUAAAGGAUUGGCCUUCUAGAAUGCCUUGCAAGGCAAGGAAAAGGGUUUCUAGAAAAGGAGAUGUGCUGCAGGUUUAGGGGAAUAUAGAUAGGGCUUCUAGAAAGCCCAACACCAAGAAGAAAUAAGCCCUAACCCACGACAAGGAUGAGAAAUUAUUCUAGAACCUUUCUUUGUGUCUUCCAACGCUUAGGAACCUUCUAAUGUUGCUAAAACUCAAGGCUAUUUAGGUUUAGGAAAGAUCAACCCAAAGUGGAAACUUUUAGGCUUAGCUUUCCUACUUCAAGUAGGAAACCUCGUUUGAGUAGGAAUCUUCAUUCUUCUAGGAAUCCAUCUUCAACUAGGAAUCCCUCGUUGAUUAGGAAUCCUUCUUCAAUUAGGACUCCCUCGUUGAUUAGGAAUCCUUCUUCAAUUAGGACUCCUCCUUGGACUAGGAAUCCUCAAAUCUUCAAAUCUUCAAUUUCAUCCAAACCUUGUGUUCCAAGCAUGUACUAUUCAAUCCACGCUCACUUUUGCUCCAAAAAGCUCCAAAUUGCCUCAUUUUAUGUAAUAUGCCCUUAAAACCUGAAAACACAUGAAAAUAGCUUAAAAGACUACUUUAACUAAGAAAACAUAACGAAAAUGCAUAAGAACUAGCUAACUAAGGAGCAUAAAUAUGCUCCUAUCAAAUUCCCCCACACUUAGCUUUUGCUAGUCCUCGAGCAAAACAAAGAAACAAAAGAAAAACAAAAUGAAACAAAACAAACAAACAAAACCUAACCCUUCCAACGUUUGCCUCAGGGAUUUCCAAUACACAUGACAUAUUAAAAAUCAUCCUUCCCACAGAUUUUAGUCAUCUUCACACUUAAGCACAUACUUAAUCAUAGUCACCACGUACUAGUUCACAUUCAACCAAUUAAAACAUGAUUUUGAAUGUAGUAACAUGCCUUAGAGAAUUUGCUCACUUCCUUACUAGAUAUGCACUCAAUUUUCACUCAGAUUUUCUAACUACACACCCUAUACUAGUUAUAUGUGAGAAGAUUGAUGUAGAUAUAAAAACGAACGCUCACAUAUAUAUAUAUAACAAAGAAAGCAUUUUCUGGAGUUAAAUAACAUGUUUAGAUAUGAUCUCAUGAAUGGAAUGCUACUACUUAGAUGCGAGAACCAGUGACACCAUAUGCUCAUACCAAUUCUAAACUCCACAAAUUGAAACACACAGCACUCAAGAUUGAAGUCAAGGGUUGUAACGGGGCUAAGGGUAUUGGCUAACAAAGAAAGGUAAAGGAUAAACAAACGUUCUUAAAACAAUAGUAAGCAAAGCAAUGAAAUUGACACUUAGAAUUCACUUUUGACUGCAAAAAUCAACCUUAAACACAAAGGGAAAGUUCAUGCAACACUUAGGGUCAAAUACAAUGUUUUGGACCCUUUAUUCAACAACCAACACUUUAGAGCUCCACUUCACAUUUUUUCAACUCUUUUUCAUACUUUUCACCACUUUUUCGUUUAUCCUUUCUAUUUUCCAUGAAUUUUUUUUUCUUUUUUUUUUGUUUUUUUUUUGUUUUUUUUCUACCCAUGCCUCAUUUAAGACUUUGGCACACACACACAAAGGAUCACUUUCCCCCACACUUGUUUUCUGCCAUACAUUGAUCAAAAGGAAUUCUUUUUUGAGUCAUGCUUACUAUGCUUCAAGAACAAAGGUAAGGAUGGUCCUAAUCUAGGCUAGGUACGGAUCAUGUGGGUGAACAAACAAUAUAGGCUAAACAAGGCUCAACGGGGUUAAACCUACAAAAACAAAUGCAUGGAAUGAAGGCUUUUUGGCUAUGGUGGUACUACUAAACAACUUCAUCUCGAAUAUGUGUCAUGCAAUUCAAUAACAUGUUUUGAAUGAAAUAGGCAUGAGUUCUAGCAUUUGGAACUGAAUAAUGAAACGCCUUCUAAGCAGAAACCAAGCAAAGAAUAAUGAAAUCAGGCAACGACUUUAGAAAACAAGAAUGCACAGAUUUUAACUCUCCAAAUAAACGUUUAGGCUCAAGUCUCACAAGGUUGUAGCGUUAGUUUGAGUUCCUUCCUUCAAGCAUGUUACAAAAACUAAUUUUUCCUUUGUGAUUACAUGUGAAUUCAUAAGUUAUAACCACAACCAAGCAUAAACCAAAGAGUAAAUCGAACUUUCAUCCAUGUUUACAACUCUCUUUAACAGUCAUGCAAUUAAAAACUGAAUCCUCAUCAUUGUGUUGGAAGGUACCCUAAGACACAAACAAACACACAAAACAACUUUAAAACGACUCUUUUUGGUUUUUUUUUUCAAAACAUUUUUUUUCAAAUUUUUUCUGGGAUUUUCGGAUUUUUAUGUAAAACACACUAAAAUGCAUCAAAACAGCCUAAAAGCACCUAAAAACAGCAAGGAACAACAUUGGAAAUUAUGGGUGAUACAACCCUACGAAUUUGCAUCAAAACACUUUGGUUACCCCCCACACUUAAAUCAAACAUUGUCCUCAAUGUUUCAAGCAUAAACUAACACAAAUAACAAAUAAACAAACAAACAGCAACUAACAUAAUAAACAUGGCAGAAACGAAAUAAACAACAAAGAGAAGGGUGUAGGAACGUAAAUCUGGAAUUGGAGUGAUUCCUUGGUCUUCCUUUGUUGCAUGCAUAGGUUGCCUCCCAAGAAGCGCUUUCUUUAACGUCUUGCAGCCGGACGAUGCUCCAUUGAAGGUUUAUGGAACCCCACGGCAUGGAGGGGUUUUUCCACAACCUGUCAUACGAAAUACUUCAUGCUUUGGGUCCUUGAAUGGAAUGGGAUAAUGAUCGUUUCUUAUUGUCAUGUUUUGCUUCUCUAACUCAACACGAACUCUCCCACCACGUUCACUUCGAUUAGGUACCUGCACCAUACAAGGUAGCAACCUAUUAGUUGAAAUGGGAAUCGAAAUUGGAAUAGGUGGCUUACCUUUGUACGGCAAAGAAGUGGUAUCAUUAUGGACAGAUGCACAAGGGGUGCACUCGGCCAGAUUUGGUGAUUUCAAGGUUGGGGCCGUGCACUCUUUGUUGUUCACUCCAAUUCCUUCCUCGAUGGUGGGUUGUGGUACAUUCUUCUUGACUAGUGUUGAACAUUCCUGCCCUAUAUUUUCAAUUACAUUAAUAGCACAACAAGAAUGAACAUCAUUAGUAUUCUCAACCGAUUCAGAAAUCUUAAAGUUAAUCAUAUCACCACCAAAGGCCAUAGUUACUGCUCCCUUGGCCACGUCAAUCUUGGUUUGAGCCGUUUUCAUGAAUGGUCAUCCAAGUAAGAGUGGUGAUGGUGGAGAGUGGGUUGAGUCCUCUAUAUCAAGCACAUAGAAAUCUGCAGGAAAAAUCAAGUGGUCUACCUGCACCAAAACAUCUUGCAACACUCCUUUGGGAUAUGCAUUAGAUCGAUCGGCUAAUUGAAUAAUAACUCCAUCAUUUUUAAGCUUUCCUAGAUUCAUAGAUGCAUAAACAGCAUAUGGCAUGACAUUUAUAGAUGCACCUAAAUCUAACAUAGCAUGAUCAAACCUCGUAUUGCCAAUAACACAAGGGAUAGUGAAACUACCUGGAUCUUUGCAUUUAGGUGGUAACUUUCUUUGCAACAAUGCAGAUACAUUCUCACUUACGUGUACCACCUCUUUCUCCCGAAUCCGUUUCCUUGUUGUACAAAGCUUCUUAAAAAACUUGGCAUACUUCGGGAUUUGCUUUAUAGCAUCAAGGAGUGGGAUAUUGACAUGCACCUUCCUAAACGUCUCGAGAACAUCUUUCUCCUAUUCUUCGUUCUUGGCUUGCAAAAAUCUGCUAGGAAACGGUACAUUCAAAGGAAUGACAUUAGAAUUAACUUGAAUUGGACCUUCCUUACCUAUGGUGGCCGAAUUGGAAUGCUUGGGUGGUUGCGGCAAGGGUGUUUCUACCCUUGCCGUGGCCUUUGCUUGGUUCUCCUCCCCAAUUUGCAACUUCUCGUCCUCCUUGGGGGCAGAUUUCGAUGGUUGUGGCUCAGUUCCUACUUCUUUCCCGCUCCUUAGCAUGAUGGCCUUGGCAGUUUCAAAUCAUCCCCUCGGAUUGACAACAGUUGAACUUGGCAACUUG